UUUUUUUUUUUUUUUUUUUGUUUUGUUUGGGGGGACUGGGACUGGGAAUUAGCAUGGAAACUUGGAUUAGUGGCAUGAUUGGUACAGACUUGAAGAAGAAUACAAAUAGGAAGUUCACCAGAAUGAAAAACCUCAACAAGAUUCUUUGAUUCGAACUUUUAUGUUUACUGUUCCCAUUUUGAUGAUGAUCAAUGGUAAUGAUUCUUUUUAUUGGCCUCCAAGCAUUGCAACAUGUUAAUUCGCAUGUAUGGCUUCUUUAUAAGCAAGCAAUUUUGUCUUUUUUUUCUGGUGAAAUAAUUAAUUAAUUGUCUCAUAUGCCUGUGGUAAAUUUAUAAUAUGAAUGAUAACUUAGCUGACUAGCUUUCAUCUAAUUUAGUCGCAUAUUUAUACUUUAUCAGGUUGGUUUGCAAUAUAUGGCCAGAGACAUAUGCGGAGGCAAUGCUCGUUGUAUUGCUAUGCUUCAUGCAUUUCAACAGGCCAUCAAAGACUACUCAACUCCGCCACAGAAGUCUCUGGGUAGAGAUUUAACUGCAAAAAUUGGUAGCUAUGUGUCCUUCUUCAAUGAGUGCAGGCCACUGUCUGUUAGCAUGGGAAAUGCAAUUAGGUUUUUGAAAAACCGCAUUGCCAAAUUGCCACUGAAUCUUCCGGAAUCCGAAGUAAAAGCUACACUUUGCUCAGAUAUCAAUCGCUUUAUCAAUGAAAAGAUCAUAAUUGCAGAUGAGGUUAUAGUUAGACAUGCUGCCACUAAAAUCAGGGAUGGAGAUGUUUUACUCACAUAUGGAUCGUCAUCUGCUGUAGAGAUGCUUAUAUUAUAUGCUCAUGAGCUAGGAAAAGAAUUUCGUGUUGUGGUGGUGGAUUCCCGUCCAAAACAAGAAGGGAAAGCGUUGCUUCGUAGGCUCAUAGCGAGGGGCCUAAAUUGCACAUACACCCAUAUAAAUGCCAUUUCUUACGUGAUGCACGAAGUAACACGAGUUUUUCUAGGGGCUGCUGCAGUCUUAUCUAACGGAACUGUUUAUUCAAGAGUGGGAACUGCAGCUGUUGCUAUGGUUGCUAAUGCAUUCCAUGUUCCAGUCUUAAUCUGCUGCGAAGCCUACAAAUUUCAUGAAAGGGUACAGCUUGACUCAAUAUGUUUCAACGAAUUAGGUAUGUAUUAAAUUAUCUUCUCCUGUAUUUCCUUCCUGCAGAAAGGGAAGAGGGACGAUGUCUGAACAUUUUCAAAUGUUGUGCAGGUGAUCCAGAUACUAUCUCAAAGGUUCCCGAGAGGAAGGAUAUUAAUGAUUUGGCUGCUAAAGAACAACUGCAACUUCUAAAUUUAAUGUAAAUGAACAGAGUGACGUAUUCAGAUUAUUGCUCCUCAUUAUUGCACCUGAAGGUGAUGUAUUCUAACUUUGUGUUGUAUUUUUCCAGGUAUGACGCCACACCUUCAGAUUACAUCUCGAUGAUCGUCACAGAUUAUGGGAUGGUGAGUUUUGUUCCAUAUACCUUCCUCAGGCACUUAUUCAGAUAUAUGCCAUUAUUCCUGCUGAUUGUACUUUAGGGGUUAAAUUCUUUCUGCAUCUUACUCUUUUUGUAUGUCUAUUUCCAUGAUACGCUUAACUUUACACGUUUUUCUUAAAAGCUGUUCUAAAUUCUAAAUUUCAGAAAUUUAUUUUAGCAUACCAAAAAUAGUAGUUUUUAAUGGUGUUUUUAUUCCUCGUUCUAUUACUAUUUAGUUUUUAAAAAUUGAAGUUUGAAAACGCUAUGCCCGUCUAUAGUUUCUUUUUGAUUUGUUGACUCCAACUUCUCGUCCACACUUCUUCUUCCCCUUUACCAUCUCUCUCUAGUCUCUGUACAUUUUCACUCUUUUUUUUUACGUAAGAGAAUUAAAACAGAUCUUCAGCGGUCAGAAUUGAGAAGCUGAAAAUUCAGGGUUUUGCAGCCUGGACUGAAAAAUUAUGUUUCUUAUUGUUUUGAACUGUAGAUCCCACCUACAAGCGUGCCGGUGAUUGUGCGGGAGUAUAGGAGAGAGCACCUGUGGAUAUAAGGAGGUUAAGAAGGACCCUUCAUUUGGAAAGAAGCUGAGGAUGACCGAUUGAUGCUUGUUCCAUGUAAUCGUGCAAGAAGUAGCCGAAGCAUGCUGCAAGGUCGACAUUUCUUGAAUCAUCUUGAUGCAACCUUUGUUCUACUCCUCCAGUACUCUUUUCAAAUUCUGAUUUUGGUAGAUUAACAGUUAGCUAAAAAUGCGGUUGACGCCUCUCCUUACAGUUUUCCAAGUGUUUUUCUUUUAGGAGAAUAUGAAGGUUGACGCCUCCCCUUACAGUUUUCCAAGUGUUCUUUUGAGGAGAAUAUCUAAAGUUUGAUAGUUGAUGUUGACAUAGGAACAUAAUAAAAUAAGUCGUGAAAUUUAUUGGCUUUAUUUGAUUCAAUGAACAAGAAAUUUGAAAGAAAAAGUUCAAUUUAUGUUAAGUGUUUUUAUUUGGUUUACCGAAACACCCUCUUGAUAUGAGUAAUUUACUGAAACAUCCACAUGAUAGCAUAGAAAAAAGCUUAGGUUAUCACAAUUAAAUCAUAGUAGUCUCGAGUUUGUUUGGAACGAGAUUGAAAGUAAUAUGCAAGGGUCCUAAACUAUUUUUAAUUUGACAAAUAAAUAAAAAGUACAAAAUAAGGGCAAUCAAUGAUUUAUAAUCUCGUUUCAAUAAUUCUUUUGUACUACAAAUAUUAAAAUCUUGUUUAUUGUUUUACAAAUUAUACUUUUGUACUAUAGCUUUUGCUUGCUUGCUUUCGCAUUUUUCCAAUCCCAAUUUUUAGAGCUGUUACUUGCACAAUAGGGAAAAACCAAAUAGAAUGAGUCGACAUUUUUUCACAACUGCAAUGUAAAUCUUUUGAAAAUUGUGGUACUUGAGAUUCCCUAUCUUGGAGAUGAAAGUAAAUCAUUCAAAAUCACUUUUUACUCUUGAUUAUUUUGAUGGAACAAAAUCAUUUUUAAGUUAAAAAGCAUGUCAAAAAAUAUAAUUAUGUUCCUUAAACUAAACAUAAUAGAAAUGAAAAUAAACCUAACAAUAUAUAUUUAUAUGCCAGAAUAUAUAGUUCAAAUGUUUCACACAAUUAUUUCCAAAUGUUUAGACUUCAAUAUUAUAAAACAUAUACAUUAUUGCCUACCCAAAUAUAAGAUUUCAAAUUAGGGCGGAUUAACCUGUUUAUAUAAGUCCCUUCAAAUUAUACAAGCACAUAAUAAAAUUCCUCAUGAAGCUUGAACAACUAAUGUUAUCGAUAGACGAUUAAGGUAAAACCCGGCCAACGAUAAUCUAGUUGAACCCAAAGGAGAGAAUUAAUCCUCCCCUUUUCUAUUUACACUGUUAUAUAACUCCUUCAGAUUAUACAAGCACAUAAUAAAAAUGAGAUUGAUAGAAGGUAUCGAUAAGUAGUUGAACCCAAAGGAGAUAAUAAUCCUCCCCACAGCAAAUCUCAUAAUCACACCCAAGAGAAAAAAAGAUGUCUAUUUGAUUCCAAUCUCAAUUUAUUUAAAAGGAAAAAGAAAAGAAUAAUCCUCAAUAGUGUUUAGAAUUAUUCUCAUGCAUACAAUAAUAUAACAUACCAAAAAUCUCCUCCUUCCUCUUAACUAUCAUAUGAAAACCCAAACACAAGAACAUACAAAAUACAAAUUAAAACCAGUUCAAAGAACUCAGCUUGAUCUCAACUGGCCUCAAGCAACAAAAGAAAGAAAACCAAAACAUGAAUUUAUAUAGCCGCAAGUACUAAAAAUAUAUCAUAAUUAAUCAAAUGAAAUUAUGCUCCCGGAGCUGCAUCUUUCACCUUACUUUGCAAAUACCCUCCAUACUCUCUAGCAUAAUCCUUCACAUGGCUCGCCGUGUCAUAGAUUCGGCGACUUGCAUACUCGAGCCGGUCUGAUCCAGGUGGGUGCAUGCCUUUAAAGUACUUAUAAGCCCACGACAAUCCCGCAGCUGUGGCGAGUGCAAGACCGGCGAGGGACAAGACACCGGCAGUGGCGAGGAAGAGGAAAAAGGCAACAGGGAGCCAAAUGGGGGAGGUGAGAAGGAGGAAGGGGGUGAGGAAAAUGAAGGCGAGGACGGCGGCGGUGAGAGUGAGGCCGGUGAGGAAAAUGAGAAUGGAAGCGGAGAUGAAGAGGGUGAGGAAGCCGAGGAGUUGAGGGGAGUUAGGGGCGUGGUACUGGAUGCGGCGGAGGAGAGAGGCGGGGGUGGGAGAGCGGUCGUCGGCCAUGGGUGAUGAAGGUGGAGAGAAGGAGAUGAAUAUUAUUGAAAUGGAAAAAGAUGAUUAAGAGAAAUGAGGAGUGAGUAUAGGGUUUUGAGAACAGGUGGGGAAAGGAGAGGACAUGCAAUGAAGGUACGUGGUGGGAAUAUAGAUAUGUAUGGCCUACACAUAUGGGUGCCCAUGGCUGACCAUUUCUUUUGCAUUAGUUCUAUUUUAGUUCCUACAAAUAUAUAUCGUUAAGUCUUAACGUUCCUCUUUUCCUAUAAAUAGAGAUUUUUUUUUAUGAAUUUUUAAAAUUUUAAAAUUCAAUUGUGCUAUUUGGAAAAUUUGAGAAAUUCCAUAUAUUUACUAUUUUUUUGUUAUUUUAUUUAUAUAUAUUUUCUCAAUAAUCAUGUUUUCAUCUCAUUCUUGUAAUAGUUGGCUUCGACUAUAAUUCAUGAUAUAUAUAUAUAUAUAUUCUUUUGAACGGUCACAAAAAAUGUUAAAGUUCAAUUUCAAUUCAAUAUUUUGAAAAAACGUACUUGAUAUUGAAGUUUAAAAAUGUGAUAUUGGUUCAACUUCAAACUUUACAAAUUUGCACAUAAUCUCCACUUUUAUAAGGACAAUAUUAAAAAAUAAUAAUAACACCUAGGUAUAGCGUAGCAUCUCUUCUAACUUAUUUAAAAAAAUUAUUAAAAUAUUAAAUAUAUAUAUAAUUUGUUACGAUGAGAAAUUAAAAUAGAAUAAUUUAGUGAAAUGUAAUAAUAAUUUUUUAAAAAAAAUACAAAAUUAUUAGAGAAAUUGUCAUAAAUAAAAUAAAAGAGAAUUAAAAUUAUUUAUAUAAUAUAUAUAAAUAUAUAUAAAAAGUCAAAUGUGUUAUAGAGAAUAUAUUAUAGUUUGUAAAGAGUUUAUUUGCUAUAUUUAGAAAUGACCGUAAAUAGUUCCUAGAGCUAAUGCACAACGAUAGCUAAGAGAGUAGUAAUUAAGCAAUUUCCAUAAAAGUUAGGGUCGCAAUAACGGUAAAAUUAAAUCAAGAUCUACCAACUAAUUAAUGUUAAUUAUUAUUUGAUUAACAUGUGUCAUCAUGAAGUCCCUAAAGUUUAAACUAAAUGAUAUAUAUAUAUAUAUAUAGUCCUUUUCCAAGUAAGUAAAUGAGUUUAAAUUCCCAAUGUUCAUCCAAAACCAUUGCUCCAACAAAGAUAAAUAUAAAGAUUCAGAUUCCCGAGAUGAAAAUCAUUUUCAAAUUUUUAUAUAACAAUAAUAAUAAUAUUCAUUUUCUCUUAUUUAUCUAAAUUUCUAUCUUUUACUUUUGUAGUUUGUUUUUUCGAGAGAUAAAGACACCAUGAUGCUUUUGGUCACGUUUAUGUUUAUUUGGUGCACCAAAUUUUAAAACACAUGCUUUAGUUCUUGGCACUUGUAAACUACUUCUAAAUAGUUUCUUAUUUAACUCUAAGUUAACGAAAUGUUAAAUGUUAAUUUAUUUGAUUAACUUAUCAUCAUGUUAUGUCUCUAAAAUUUAAGGUUUAUGUUUAUUUGAUUCACGUAAUUUCAAACACUAGCACUUUAUAAGUUACUCAAGCUUGCAAAAUACUUAUAAAUGGUUCAUGAUCUAACUUUAAGUCAAUUGAAUGCUUAUUUAAAAGUUGACAAUCAUUCACAACGGAUAAUCGUUCUUUGUGUUCUUCGAUUCAUACCAAAUAUAUACGAGCCAUGUCGUUCAAGCAAACUCCAUCUUCACUCUAGCACAACAAGCCUUCCAUCCGUCGUUGUAUUGUUCCGACCAGCUGCUGGAGACGUAAAUGAACAAAAUGAUGCAAGUUCAUAUCAAAUCAGGUUGUCAAAUUACAACGCCACUUAGCCAAGCUCUAAUUUGAAAACAAAUAAUUUUGCUUUUCUCAGUAAGUUUUGGCUUCCAUAGGAUUGGCAACUAAUUAUGGAAUUCUUAUAUUUAGAAAAUUUGUGAUUGGAAUCGGUGUCAGAUAUACUCUGAUGAUAGCAACGAUUUACACGAUGGAGGUUGCUCCGACUUUGGAUGUGCUAUUAACAAUGCAUUUAAAUGAGUUUUGAAUAUAUUUUUUUUGUUGAAAAUUUGCAUCAAAUGACAAAAACAUUUGAAAAAAACAAAAACUUACAUCACCUAUUUUUUGCAUAUUAGUGAUAUCGUCUAUCAAACGGUAAUUAUAGGGUUAUUGGAGGACUAUCAGAUAAUAAUAAUAAGUUUAUCGACUUUUAAAUUUUAUACUUUUGUAGUUCAAAAAAUGUAGUGACAUAAACUCUAUUAUCGUAAAUUUCCUUUGUUAUUUUUGGAAGAGUCUCUAUUUUGUUACCUUGUUAAACCCCCGUACUUUUGAAAAAAAUUAUGAGUUUGAUUGAGAGGUAUGUUUCAACGCACUUUGUAACGGUUUGUGAAAAUGAGUGUGUGAGGAAGUCGUGGCAUGCAUGAAAAAAUAGUUUUUGGUUCAACGGGAAAAUGGGAAGAAACCAUGACAGAACAUGGUUUAAGAUAAAUUUCAACUUUUUUAUUUUAUUUUAGUUUUUAAAAUUAACUUAGAGUUUAGGGUUGUCAACUCCUCAAAUAAAUUAAUUAACUUUCAUGUCACCACGUAACGAUUUGAUAAACAUUCUAUUAACUUAAAGUUAGAUCAAUGAUUAUUUAAAAGUAUUUUGUGAGAUUAACAUGCUUGUUUUAAAAUUUUAGAUAUCAAAUAAACAUCAACUUCAAACCUCGCAUGAACAUGAACACAUGCAAGUUCUUUAUUUUUUUAUUAUUUUAUUUAACUUCUUCGGUCAAAAGCCCAAUUGAAUAUUUUGGCCGAUAAAUGGGCUGUUUACUCGGGUUGGUCUUGUAAGUUAUUGGGCUAAAGGCCUAAGUUGGCCCAUUGAUCUUGACAUUCUAGAUUUCCAAAUGUGUUAUAGCUUAGAAAAGGUCAAAAGUACUUGUAUAAAAAGCUUAAUAGCAUAUACAUUUUUCAACUAAAAAAAAGAGAACUUUUGAAAAUAACAAAAUCAAAAAGUUAAAACACAACCACCUUUUGGAAAAUGGCAUGUUUGAAUCUUAUACAUAUUACCUAGUAAAAUAUGGUCCACUUGUCUUAUAGUUAUAUAUAUAUAUAUAUAUAUAUAGUAUAUGACUGGGUCUAACAUUAGUAUCCUUAUCCUUUCAUAAGCAUGCAUGGUCAUGGUUUUGGUCAAAGGGUAUACAAAUAUGUGUUAACAAUUACUUUCACAAACAUAACCUUGUUUUUAUACUCAAUCCCUUAGGUAAUAGUUAUUACUAUACCCACUUUUAAUUAAUAUAUAUCUAUAUAGUAAAACAAAAAAGAAAUAAUUCAUAUUUAAUUUAAAUUAACUAAAAUUCAAGAUGAACUAGUAAAAUAUACUUAUUCAUUGAAAUGAACAUCACCCAUUGGAGUAUUAGAAGAAAUUAUUGAAGAUAUCCAAGUUUCAUACUCCUAAUUGUACUAAAUAAAUCAAUGUGAGUUUAGUUCGAUUAAUAAUAGAAAAUACAUGUUACCCAUCAACAUGUUGUAAUUUGAAAGACGAUAAAAAAUUUAAUCACCGCAAAUAAUGUUUCAAAAUUGAUAUAGUUUAUAGUAAUUAAUGUGACAAUGAUAUGAUAUUUUAGUCUAUAAACACACCAACAUGCAUAGUCCAAGUUUUGGAAACUAUAAAGGCAUUUCAUGUUUUUUUUUCUCUUUUUAUUUUUUAAAAUUGAUUAUAUAAAAAGGGUGGACUCUUUGAAGUCUUUGUGCCCAAAAAAUGAGUCACCAUUUAUGGAUCAAAAGAAAAAUGAAUGUUUGAAGGGUUCAGAGGCUUUAUGUCCUUAAUGAAUGUGACAAUGACUAAAAUGCAAUUUUUUCAAAAACCAUAUUUGCAUUAUUUAUAUUCAUAAGGUGUUGACAUUUUUGGAAAAAAAAAAAUAGACUACAAAUAUUUCCAUGGAAUAAUUUAACAGCCCAAGGUACAAUGACUUCUUUUCCAUUUAUGUUUUAUACUACUUUUAAAUUCAUUUCUUAGUAGAAGAAUUUAAGAUUAUUGAGAAAUCUUGGUAGAGACAAAUACACAUGCAAUUAAUAAUGUAUUGUAUCAUACUAAAAUCAUCAUAAAUUAGUUUUUUCCCCUUAAAAAACCACAAUUACAAACGUAUAAAAAAAUUAUUCAUAAGGGUUUUACUUAAAAUUUGAUGAAAAAAAAAAAAAAAACUCUGGGAGUAACAAUUCCAAAAUAUUACUCUAAUUUGAAAAAAAAAUAAACAUAUAAAAUUUCAAUAAUUGUAAAAAAAAAAAAUGUACCUUGCCUUAAAUAAAAAAGAAAAUGAGAAGUUAAUAGGUUCAAAUUCAAGACAAUCAAAUAAGGGUUGAACCAUUAAAACACUUUAAAUUUUUAUUAAUAAAUGAAUGAUACAUAUAGAUACAAAAUUGAGGAGAGACUUAAAAUUAUUACUACAUAUUCCACUACUAAUUACAAAAAUAGACGAUCAUACACCAUCGACUAACAAUAAAACGAUAGAUUGAGGUAUGCCCAAAUCGAUCUAGUUUACUAAACACACACUUACAUUUAAAAAAAAAAUCACUAAUUUAUCUAAUUUAGCCAAAAAAAAUUUACAACUAAAUAAAAAUUUAAAAAGACAUUAAACACAAAAUAAUAAUAAUAGAAUGACAACACGGUUUAGGGUUGAGAUUUUCUGAGAAGGUAACCGGGUAAAGGACUGGCACGUGGCGAACGGAGAGGGGGUUCGUCCAUCUUCUGGCCGUUACUAUCGUAAUAUAUUGCACCCGAAAAAUCCAACGGUUGACAUUUGUCCCCCAUCAAGAUCCCUCUUUGCCAUACCCCACCCUGGCCCCACUUUUCUUCUUCUUCCUCCUCCUCCUCCUCCUCAACCGGGCGGCCGGUCCUUUUCUUGUGAACCAAACUCAUCGCCGAUUGGCUUAUUGUCUUCAGCAUCUUCUUCGGCCGGGCCAACGGUGACCUCGGACUCGGGUGACUCGGGUGGUCUUGACUGGGCUUGAAUUUAAGUUUUUUGGUGAGUAGAGCGGCUUUUUUGGCGCAGAGAGCUGCUAGAGCUGCGACGGAGCCGCGGAGGCCGGUGGAGGGGGUUUUUGCGGUUCUGCCGGAAUCGGGGGUGGGAGGAUGAUCGGGAGUGGAGAAGAGCAUUGUGGAUUUGUGGGGGGGAUUUUUGAAAUGUGAAAUUGAAAUUGAUUGUGUGGAUGAAUGAUUAUAAAAAGAGUGAUGGAAAUGGAAGGAGGAUGGAAAUUAGUUGACUAGUAAUCGAUUUGAAAAAUAAAAACGAGGUCUUCGGUUUUGACUUUUGAAGUUGGACUUAGCAACCUUUUUAGUUAUACUUCAAAUAAUACAAACUUUUUUAAAUUAUAUAUUUAAACAAUCUAUUCCGAACACACACUUAUUCUCGCUAAAUUAGGGCCACACAUAUUAUUUGUUUAGAACUUCGUUAAUAUUUCUCGUUUUUGUUAAAUUCUUCAAGAGAAACAAAUUUUACUCAUGUUAUUGCAACAUUAACUUCCUUUCUUGAUUGUACUUUGAUCUAUAAAUAAGUCUUUCUCCAGAGAUCAUUAUUGUCUUAUUUUGAGGAGGUUAUUUUGUUUUACUAUUUAACUAAAAAUGUGUUAAAUCUAAAAAAAAUGAUAGUAAAUCAACAUGCAAAUGGGUUGAUUCAAUUCUUAUUUUCGUUUUAUUAUUUAUUAAAAAACUAUAAAAUUAAAGGCAACCAUCUAAAAUGGAUAUAGAUUGGUUUGUUAUGGUAUCUUUCUAGUAGUUCAUAUAUAAGUCGUAGUCACUUUCAUUUUCAUGCAUUGUCGAGUGUUUUUAGUUGUUUUUUUUUUUCAAAAAUUGACUUACCUGUCUUAUUCUUAGAAGGCUAAUAUUAGAUAGACAAAUCACAAACAAAACUUCUAUCAAAAUAUAUUUUUACGUAAAUAAAAUAUUUCAAUAGUAAAAGGAGUUUGUGGAAGGUAACCAAACAAGUUUUUUUUUGGAAUGGAGAAUUUGGAUGAAAGCCCAAAAGGAAAUGGUAGGCUACCUUCCAUUAAUUCAUUGCCCCCAAAGAUUCUAUAAAAUGUGAGUAAUUAAGUAAGAAGUCAUUAAAUCUUUUGAAAAAAAAAAAAACGAUUUGUUUUUAAAUUUAUAAUUUGUAUCGUGAUAAAGUCGACUUAGACGACUUAGACACGGUUCAACCAAUUAAGAUAUAAUUGAAACUUUUCGCUGUAAUGUACAGUUUAGGAAAGACGAUUCUAUUUUUUCUUUUUCACAAAGUAAACAAAAGAUUUUAGUUUUUGAUGGAGAUGUUAGUUUUGACUAUUUCUAUAUCACUUUGGUUUGUGUAUUUGAGAUCAAAUUUGGGUUUAUAAUAAAAGCAAUGAUGAAAUUUCAAUAUUCUUUUAAAUCAGGUAGUUAAAUCGUACCCAAUUGCAUGGCUUCUUCUAAACUUAAUUUUAUUUCUAAUAGACUUUCUAUCUAUUUUUUUAAAUAAAAAAACCAUCUUGAAUUUAAAAAGUUUGACUUUGUAGAUUAAAAUAUAUUAAUCAAUUAAAGAUAAACAAACAGCAAAUUUCACGUAUGAUAUUAGAGACGAAUAAAGAUAUAUUUAGGAAAUCUUUUUGUUUGGUAAUUUGACAAAUGGUCUUUUGAUAUUUACAACAACUAUUUUAAAACUUCUAUAUCCCAUAGAUUUUGUUAUAUUUAUAAUUUUAAAAAGAUGGUUAUAUGUUUAAUUGUUUUGAAUUUAGUUACUAUGUUUGCAAAAUAUCCCUAAAUUUAGACCAUUUUGAAAAUAAGUUUUGAAUGUGUUAUUUGCUAUCUAAAUAUCCAUAUUAGUUUGGACUGUGGUGAAAGAAAGAACGAGCCCAAGGGCUAAUAAUGUGGGCUUGGGUCAGCUGUGUCUCACUAACUAGAAUUUAACAACAAAGGCUGGCCCAUUGGGCUUUUGUAGGGCUUGUGAUGAUGGUGGACUGGUCCACAACGUUGAAGUGCAACGAAUAUGAUGAACUUCAAGGGAGUCGGAUAGGUCACACCGUCAAUUGGAUUUGAGCAGGGAUGGUGAUUUUGUGUUACAAUGAAAAAUUUUACUUAAGCAAAUAUUUAUUAAUGUUUUAUUUAAAAUAUGCAUUUCAAAAGUUUCCUUUCUAAACUCAUACAUUCAUUCAUGGAUUUGGACACCAACAACAUUCAAAUUUUGGAAUGAGUGAGGAGAUUGAUAAAUAUAGAUUUGUCGAUAUUUUCACACAUGCAGGUGCCGCUGUCGUUCGUCGGGUUGGUGAGGAGGGGAGAAGAAUAUAAUUUUUUUUUUUGUUAAACCGUUUCUUUGUAUGCUAAACUUUCCAAAACUAGAACCGUUUAAAAGCUAAUUAUAUUUAUUAAUUGGUUCAGUUUUUCUUUUGUCAUUAAUCUUACUGUUGGAGUCUCACCAUGCUCACUAUAUAUAUUGUCUCAUUUGUCUAUUCUAAAACACACAGAAAAUAACACAAUGAUUUCGUUUUCUUCCAAAAUUCUCUCUCAGUGUAACGAAUGUUAGAGUAUAUGUUUGAGUGUUGUGAAUUUCAAUUAGUUUUAGUGCAAAACUAAUUGAAGAACGAGACUGUUUUAUCCUGGAAACGAUCGAGCGAUCAAACAUGUUUACACAAAAAGAGCAGAGUCAUGAAACGUCUUAAAGAGAGCGAGAUAUGCAGAUCGAUCAUUUUUAUAACAUGUUUAUGUUUUGUAGUGUGUGUUUUGACCAUUAGGCGUUUUGAUCGAUCAGUAGGCGAGAUCAAGUUGGUGAGGUGAUAAUAGGCGUUUAAUCAUUUGGCAUCUUAACCAAUCGUGAUACUAGUACCUUAUGCAAGAUACAAGGUAAUGAAGCACGUGUUCUAUCUAACCGUUAAGGCUUCUCAACGCAUCACUCCUUCUGAACGAAGUGCUACAACAUUUUGGAAAGUAAACAAUCGCAGAAUAAUCCUUUGAAAAAAUGAAAGCUAAUUCCAAGAGGAAUUCGAAUACCAUUGUCGGAAUAAGCUCAUGAUUAUUUUUAUUUAUCAGGUACUUCUGACGUGUAUAGUCAUUCCUCACAAUUUCUGUUUUAGUAGGUGUGUUUUAGCAUUGAGUGAAGUCGAUUCAAUUUCUUUCAUCUUUGGGAUCAAAUUCGACUUUGAAAUAUUAGAGUAGGUGAUCUAGAAAGGUUCGAUGUUUAAAAUUCCAUUAUUUUAUUUUUGAUUAAACUUGAUUUGACCUUGUUCGUCGAUGACUCAUUUGAGCAAUACAAGAACAAACUUAGUAACAUCAAAUCCUUCCUAAUAGGGUAUUCACAAACAUAACAUAUAGGAUCCCCGAAUAUCAAAAUGACUCAGGAAACUAAAAGCAAGGCACCCCGACCUAGCUAUUUAUCAUGAGAUGCCACAAAACAGCAAAAUGUCAUUAGAUAAUCAACCUUUUGUCCACAACGAAAAACCAAUUGAUGGAAUAAGCUCUUGACAAUAAACAUUAUUUCUAUCAUCCAAUAUAACCCAAUCUCCCACACAAGCCUAGAGUGAAAUCAACCAAAAAAAUUUGAAGGAAUUCAUUCACUCAUAAUUGAUCGACCGUUGAAAAUCCAGCCAUCCCCAAAUGGGUACAAGACUCGUUCAAAUUUUCUAACCCCUAAUACAUCAAUUGCAUGCCGAGUGGACUGAUCCACAACCCAUAUACUAGAUCUUCGUACUCUUCUCCUUUCUCAACAAAAUAGGUUACGAAUAUUUUAACAAGCUUGAUCUCAAUAAUUAUUGUAACUAAUUUAAAUAUCAAGUCAAACAUAAUUAUAUGUAAAAGUGAAAGUGAGCAUAAUUUUACUAACUCUUUACCUUUCUCCCUGUACUAAACAAAUUUUAGAAAUUGGAUCAACACAAACCUCUCUAAUUAACUUUUAGAUACAGAAAAAUAAAGACUAUUCAUUAAUUUUUUGUUAGUUAGAAUGUCUCUAUAUAUAUAUAUAUGUGUUUGAUUGCAUUCUUACAUUCAAAGAGGAUCCAAAGUGAUUAUUAUUAUUUUUUUCCAUAAAUCCUCAAGUGGUAAGUUUAUUACAUGAAAAAUAAACCAAUAUUAUUAUUACUUUAAUUGGGAAAGUCAAACCCUUUUGAAAAUCUCUCAUCACAAAUAUUAAUUUCAUCAUAAAUUUCAUCACUAUUACAACUAAUAAUCUUAAUUUAUUAAUUAAACUUCCUCUAAUUCCCCUUGUUUUCAGCAACGUGCCGUGUCCUCACAUCCAUUUCUUCUUCCUUCGUUUUUAAUAAUGCAAACACAUUUCCCUCUCCUUUUAUAAUUCAUUCAUUUUUUUUUAAUUUCAUGCAUAGAAUAAUAUUAUUCAAGUGUUAGAUGUAAUCGACCUUAAUUAAUAAAUCACAUAUUAAACUCAUCGAUUUUUAUUCAAUUUCCAAUUAUUUCAUGAUUUUGAAAGGCAAUAUUAACAAAAAAUAAAAAAAAUAAUAAUAAUUAAUCAAUUAGGAUAUGAAACAAUGAAUUUGUUCUUCUAAUUUAGCUCUGUAAAUUACAUUAAUUCUCGUACAAAUGAGAUUUUGAAUUUCGACAAUUAUAAGGAAAAAACGAUAUACACAUACAUAUAUAUAUAAUGUUUUGCUUCCCUUUCUUUUCUUUGGAAGUUAUUUUUUUUUUUCACUUCUCUCUUUAAUGAAGAAUUGAAGAAAGAUGAUUACAACACGAAUACACAUAAUAAUGAUUUGAUUAGAAUAUUAAACAAAAAAAAAAAAAAAAAGGAAAAAAAGAAACCUCUUUGAAUCUCAAUGGUGCAAUGGAUUUGGACCAGUUGGGACGAGGCGUUUUUCGACGCCAUAUCGAGGAUCAAUCUCGGUUCCAACCUCGGGAGAAUCAGUGCGAUGGUGGUGACGGUGGUGACGGUGAUGGUGGUGGUGAUGAGGAUGAUUAUCAACAUGGAGAUGUUGGAGAAAGAGAGUGAAAUCAAAUUUAGAAGAGGUCAUAAGUUUUCUGUUGGGAGAAAAAGAGGAGAUUUUGGAAAGAUUGUUGUGAUGAUUAUGAGUAGAAAGUUGAUGAAAAAGGAUAGCUGAAAAGGAAAGAAAGAUGAGAAAGAAGGAAAAGAAUUUGAAGAGGUUUACAGGCAUAAUUAUUAUGGUUAAGAAUAAAAGGGAGAGGGAAAUGGAGGGGGAAAGGACACUGCAUGGGAGAGGGAAAAGGAAGAAGAAGAAGCAGAAGAAGAAGAAGAAAGGAUUAAGAAAAAUGAAGAUUAUUAUUAUUAUUAUUAUUAAUUAGUAUAAGAAAUAUUGGAAUAGAAAAAGGUUGAGAAGGUUGACAUUGGACAGUGAUUGCUUCCAUGAGAAGAGAUAGAAAUAGAAAUAGAGAUAGAGAGAGAAGAAGGGGACAGGAGUGUGUGAAGAAUUCUUGUUUCAAUGAGAACUUCCUUUGCGUUAAAGGAACAAAGCCUCAUUUAAAGCAUAUUGUCAAACUUCUCAUUAUAAUAUUCCCAAAAAUCCAGAGUGAUAGAGAGAAAUUUAUCUAUUUUUUUUAUAAAAUAUUAAAAAUGCAGUUAUCUAUGUUAAAAAAAUACAUGAAAAAAAAUACAUCCAAGUCGUGAGGUUUAGUAUUGUGAAAGGAAUCUAUGUCUUUAAAAAUAUACUAUUUCUGUUUCAUAGUUCUUUCUUGAUAUAAUUCUUAUGAAAAAGAUUAACAUUUCAAUGAUUUGAAGUUAAGUUUAAGUUUUGUAGUAUUCAAUUUUAAGUCUAAAAAAUUUUAUGUGGUUUCAAAAAAAAAACUUUUCAAUUUAGUUGAAUAGGUAUACGAAAAUUCACAUAUUUGUUUAAUACGUGUUUUGACCUAUAUUCAUGGGUCUCUUGUAUAUAAGAUAUUCAAAAUUUACAUGUGUUUACUUUAAUUAAUUUUUUGUUAAAUUCUAUUUUUGAAAUUUUUGUUCAUUAAAAACAAAAACUAUGUAGUUAAUUUUAAAACAAAACAUACUUUUUUUUUUAAGCUUCUUUUUUCUUUUCAUUUUUAAUUUCUCCAUCAUAUUUUAAAAACAAGUUUCUUGUUUAAAAGAUCAAAAGUGUUAGUUACCAAACAUAUCUAUUUUUAAAAAUUAAUUUUCAAAUCCAACAAACAGAAAAACAAAUGAAUUAUUAAACAAACACAAAAUUAUUAGUAAAAGAGCUUUUGUAAACUAAACUUGCAAGUAAACUAUGAAAAAAAUAUCUACCAUUGAAAAUAAUGUCUCUCUAUAGGAACAGCUUAUUAAGACCACCAUAGUUUUUUUCAAAAAAUAAUUUAUUUGGAGUACAUUUUGACUAUAAUAGUUGUAAUAGAAGAGAAUUCAAAUAUACAAACAAACAUAUAAAAAAUUAUGUACUUCUUUGUUAAUCAACAAAAUAAUAUAUAUAUAUAUAUAUCUUAGGCAUUGCAGGAGCCAGCAAAACAUGCCCCCAUUAUUUAUAUUUUGGAUUAGACAGAGAGAGAGAGUACAUAAUUUUUAAAUUAAAAAUGAAAGAAGGAAAUAGGGAGAGAAGAUAGCUGACUUUUGUAUUGAACUAAAAAUUUUGAUCCAAUUUCACAAGUAAAGUGGGUGUGGGUGUGUGGGGAAGGUGUCUAUUUUGCAGAUUUCAAGGUGCAUUUAGGGACAACUCAUACUAUAUUAUUACUAUAUAUUUAUUUCAUUAAUCUUCCCAUAACAUAUAUUCAAAUAUCAAAUGCUACAACUAGAAGUCGUAAUUUCUCAUCUACCUUAUCAUAUAAUAAUAAUAAUAUUAUACAGAUAUAUAAAUUACCAUACCUCACAUCAACAUUUUUUGCUUGACUUCCUCCUUUAAAAUUCUACCUGUUUUAAUGGGCAUGCCCUAUACAAGAAAACAGUUUCAUCUCAUCAGAAACAACAAUACAACUUGUUUAGUGUAAGUAACUGAUAAAGGAAAGACUAGUUUAUUCCUCCUGUUCUAGGAUUUAAUAUGAAAAGGAUGGUGAAAAAGGUGCAGUCAAAUCAGAAAAAAGGACACAAUAAAGCUCCAUUUUGAAGAUUACAGAAAGGCCUUGAGAUAGAAUAGAGAAAGCAAAAGCAAUAUAGAAACAAACAACAAAGAUCCAAUAUGGUUGAGUGUGCAAACCCAAGUUCCUAAACAAUCUUUUUUGUUAAAAACUAAGCCAUUCCCUUUUCUUCAGGAAGUGGGAAUACGGACUUUCAGUGGCUUUUUUUCUUUCUAAAUCACUUUGUCGGCUAUGCCCACCCCUUGGCCAUGGAUACCAUAUCAUAUGCUAAUCUUAUCACUUCAUCAAAUAUUGACCAUAAGAUCAUUCAGCACGGGGGAGGGACGACAAUUCUUAUGUAGAAAUGUCGGCAUAAGCUGGGGAAAAAUUCAUGAGAAGAGGGGGAAAGUCAAAUCACCCCCCACCAAUAACUUUUUUGAUUAAACCGCAGACAGUUUUACCAAAUAACACUAGCAAAUUCUGGUGUAUUGGUUCACAUUUGGUGUAUCAGAGUGGAUGGUCUUGAUCCUGAUGGCUUGGGUUUCCUACUCCCUUUCCCUUUCUUCUUUUCAGCUACCCCACUAAGAUAAGAUCAAUCACUUCCUAGCUAGCUAGGAUGUUACUUGAAUAAGAUCUAUUCUAUAGGUUGUACGGUUCUAUAGCUUAGAUGUUGUGCAAUAUUCUCUUAUCUAAAAGUUGAUAUAAACAAAGCUGCGGAAUGGGGCAACAUGUUAAGAGGGUAUCAAGGUCAUGCAUAUGCCGUAUAAAAAUGUAUUCGUGAGACAAAACUGUGAAAAGUAAACAGUUUUAUGCAGGAUUAGUACCUUCUAUAUUCCAUGCUGCUGCAAUCUACGAAAACUCAAUAAGUAGAAUCCUGAACGGAAUUGUGAUCUGAUGAGAGCGGUUAAUUGUUAUUGUAAUUGAUGAGAAUAUAAACAUACAAAUAAAGCACGAGCAUUAGACAAUAUUUGAAAAAUACUUGUUAUGUUCAGUUGAUUCUACAGGGAGAACAAGGAGAAAUUGUUUGGGAAUCGCUGUUUAUUUCUAAACUUCUAUAUAAGCUUAACAUGUAAAAACUAUCGUAAAAUGCAUUCUAUUGUUUCAAUAGAAAGUUAGCACACGAGUUUUAUCCCACUGUAAUUGGUAACAAAUGGAUUGACAUUCCUCCUUAUUCCUACUUAAUUAGUGAGUGAAAAUCAAUUAAAUAUCCAUUGUUCUUGAUCUUUUCUUGCAGCACACCAAACAGUUCAGUUCAUCCGUGUCCCCAAGAUGAAAUGUCAGCAGUAACUCAGGCUAGAGAUCUUUAAAAUCGGCUCCAACAUAACAUGUAACACGGCUGCUGAAGAUUAACUGCAGAGCUUCUACCUCGAUUCAUUAAGGCCUUCCGAUGGAAGAAAGGCAAUAUCACCUUGUGUCAUAUUUGAGGUAUAAAUUCUCUUUGCCUCUUCAACCUUCCUCCCAAUCCACAUCAUCAUCUUCUUCUUCUUCUUCUUCUACCAAAGCUGAGGCUUCAACGUUCAAGUCAACCUUGUAAUUUUCAUUUGCAUUACCUGUGAAAUACGCAAUGAAAGGUAAGUUCUUCCUUAACCCAACUCACUUUUACUUAUAAAAUAUGCUACAGUCAAUUGUUCAACUUGACUGUUAAUUUCCGCAUCCUGAAAAAGUUAGUCUGAGAAACAUAAUAAAAUCUAAUGUACAACUGAAAAAUUAAAGAACCUAAAGCCUUAUGGUCGUUAAAUAUCUUGCAAGAACUCCCAAGUACACAGUGGAGAAUUUGAUAUGCAAAUUUGAAGCCACUAUCAGUUCAGAAGCUGGUAUGAUAUGACAGAGCUUAAAAUAAUAAGACUUAAGUUGUAAUUUGUAAUAAAUCAUGUUCUUUUUUAUAAGAAUUAUUAAUCAUGUUUUGAAACUAGAAAGUCAGUACACGGCUCCAAAUACAAAUAAUAUUUAAACCACAUGAAACAAAAAAGUGAUACACAAGAUCCCCUUUUGAUAAAAUUGGAAAAAUAUAGAAAAUAGUUUGGCCUAGCUUAAGGAUGAUAAUUUAUACGCAAAAGAAUGAUGAUUACCAAGAAGCUUAACUCAUACUAAAUCAUUUUCUUUAUCUCAUACAAAACAAUGCAGAAUCUCGAAACAGAUUAAAGCAUGUGAUGUUGUUUAUGUCAUUUACGAAUUUAUGGUACUAUCAAGGUGCUUAUGCCACCGCAGAAUAAUAAGCAGAUACAAACACCAUAAAAAUUUAAAGAAUCAAACAUGGAAAAGAAAAUUCAUGUCUUACCACCUAUUGGAGCCUCCUCCCACUCAAUAUCAUCAUCUUCAUCCUCUUCACGUUUGGCCUUCAUUCCCACCUGACGACUGGAAUUUGUGUUAGCCACGCUUUCAGUAACCUCUGUACUGGAUAAUUCCUGUUGUCCCUUAGCAGCUUCUUCAAGCUCUUGUUGCUUCUUCAGUAUAGCAGCAUAAUAAGCUUUAACAUACUCAUCCUACAAUACAGCCCCCAAGUACAUGAAUCAUAAAAUUUCUGUCAAUUUAGAUUUUAGGAUAAGGAAACACUUAAAUUCACAAGAAAUGAAAAGAGCCAAUCUAAUUGAACAAACCUGUAUAUUUGUUUUAUCAUCAUCGUUAGCCAAUGACUUUUUAUCAUCAGAAAACUGAGCAGAAGCUGAACCAGCAUCUGUCUUUGACUCGUCUUUGACCUCUCCGCGUUGUUCCUUUGUGAGGUUCAUUCCUUUCUUGAUCAUCCAAGGAGGUAAAACUUUCAGACUUGUGUUCUCGGAUUCAGAUUUAGCGUCCACUCCUGUACCCUCAGCGCCAGAAAAGGCAACUUCAACCUAAAGGAUUCAUUCAGAGACUCUUGAUCGUUAGACUGGUACAUUUCAAGGUCCAAAAAUAAAACGAGCAUGAGGUGAAAAAUGGGAUACCUUGGUCUCGCCAACAAAAGGCAUAGGUGUUCCCCCAUAACCUUGUGAUGAUUUUGAGGGAUCAUUUCCAUUAAGAUCACCAUUUAUACCCCGUGCAGCUGCACUGGCACGAGCUUCCCAUGCUAAAAGAGUUCCAAAUUCUGGAACAGGCAAAUCUUUGACUCUGCUGAGUUGUUCCACUAAAGGUUUAAGCUGGGCCUGCAAUUAUUUGAUUUAUUCAUUAACAUUUAGUGAUUGAAAAAUUAUUUUAUGCAAUCUCAAUGGUUAAGACACAAAUCCCUCAUAAAUAAUUUCAGAAACAGGGCUUCAAGUUGAAUGACAUCAUUACUUAUGUAAAAGAGUUUCAGUAAUCAAUGAUCCUCAUAAAUUCUGAAACAGACAGAAGCCAAGAAGGAAUGAAUCUGAAACCUUCUACGAAAUAGGUGUUCAUUAUUAAAGAAAAAUAAACAGCUCACUAAAGCAUAGAAUAAUGCCUUGUGUGAGGCAGCGAGGAAGUUAAUCGGUUGGGGAAGCUAAAUGGGGUGGAGGAUAAACUAAGCUCAAUGAUUUGUUUAAUAAUGAAGAGGAAUUUAAUGUUUGAAAACAAACCUCUGGAAACCCCUCUCAGUCUCACAUUGCAAAAUCCAGCACGUUUAAAGUCACUGGUAGAUGAAUGCAAAACUAGUUUUCAUUUGAGAUCUGAUUCUAGUCACUUUUUUGGUUCAAUAAUCAGUUACAUUGGAAUUUCAAUGGCGAAACUUGUGUGGUUCGAAAGUUGCAGAUAAAGAGAUUGGAAUUCAAGACUCUUGAAACACUUAAUCUAGAUCUAGUACUCUCCCAAGAAUCAAAGAAGAAGCUAGACACAAGAACUGUUUCCAACCAGUUGAACAAUUAUCGUUUCUUAGCAGUUUUGUGGUUUCAUCUUAGUGACGAUUCAGCAAGGCUGAUUGUUGUUCUCUUGGUGUUCCCUCUUCACUCAUCUCGAAGCUUAUUGUGGGCAAGUUGUUAGCUUACUUUGGGUUCCUUUUGACAAUCUUUUUUAAUUACUUUGUACUUAGUUUACAUUCUAGAUUUCAUUGUUGUUCCAGGUUAGAGGAUUUUGACUAGCUUGCUGUUAUUGCUGGUUUUGACUUGGUUAUAGUUUGUAUCUGUUUUAUUCCUUCUGCUCUCAGUAUAAUUUUCUAGUACUUUUUAUUUUCAUAAGAAACGAACAUUUCAUUGAUAAAAUGAAAUAAGGGGAAACCCCAAGUACCUAAAGGUGAUUACAAAAAGAGCGUCAAUUGGAAACUAAGACCAAUAAGCUAAAGUUCUUAAAAGGGUGCCCAAUUUUGCAUCAAUAAAAAACUGUGGACAAAACAAUGUCCAAAAAAGAACUAAAAGAUGAAAAAGAGUCUUGAAAUAGACACCUAUGACGCUCGGCCCAUAACGUCCAAAAGAAAGCCCAAUGAACAGCCAGCCAAAUAACCUUCUUACAACCAUUAAACAGGUGGCCCACCAUAAGAGAGUUGAGGAUGUCCAGAAUGUAAUUGGACAAAACAGUAGACCAACCAAAAGCCUCUAAAAUGAGAUCCCAAAAUUGUCAAGCAAAAGGACAAUGAAUAAAAAGAAGAGCCGGGAUCCAGCAUUAGCACAACACAUAAUACACCAAGAAGGAGAAAGAGACAUAUAAGGCAUACGAUGUUGGAGACGAUCAGCAGUGUUUAUAGCUUUAUGACCAAGCUCCCAAAGAAAAUUUUUAAUUUUCUUCAGGAAGUGAUCCCCUAUCCAAAUGAUCGAAAAAAAAUCCCGUUCAGAAGGCUCAAGAGCACAUGUCAAGUCAUCAAUCAUAGAUUUCACAGUUAACGUAUGAUGCCUGAUUCUCUAGUACAUUUUUUUUAUAAGAAACAAGUAUAUUCAUAUAACAUAACAGAACAAUCUAAGGGCAAGGGACAAGAGGACCCUCCCCGGAAGAAGCUAAGGAACUAAGAAAUGAUAGCCUUCCAAUUAUUGAAAAUCAUUGAAAGGCUAUAAUUACAAAAGUGUUUGGUGUAAUUCGUACUCCACCAAGAAGCUGUGUGUUGCAACACAGUCCAAAAAGAAUCAAAAGAAUUAUAUCUAUCUUCAAAAAUUCUACUAUUCAUUUCUUUCCAAAUGCACCACAAAAGGGAUCGAGUCGCACAUUUCCAUAAGAUGUUUCCUUUUGGGCUAUAACCUGUAAUGUUGAGUCCUUCAAUCAUCCGGCUAUCAAUCUUACUAGGAAGACAAAGCUCCAAGUCAAAAAUCCUAAACAAAGUGUUCCAAGCUUUUUUUGUAAAGAAACAGUGUAGAAAUAGAUGAUCCAAAGUUUCCUCUUCUUUGGAACAAAGACAACACAUCGAGGGGCUAAGCAAUGUGUUCUGAACAUUUUUUUGUAGCUUCUCAUGAGCGUUAAGGCUUCUGUAAGCAAGCAACCAUAAGAAAAACUUCACCUUCUUCGAAAUUUUGUUCUUCCAAAUAUGACGAAUCAAAGGAACAACAAUGGAGGGGGAUCUCUUGGUUAAGUUAAGAAAGGUACACUUCGUAGUAAAGUUGCCAUUAGCGUUAGGAGUCCAUUUAAGACUAUCAUUCCCUUCAGUGGGGGCCCAGGAAUGAAGAAUUUCUAAAACUGAGGCCGCAUUGGGAAUCUUGUUAUCGAGCAUAUUUCUUCUAAGGCCCAAAUUCCAGGAAUGAGUAGCAGUACAAAAACAUUCAGCCACAUAAACAUCCUUAUUCAACGACAAAGAGAAUAAGUUAGGGAAUUUUUCUGUAAGUGUUUCCGCGGCACACCAUUUGUCCUUCCAAAAUCUGAUUUUUGUUCCUUCUCCCAGAACAAAAGCAGAAAAAUUAAAGAUCUCCUUGUGCUUUAAAAUACCAGCCCAUAAUCUGUAAGAUUUUGAGCAUUGGUUUUUCUUAUUAUUAUUCAUGAAGAGGUUUAUCUCUGUUAUGAAUUUAUAGGCUUGUUGCGUGUAGAAAGCCCAAGGGUAUUUAUGUAAACUAUUAUACCCUAGUUUUAUUUUCCUUUUUUGUUAAGGCUCUUGUUGCCUAUUAAUUCUUCCCCUUUGUUUUUUUUUUAUUAUAAGAAAAUAAUAAGCAAGGUCUCUAGUGGUUUUUCUCCUUGUACUAGGGUUUCCACGUAACUUGGUGUGUUAUUUCAUUUCAUCACUUUUAAUAAUUUCUGUUUCAAAGAAAAGCAUAGGAUUAUGCCUUGUGUUCUUAUAGCCAGGAUAUAAUUCUUCCAACAUCGAUAUGAUUGAGAGAGAGUGAGAUUUGAAGUUGAACAAGAUUCACAAUGCACUUUGUUUGGGUCAUUGUACUAAAUGUAAAAUGUACAGCACGUUGAAAAAUAAAAUUCAAACCUCCAUCUUUUGGAGCAUGUCCUUCAACUUUUCAUGCCGACGCUUCCUGACAUUGUCAUCUCCAUCCACUCCUUGGACAGCAGCCAGUUUGUCACUCUCUGCAACUAGCUCUCCGUUGCAAUUUUCACAAUGGAAGUAUUCAUCCUCAAAAGAGAUUAAUCGAAGAGCAUCCAAAGCAGUGUACCUAAUUAAUAUCAUCAAAUUUUCAAGCUCGCUUCCAGUUAAAGAAGUCAGUAACAAGUGUGCCGUGCUGUGAUUUCAUCCGGUUAAAUUACAAAAUAUCAGAAAUAACAUUUCUAAAGAGAAACUGUCAUCAUCAAAACCUUCUCGAACAAUUAGGGCAUAUAUACUCUUGAACUGUGUUCUUGUCCUCCAGUUCAUCUUUCAGUUUCUUCUUCAUGCGGUGCAUUCUGUAUCUAACCACAUCAUAAACCUGAAACCAAGUUUAGCUUUAGUGUGGUAACUCAUCAGAACUAAGUCUGUUCUCAUUGGGUUUAGAUACAUUUAUUAUUUAGUGAUGAAGCAACCAUAAAAAUUACAUAUAGAAAAGAAACCUGUGCAUAGUCUAGUGAGCAAUAAGAGUGUGUGUGCAUCUUAAUCUUUUCAUCCCCCUCCUUCGAAUGGUGUGGACCAUCGGCUGUGGCAGCAACCGCAGCACUAAAUAUCUUUGCUCCCUUGGCUGUCUGGAAAAGCAAAGAACAAAACAAAAUAAAAAAAUGAAGAGCAUGCCAAUAAAUAGUGAUAUAAAACAAUAACUCGUUGAUACACUCCUCCACAUUAAAAAAAAAAGUAUGAAUCAUUAAGCAAUAUAUUUAAAAGAAUUCAAAAAGAUUUUUCUGUAUGAAAAAUACCAGUCAAGUUUACAUAACAUCUAUAUUAAUCAGCCUCAAAUGAAGAAAUAAAAGAAGAUAAAAGGUACAAUGAGAGAGAAAAGUGCAGAGUUGACGAAAGUGAACAUCAUUCAACUUAGUUCUAAGUCUUAACUUUUCGAAUCUCUCCUCUAGGGAAGAUUUAAAAUGGUGCAAGACAUACAAGAGAAAGGUGUAUUGUCCAUAUGUCAUCAUAGUCCACGAAAGAAGGUCACGUGACGCAUGGACUAAUAAUAGCAUUGGCAUUUAUGCAAUCUCAAAUCUAACUUGGUUUUUGAACUUUCAAUUUUGUGUCUAAUAAGUCUAUUUGAUCCCAAUAACUUUCAAGUUUAUGUAUGAUAGGUCUAUUAAAUUACAAGUUUGAUUCCAAUAACUUUCAAGUUUGUGUCUAUUUGGUGCCUGAACUUUCAGUUUCAUGUCCGCUCAAACUCUAGAUUUCUAAUUUUGUGUCUAACAAAUUUUUUACCUUUGAAAAACCACGAAUCUACUAGACAAAAAGUUGAAAGUUUAAAAUUGCAUCAAACAUAAAACUAAUUUUUUUAUCUAAUAGAUCAAUUAAUUUAUAAGAACUUUUAAUAUGUCAAGGAUGACAUAAAAUUGAAAGUUCAAAGUUCUGUUAGACAAAAUUUAAAGUUCAAUGACCAAAUAGACACAAACUUAAAAGUUCAAUAUUAAACUUAUUAUUCAACUCAAUUUAAAUGAAAUACACCAAGAGGCAACAGAAACAGCAAUGUCCCAAGCAUCCCCAAUAGCCUAGUCCUCCCUUGAAACACUCGUCUAUCUCUUUUUAACAAAAUUACCCAAAAUAUAAAACUCCAUUCAACAUAAGUACCUUAAAUUCUGUAGACAACUACAUACUAAGAAAUUGAAGACUACUAACCUAAUACGCACAAGAACAAGAUUCAUUGAUAGAGUCAGCACUGACCUCCCUUCUAUGAUCUCGGGUAAUCAGUUUUUCCUCUUCUAAAAACCUUAGGGUUCGACGUAAUUGCUUUGAAUGUAGUUUUAAGUUCUUUGCCAAAUCUUCUUCCCGAACCCAUUGCCGUCUAGGAAGGGAUACAACAACAAACAUGAUAAGCAAUGGAAAAAAUGUGGCAGUAAAACAGCUCAUCCAAUUCAUAAAAGAAGAUACAUGCACACGGGGACUUGUCAUCAUAACAAAUUCAUGAAAGAAGAUGCGAGGAUUUGUCAUCAUAAUAAAUUCAUGAACAGGGGAACAGGUCCUGACAACAAAUUAAGAAACUUGAAACUUUCAAAUGACAUAUUUCAAUUACCUAUUUGCUCAGACCGUCCAAAAAAAUCUAUCUUAACAAACAGGGUAAGGUUUUUUAACACAAAACAGAUGAACCAACAAUAAGCAACAAUGAAAUGACAGCCUCGAGUUUGAAAGAAACAGAAGUAUAAACUAAGCUAUUGAGUAAGCUGCAUCAAUGUGCCAUGCCACCCUUCAACUUAGCUUGACUAGAGAAAAAAAUGCACACGAGAUAAGUUUCAAGAAAUACAUAUAAACUACCAUGAUGAUUUAGUUGUUCCAACCCAGCAGUAGCAGAAUUGGGUAUACAAUACAUACAAUGUCCGGAACCCAUCAUGCGAUGGCCCAGUGGUAAGAAGAACAACGGAUUUAAUAAAGAACUUGGUGUGAAUGGGGAUGCCUAUGAUUUAAUAUCUUACAAGUUUCUUAAGUACUCAAAUGUUGUAGGGUCAGGGGGUCAAGUGGGUUGAAAUAAAAUGCAUUCAGUGCUCAGCUUAGUCUGUAAAUAUAACUACCAGGAAUCCACUGCGUUCAAGAUCAAGAAAGAAGAUGCCGUUCGAAUUCCCACUAAUCCAAUCACGAAUUCCCACUAAUCCAAUCAUAUUCAAGAAUAGUUCCUAUGUAAGUUCAUUCUACUAAUCUAGCUUCCCUUCCCCUUCCUUUCAGUUGCUUUAAGCGGCGGUAUUCUGCUUCUGCCUUCUAUACAAACACUAAAAAUUUCCAAGUAAAUAAAAACGCCAAAGAGCAGUACCUGGUAAGAGCAUCAAGAACAACAACCGCAAUUCCCCUAUUAUCACUCCGACCGGUUUUGGGUUGAUUAUCCCCUUUAGUGGUAAUGUCAUCGUAGAAAGCUCUCGCAGCUAGCUUCACCAACCUACCCAAUUGAUCAAGAUCGUUCAACACACCAAAUUGAACAGAACCCAAUUAGAAAAAUGAAAACAGAAAACAGCCCAAGGUAGAGAAGGUAUUCAAAUUUGCUAUUUCAAUCAUUUGAGAGGGCUCACAAGUUCAUAGAGGAAAGAAAGUACCUGUUAAAAGGUUCGAUACUCAUGGUGAUUUGAUGCUGAUGAAUUAACUUGGGGUUCAAUUCAAUUCCUGAAUCAAAUACUUAAAACUGGUCUUGCUAAUACAUGGGGAGCUGAAUUUGUUCGGUAUUCGAUUCAACCAAGUCUUUACAGAGGAGAGAGAUCUGGAAAUCGUGCGAAUAAACGAACGCGAAUUUGAGCAUUGCCCGUAACAAAUAAAUGAAUGAAAGCAUCUUGUGGGUCGGGUUAUCUAUAUUUCCUUCGUAAUGGGCUUUCAUCGUCUAUUGGGCCUAAUUGGUCCAAUUUGAUUUGAUCAGGAAUACAAAGAUCGACGACGGCGCGAACUCUAAACUUAAAUUUCACAAAAAAUUAUUAAAUAAUAUAUUAAUAUUCUAUUUUGUGUCUAUCAAACUCUAUUAACCUUUUAAAUUCUAUAUUUGAAUGAUGAGAAAUCUCGUUAAUUUUUUCUAUUAAUAUGUUAUGCCAACAAACAUUAUAAUCUAUUCAUUUAUUAAAUAAAUUUAAAAACUAUUCUAAAAUCAUCAACUAUCAACUACUUGUCCCUAAUACUAAAUUAGUAUUAAUAACUAAAAAUUAAAAAAUAUUAGAAAAUUUGACCAGGUGUAUUUUAAUCAACUUGUAUAACAAGAUAAUUAAAAUAAAAUUAUUUUUUUUAAAAAUCAAUCCAAACCUGUCUAUAUUUAAAAUUAAAAUUAGAUAACUAAAAGUAUAUGGAUUGGAAUUGAAUAAUUCUCAAAAUGAUAUUAUAACCGAUAAAUUGUUGGAUCGAGCAAGAGGAACCACAAAUCAUGCAGUACUGUACUAACACAUUCAAGUUUUACUUGCAACCAAGCUUUCACAUUUUUACUUAAUUAUGGUACAAUAAAAUGUUCCAUUUUAUGUGGUGGCACCUCCCCUAGAGUUUGGAUAUUUAUAUUCAAUACCACAUUAUCCAUUUAUGUAUGUUUAUUAUAUUCUUUUUCUUUAUUUAUAUAAUAAUAAUAGUAAUAAUACGUGUCGCAAAAUGGAUAUGUAGUUUAUUUAAGUUUAUUUUUUGUUAUAGGUUGUAAAUAAUUUCAAUUUUUUUUGUUGUCUAUAAUGAUCUCUCUUAAUAAUAUUAGAUACGACAACCACAAAUUUGUACAUACCAUUAUUAUGGGAGAAAAAAAAUAAAAAGAAUUUUUUUAUGGAUAGAAAAAAAUUGAAACAAUUUACAAAAUAUAGCAAAAAAAAAAAAACUAAUAUAUACUAAGAAUAGUCGAAUAGAUUUAUCUAAGUUUUGUAAAUAGUUUCAACUCUUAUGUUAUAUUUGAAAAUACUUUAUAAAAAAGAACGACGUUAUAUUUAGGUUAGUAAAUAACGAUUUUUUACAUGAAAUAAAAUUGAGUAAAAUUUUCGAAAUAGAUGUAAAAUACUCGAGACUCUUCUUCUUCUAUGUACAUGGAUUUAUUUACACGUAUAAACAAAAGAAAAAAAAAUUAGUUAAUAUAAGAAGUCGAAGGGUUAGAUUCUCAUACUCUACCAUUCAUUUUACUGUUUUUUUUUUAAGAAUGAAAGUAACUUAUUUUUUACUUUACAUCAUGAAAAUAAAACUUCGGUUUGGAAUUUUUGUUACCAUUUUUCUUUUGAAGCUUAACAAUUACAAAGUAUAAAUGAUAAUUAGUAAUUUUAUUUUUUGAAUUAUGCUCGAAUUGGUGUCAUGUUGUUUUCUAAUUAAUAGCGAGAAUGUUUGACAGUUGUAAUUAAAUGAUUGGAUAUUUAAUACAAAAACAAAAAUUAAUUAAUGAUAAAACCCACCAAAUGAAAAGAUAAUACAAUCAUAUGAUAUGCAUUUUUAUUCUAUUGAGAUGUUAAUUAAUUUUUUCUCCUAAUGUUCUGUGAAUUUUUCCAAUUAAUGGUCCAUUCCCACCUUGUUGUCUACAUCUUUUUGGAGGCUUCACAAUGCUUUUCUUGGGGGGGGGUUUCGGUAUUUUCACUGUUGCCCCUAUGCUAUAUGGAUAACAAGUACUAACUAUACACACCCUUUUUUUUCUUGUCUACAAGUAAUUAUAUAUCGAUUUUUUUAGUAUAAUAAAUAGAUGAUGAAAAAAUCAAACCUCUCUGACCGUAGGAUUAGGAGCACAUAAAAAUUAUUCAUCGUAGGUAAACUUAAUAGUCGUUGCAACUUAUUUAGAAUUAGACGAACAUUUUAAAUACUAUAUUCAAAUUGCAACGCAUUAGGUUUUUUUUUCUUUUUUUUUUGGUUAGAAAUUCAAAUUUUCACUUAAAAUAGAAAGAAAACACAUGAUUUGCAAUACCCAAAUCAAUUCUCUCUUUUUUCCCCUAAUUCUUGUUGACCUAAUAUAAUCAAUUUCUAAUUAUCAAUAAAUAAUGUGUAUAUAUCCACACUUUUAAAUCAUGUACUUUUACCCCUAACUUGCUGUUAUUUUGGCAUUACACUCUCAUUUGAAAAACCAUAAAGCUCAUGUGAUGGUUAUUUUUUAUUAGAUCAAAUAUCAAUUCAAUUAUUCAUGAACUAUGAUACCAUAGUAGUAUAUAUAGAGUUUCAUCUUUAUUGAGUCAAGUACAACUCCUUUCAUCUUUUCUAAGGUGAAAUUAUAGACAAAUUGAAAGAAUUAAAUAUUAGGGUUUUUAGAAAAGAUAAAAAAGAUUCACAAAAAGUUAGGCCCAUGGUUUUACCUAGGUGGGAAAAGAAAUGGAAGGAAUAUUAAGCAAAGAGAGGUACUAAUUUUCCAAUUAAAAAUGUCCAACAGAAGAUGAUCAAAAUACUGAUCUGACACUACUGCUUAUACAUAACCCACACAGAUAUAUAUUGGCAUAAGGAUAGAAAGCAAAACAUGUGACACAUUGGACUUUCUUUCCCAUCACCCCUCCCCUAAUUUCAUUUAAUUACUAAAUAAUCAAAUUACAAAUUUAGUCCCUUUGAUGCAGAAGAAAUUAAAAUUUCAAUCCCUAUAACUUGUAUGUUUAUCAUUGAGCUGUCUCUGUACUUGUUUAGUUUUCAUGGUAUACGUUAUGUAGGUGGAGUUCAUCGAUCAUACAAUUUAUCGAACGAUUAGGACUAAGUUAAUAACUUUUAAAAUUACACAGACUAAAAUUUUUUAGUGCUUAUCAAUCCAUGACUUUUUCCUCUCAAUAGGAAGGUUUUCAUCUAACCUCACAUUUAAUCUCACCAUCUCUUUGCUAACUUAAAGAAACGUCAAUAAAAACUUUGCUCAACUAGUAUCUCUAUAUAUUAAGAAUCCAAAAGAUCGUCUGAACUCAAAUCCAUCAUUUCCAAUUUGUAAUAAAAAAUUAUGUCUGAAGUAUCAUUUUCCCUUUUAAAAAAAACUCUACUAACUUGGGAUUGGAUUCGGUAAUUUAACUCGAUAAAUGAGAGAGAAUUACAAACAUUAUGCAAUGUAAAAAAUAAAUUUAACUCUCAAAAUUAUGCAACUAGCGGUAGAGACCAUGUUGCUGGUAAGAGUCUUGAUAAGAGAGUCAUCCAUUGAUAAUAUAUAUUUUACCACAAUUGUAAAGCUUUUUAAGAAGGUUGCUAAGCAUUGAAUUGGUAUUCCUAAAAACACAAUCAAUUACCGUAAUUCUAAUAAAGAUAAGGUCAAAAUGAGUAACUAAGAUAAAAUUUGUAGUUAGAGAUUUGGUUAUGUAUACAUUGUUGUGUAAAGAAAAAAAAGAAAAGAGUUGUGUCAAAAUCAGAAUACUGUGUAUAAAAAUUUAUGACAGAAAAGAAAAAUGGUGGCCUACAAAGGCAAUAUCCAAAGUACUGUGGAGCCAUCCUUGGAAGGGGAAAAGAGGGUUCAUAUUCAUCCCCUCCAAGCCUGAAAAUGCACAUGAAAUCUCUCAGCACAAAAUGUGGGAAAUGAAAUUUCAACCACAAAUAUGGAAAAAAAAUAUGGUCUCUAUAGUGACAGCAAGAGCCAGUGAGUCUCUUUCUUUUCUCUUUUCCAUUUUUUUCCACCACAGAUGGGAAAAGUCACCCUAUGGUGGUAAUUAUUACUUGAUUCAAACUUAUAAAAGUGUUAAACUUAAAACUUACUUCUAAUAAUAAAACUUACUUGAACUUUAAAACUUAUACAAUGUUUAUAAUUAUAUAAGAUUUUCCUCUAGCCUCUAUUUAUUUGUAUUUAGAUUUGGACGGAUAUGGAUGAUGCUAUGGAUGCGUUAAUUUAUAUUAGUUGAGAUUUUCAAAUGUACCUAUUGAUAAAUCGUUUUAAAGGUUGAGAGGAUCAUUUUUGCAAUAUGCUAUUAUAUUUUGUUUUGAAGAAAAGAAUUACUUUUUGUAGGGUUUGUUUGUGUGAUAGAGAUGCCUGGGAGCUUUCACUAUCAGCCACUCUCUCCCAACAAAAAUAUUGUACAUUCAAAGAACCUUUUUUUUAUUCUUUGUUUGAAGCUUAUCUUCUUCCAAUUGAAAGCAACCCUAGAACAACCCAAUUACCCAACUUUACAAGAAACACAUGAGUGGUCAUCAGUUAUUAUGUCAGUCUAAAACAAGCACACACACACAGUGCGGCAUGUAUAAAUGGAAAGUGUUUUUGGGGAGAAAGGGAAGUGUUUUUUUAGGGCUUAAUUCAUAAUUAUAGCAAAAGGAAGAUAAAGAGAUUGUUGUAUUAUAUGAGAGGAGAAAUGGGAUUUCUUUUUCUUCAUCUUCUUCUUCUUCUUCUUCUUCUUCAGGGGGGGAUUGGGGAUUUCUCUUAUGGUGAGUAUAGUUUGGCCUUUUUGGUGAUUGGCUAGGGUUUUUGACUAAUGGUGUGGUAGAUGGCGAAUAUUUUUACCUUAGUUAUCCAACCAUAGUUUUUUAGAUAGAUUUUUUUAAAAAAAGAUAGUCUCAAAUUUGGAUAUAGAUCAUUAAAUUUGAUCCUGUAUUUCAAGAUUUACAAUUUAUCUUUAAUUUCUUUUUAAAAUUAAAAAGAAUUGUAAUUAAUUAAUUUUCACUAUUUUUUACCAACAUCAAAAUUGACUUCAAAUAUACAUCAUUAACACCAAAUAUUGUGUUUGAACACUAAUAACAACUUAAAGUGGGUAAUUAGUGAAAAAUUGAGAUUAAACAUAUCAAACUUAGAGUAGGAUGAGAGUGUUGUACGAAAGUGUCAACCUAGUUUAAAUGUUCUAGUACGUCAAUUAUCUCUUAUUUUCUUUUAAUGAACUGUUAAUAUAUAUAUAUAAAUUACUUUCGAAAACAUAGGACCCCAAAUUGAAACAAAUCUCGUAACGUUUUGAAAAAUAUAACAUUUUGAAACCUAGCGACGAAAAGAAAACUAGAGAGAAAAGAUAGGGUUCAACUUAAGUUACACUCAUACGUUACUCUUUCUUCUAUAUAGUAAGAAUACCGAAUGAUAGAAAAGAUGGAUGCAACACAAAAUACCUUAGACUAUUUUUCGGUUUAGAUAAGUAGGUAUCUGGCAGUGGCAAGUACGAGCACAAACCAAACAAACUCCUUUUUUUUCUUUUUUUUUUUUUGUGUGAAGCUUUAUAGCGAAAGAGAAAGGGCAAAGGGCAAAGGAACUACUUUGAAUUGCACUCCUCCCUUUGAAGAAAAAGGUAAAUAGAUAAGCCACGCAUGGAGGAAAGCCCCACUACCAAUAACAACAUUCUCUCACACAAAAACACUUCAUAGAAAAAUUAGUUCUUUUCUUUUUCUCCUUUUUGUUGAAAGUGACACUAGAAAAAUAAACAAAUAGAUAAAUAAAUUUUUGUGUUAUUAUUUUUUUCAAAUCAGUCAACAGAGACCAUUGGCUCUCUAGACACAGGCUAAUUCAGAGUUGUACACUGAUGUGUUUUAGAGAUAAAUAAUUGUCCUUUCACUCAUAGCCUUAUAUAUAUAUAUAUACACACUAUACAUGUAAGUCGGACAAAUUGCAAAAACUACCGUGCUAAAUUUCUAAAAGUGUUAAAAUUAUUGGACAAUCAAUUUUACAGUAUUUAUAAAAAUUAGACUUGAGAUAGAUAAAAAUUUAUAUAAUCAAUAUAAUUAUAUAUGGAAAACUUAAUUUUUAAUUUUGAAAGUUUGACAUAAUUUAAAUAUCACACUAUUUUAAGAUUGUUUUUGUAAUCUAUCCUAAAUAUAAAAGUAUGGCUAUCCAUGCCCACGUGGACUUGCCAUGUCCUACAUUCAAAUUGGUUCAUGACCAAUUUCCAAAUAAUAAUACAUUAGAAAGUCAAAAGAAAAAAGAAAUUAAAAAAGGUGUUGUUUUGUAAAUAAACCCAAGUGAAAAAUACCACAUUUUUAUAAUGGAAUCCAUGCAGUCAGUGAUAUGAUCAUAUGUUGGGAAAAAAAAGGCCUCAAAGGGCAGAUUUUUGUAUGGUGUGAAAAUGAACAAGAAAAAAAGAAUUAAAUAAUUGUUCUUCAAAGAGUUUUAAACAGUCGCUCAGCUUAAUACCAUUUCUAUAUGAAUCAUGAUGAUCUAUGGACGAGGAUAUUAUCGUAAAUGUUUGAUAUCUUGAUGUACUUCUUCUUUAACUUCUUGAUGGUUAUGAUUAUGAUAUUUCUUAUAUCACUUAGUUGUAAAGUUUUGAUGGAAUCUUUGGUGCAUUAUUGUUGUUUUAAUAAUAUCAUCAUCAUUUCACAAUGUAAUAUUAUAUUAUCGCUUAAGUAUCAUAAAUGCCUUAAACCGUUAUUGAAGUAGAAAUUGCAUAUAUACCAUGAAACAAUAUGUCAAUACAAACUUUUGUUCUCUAUAUUGAACAAUAACUUCUAUUUUAAUAGUAUAGUGUGGAACGCUUAUGAAAUAUGGCAAGAAUGUAAAGUUACAACUUUGAAAUGAUAGAAACUUUUAUAGUUGAAAAAAUCUUCGAAAAGGCCAAAUUUGGUUUAAUUACAAAUCUAAAUUGUACGGUUAUAAAAAAAAUAGAAUUUAAUUCUUAUUGUUUGAUAAAACUUCUCAAACAGUGUAUAUGAUCGAUAAAUUAGUAUUUUGCCUUUUUGGUGCAUAAAAUCUCCCAGUCAUUUGUAAUAUGUUGCAAUGCUUCAUCUUUGCCUGAAACUUAAGUAUUUCUGUUAAGUGUCUAAAGAGUUUCCUUCUAGCUUUUGGUUGUAUAUUUUAUGAACAGAUAUAUCACUCUAGAUAAAUUUUUUUGAUGAGAUCUAGUGUUAUAAAUGUGUUUACCUAAUUGAAAUGUGCUAAUAAUGGUAGACUAAAUUUGUGAUUUAAGGAGAAGGGAAAGGGAAUUUGUGACUUAAUGUGUGUGUCAAGGUCAUCAUGUGCAAGCCACGUGAAGUGGCACAAAUACUAGGUGACUUCUGUCCACUCACCUCCCAUUAUAUAUUAUAAUGUUUUAUUAUAUUUAUCUCCACAUACAUCACUUCACUCUAAAGACGAUCCCUACUUUUUCCUCAAAAGAAAAACCCCAAAUUCCAUCUUCUUCUUUCUCUCUUUCUUUCCCAUUUUCUUCACAACUCUCCCUUUCAACAAACCCCUCCUUCCAUUUCCAUUGCUUCAAGGUCCUGUCUUUCUCAGCUAACCCUAAAUUCUCCCUCAACUUCUUCUCAAAAUUUUACCAAAUAUAUACAUGCCUUUGAUCUUUCUCAACUCUCUUUUCUAUCUUCAAUUAGGAUAUUUCUUUCAAGUCCUAUUUGGAGGAAAGCUCUCUCCUCUAAUUGUCACUCUCAAUUGCCUUUAGUGACAAGGAGAGAUUAUAUAGUUUUUUUUCCUAGUUGAUUAUGUGUUUUUUAUAUAUUUGGAUACACCUACUCAUCUCUUUUAUCGGUUUGUUCAUCCUUGAGUUAACAAGUCAUUAUAUGUUCUUUUAGGGUUUUUGUUUGUUUUUGCUUUCUUUUUGCACAAAUUCCAAAUCAAGGGGAAAAAGAGAGAUUAAAAGAUCAGAGAUAUGUUUGUGUUCAAUAGUUGUAGUAACAACAAUCAUGGUAAUGACUGUAUCUCUUUCCCUGACCAUUCAUUUCUUCACUUUCCUUCUCCUUUUGAUGAUGAUGGUAAUCCUACUAAUUCCCUUCUUCUUCAACAACAAUCUCAACAUGACAUUUUUCUUCAUCAUCAUAUUCCAUUGAAUGAACCAUCUCCUCCUCCUCCUUCAUCGACUUUUGUAAAUGCUUUGAGAUCAUCAGAAACAAUCAAUAAUGAUGUUUUUCAUCAAGACCUCGUCAGUCAAAGGAAAAAAUCUUCAUCUAAGAGAGAUAGACAUAGCAAAAUCAACACUCUUCAUGGACCAAGAGAUAGAAGAAUGAGGCUCUCAUUGCCUGUGGCUAAAGAGUUUUUUGGUCUACAAGACAUGCUUGGUGUUGACAAAGCUAGCAAAACUGUGGAGUGGUUGCUCUUUCAAGCUAGACAUGCAAUCAAGAAACUCUCAAAGGAUCAACAAAGCUUCCAUAUUGACGGCAAUGGUGAUACAAGGAGUCCAUCAUCGGUUUCAGACGGGGAAGUCGUGUCAGGGAUUAUCGAUGAAACUUCAACUGUCGUCAAUAACAACGACAUGAUCAGCACAAAAGAAUUAGAAAUAGGGCGUAAAUCGACGACAAAGAAAGAGAAGAGGAGUAGGGUUGGAAGGAAAAUGCCAUUCAACCCUCUCACGAGGGAGUGUAGGGAGAAAGCCAGAGCGAGAGCAAGGGCAAGAGCGCGAGAGAAACAACAGCAAAUUAAAGGAACAAGUACAACAACAAAACUACAAGAUGUUAGCAAAAUAAGCUCACCAUGGAUGAGUAGUACUCAAAUGGAAAAUAAUGGAAUUGAUGAGCAAUUAAGAACAAGAAAUGAAGGAAGAAUAAUCAUGGAUCAUGAAACAACAGAUGAUUGUUUGAUCAUGGGAAGGUGGAGCCCCUCCAACUCUAUUUAUUGCAAUUCACUCCAUAACAACAAUAAUGGAAGUCCCCAAGAGGUAAAUUCCAAACAUCAACAAACUUAACUAUUAUUGUUUUUCCAAUUCUCAAGUGAUAGAAUAUUACCUAUACCCUUUUAAAAGGUAAAGUCCAAGAAAAAAAUUUCAAGUACAAAUUGUUGUUCAUACAUUUUUGGCCACUUUCUUAUAACAAUUUUUUGUGGUUACAUUUCAGCAUCCAUAUGGAGAUUUUCAAUUUUUGGUAAAAUCAUGGGAGCCCUACAACAAUCAUAGCAUAUGUUAACUUCUACUAUGCAUAUAUCUUCAAGCUCAGACUGAGAUCCCCUUCAAAGAAUCAAUUAUAUAUACUUCCAAGUGUGUCCAAUAAUGGUAAAUUUUAUUAUAUCAUGCAUUAAUCUUUUCUUUUCUUCUGUUUGGAGUUUGUAUGAUUACACAAAAAGUACAUCUUUCAUUUUAUAAUGUUCUUUCCUUUUUCUACGAACAUUUAGUUUUUCUAACUUCAAGAAUGUGGAACACAAACUAGAGGGAUAUUCUAACUCCAAGAAUGUAGAACACAAACUAGAGGGAUAAAUAGAAUCUCUAUAUAAGGUGGUUUGAUAACUAUUUUGUUUUUAGCUAUUUGAUUUUGAAAUUUAUGCUCGUUUGGUCACAAUUUUUUAUCAUGGUUUUCACUUUUUUUUUUCUUUAGUUAUUAACAACAAUCUGGUAGAAAGUGGAUAACAAAACAGUUAAAUGUAAAAUUGAAAACAUUGUUUAUUAGCUUAUUAAUUGGCAAAAAGACAAACAAAACAAAAUCUAAUUUUUUUUAUAACCAUUUGGUUUUUGAAAAUUAGGUUUAUUAAAACAUGCUACUAUUUGCGUAGAUAAAUAUAUCUAGUUUUCAUUCUCUUCUACAAACGUUUUAAAACUACCCCAAGUUUGUCUUGAAAACAAAUUAGAGUAGUAUUUAAAACUCUUUGUUUCAUUUGUUUUAGAAUUUAGCCAAAAAUUCAAAUGUUCUUUUUUAAAAAACAAACAUGACAAAAAAAAUGGAAAGAAACACACAAGCAUCAAUUUGAAAAACUAAAACUAUAAACAAAAUCACUCAACACGACCUAGAACAUACAUCUUUGACAUUGAAGGCUUUCUAACGAAAUCAAUUAAACAUGUAGAAACAACAUAAAUAAAGUAAAAACGAUACAAACUCAAUACUUUUUAACCUUUAUUUGAUAUAGAUAUAGAAUCACGUAUGAAUAAGGAGAAUUUAAACUACUUGUAACUUUUUGGUCAAUGAUAUAUAUAAUAUCUUGAGGUUGAUUGACACUAAUCAAAAUUUAUUUUCAGAACAUGGUUUAGUGUUCUAUCCUAUACCCUAACCAUUUCCUUUAAUCUCUUGUGUAUAAUUAUAUUAAUAUUCAGUUUGAAGAAAAACGGAAACAAAAAAUUAUAAGAAUACUUUUUAGCAAAAGAAAGUGAUGUAAUUGAGAGGAUAAUUAUAAGUUCUAUAUAUAUAAUGUAUUUUGACAUAUUAUUAAUUACAUAUCAUAUUGUCCUAACCCCAUAUAAUUAGUGCAUUACAUAGACAAAGAGUGGGAAAACUUUUAAGAAGUGAUUGAAUGACCCAUGAUUUAAUUAUUAUCCACUACAUAGUACAAACCAAACCCCAUUUAAUUUCAACAUUUCAAAUGAUUAUCUAUAGCGUUACACCUUUAAAUUAAACUUUUAUACUAUGUAUGUAAAAUUAAUUAAUUAAUUACAUAGUAUUUAUUUUAAAUACAGGAUUAAUUAUUAACUUUGUUAUUAUUGGAUGGAUGGCAAUCUUAAAAAGUCCAAUUUAGCCCUUGAGAUCAAACAUGCAUGAACCUAGGGAAAAGCUUUUUGCCUUGAUUUAACAUACACCAUUUUUCUUUGCUCCAAAUAAUGAAACAAAAACACAAAAGUCUCUUAUAGAAAGAGUUAUAAGGAAGAGUUAUUUGUUUAAUUUCUGUUGAUUAAUUUAAUCUUUGUUGUUAGAAAUAAUUAUAUAUAACUGAUACAGUUCUUUUUUCAGAUAAGUUUAUGAUUAUGUGUUUGAAAGAUAUACACACAAUUAUAUUGCCAAUUAUUAGGGUUAAUUUUUUAUUCAUUUUUAUUGAAUUAAAUUCUUUAAACUGUCCUCUUUUUUCCCCUCUCACCCUGUUUCAAUUUUUAAAGAAUCAACUAAAUUUCGUUAGUGCACUGUAGAAGAAAAAGACGAAGGUAUAACUAAGAACACUGUCUCCAACCACGGUACGUUGUUGUUUGAAUGCAGUGUUCUAAAAUAGAGACAAUAUCAUCACACACUAUUGUAGAGAUGUGUGAAGAACAGUAUUACUCCUAUCAAAAGUGGUGUAGAGUUGUGUCUCUAAUUUGAUUACAGUAUUGUUGGAGUUAUCAGGUAUGUCAACAAAAUUAGUGGGGUGAUCCUAAAUUGGAAGACGUAGUAAUCGUGGUUUGAACCAUGAUUGACUAGGAAUAGGUACGGUAAGUUUUAGAUAGAGGGGAUGACCUAUAUAAAAUAUGGCAAAUCGAGAGUUAUAUAGAUAUAGAUAUACAAAAAAAUCAUCAUAUAAAUGUAACUCAGCCAUCGAUUUGUUCAAUACAUAUCCAAACAGGCAGAAAACAAAGAUGACCAACAAUAAUUUUCUCAGAAAAAAUAAUAGUAUAUUUCUAACAAAUAAAAUGGAAUAUAUUUGACUAAUUAUAAAUUCCAAAAUGAAUAAAAUAAUUACCUAGUUGGGGAAUGGUAGAACCUUUGAAGAAGAUGCAGAAAUUUCAAGCAAUAACUCCACGAAAAAGCCUCUCCAAAAUGAUCAAAUGUAAGCCUCUGCAAGUAGAAAGACAAAGAAAACCCUAUUUGUUUUUCAAAAUAAAUUGAGAGAAAGAGAGAUAGAUUUUUUUCCUUCUUUUUUACAAUCUGUUUUUGUAGAAGAAAGAAAAAGUGGGGGAACAUACAUGAGAGUUAUCUUUCCUCUAAAAUGCAAAAGAGCAUAUUCCCAUCAUUUUGGUAAAGUAAAAGUUAAAAAUAAACCCUCUUUUUUUUUUAUUUAUUUGUUCUUUUUCACUUCACCCAUUUAAAAAUAUUUCUUGUUAUUACUAUUAUUAAUUGUUUCAUUGAAAUGAUAAUCUUAUAUUCUUAACCUCUCCAAAACACACUUAAAUUAUCUUUAAUCAAAUUUAUGUGUACAAGGUAUUGAGUUGAUAACUUAGUUGAACAAAUGGAUGGCUAAUUAAUAGUCCAUAUGGGAUUUCACCAUACUACAAUUUUACUAUUAAAGUUUGAAUUUUUGUCUACACAUUUCUUUGAACUUUUAAGCUUGAUUUUUCACUUUUCAUCCUUACUCUUAUUAAUAUUUGUUAAUUUAUUUAAAAUAAUCAUAAUUAAUCAAGUUUCAUUGUUUUUUUUAUCAUUGUUAAAAUUAAAUUUAAAAUUUCACAUUAUAAUUAUUUUAAACUAAUUAACAACAAUAACUAAAAGUGAGUAUUUAAUUAGAGACCAAAUUUAAACAAAAUUUUCAGGUAAAUUGUUCAAUGUUUUUAAACUAACAGGCUGAUUAAAUUGAAUUGAAACAAUAUGUAACAUUUUCAAAUUUAAAAACCAAAAUAUUGAGACAAAACAAAAAGCAUUUUCCCCAAAAAGAAAAAUCAAUUCACAUGCUUAUGGAUGAAAGAGGAAUGAACAAAGAAAAUGACAAUAUAAUAUAAGUGUGGGUUUGGACAAUAAUUGACUGCUUACAUUGAAUCAAAGAUUGUGGGCGAAAUUAAAGCAUUUUACAUUAUCAUAUGGCUGCACCACACAACCCAUGCUGCCUUUAACUUCCCUUCCAUGCGGGUUUCUAAGGUUUGUGCUUCCCUUCGUAUGAAACCAUUGAUUUUUUCUUUUUCUUUUCAAAAAAUUGAUUCUUCCAUAUGAAAGUUAAUAAUAUAGUUUUCAUGUUAGUCGAACUAUACGUUAAAAAGGUUACAUAUAUAUAUAUGCGAAAAACUUGUGUUAAGGCACAUACAUGUUCCAUGCAGGUUAUAAUUUGCCAAAUUUUUGAAAUGUAGUAUGAAGUAAUUUUAAGUAUAAAUACUUUUUUCUUUUUUCAUUUUGAUUUAUGUAUUUUUAGCUCAUCUUAAACUAUAACGAUAUCUCUAAUAUAUUGUUAUUUUUAAAAGCAUAUUCUAUUCAAAAUAUAGAAAAUGUAUUUAAAUAGUAUACUGUCUUAUCCAAAAAUUAUUAAUAUACUAUCUAAGCAUUUUUUUUUUAUGAAAAAUUAAAUUUGAGGAUGAUAACCAUAUUUUUUUAGGAGCCAACCAAAUAUCUCUUUUCUUUCUCUGCCCUAAAGAGUUACCACAUUUUUAACUUUUUCAUAUAUUAUAUUUUGCUCAUUGAUGGAAAAAUAAGAAAACAAAUUUACAUAUAUAUUUUUUUCAUUUUCUAGUCAUUUAUCUUGGUAUAUAUUAUCCCGUCGGACUAAUUUAUCAAUGUUUACUGUUAAUUUUUUAAAUUCUUUUGCUCAUAAACAUUACUCAUUCCUUAAUUAUGUGCCAAAAACUUAAUGGGGUUUAUUGGGAUAAUUUUUCUCUAAGCCAAAUAUUAGGAUUUUUCCCCAUCAAUAUAGUUAAAUAUUGAUAGGAAAUUUCAUAUGUUUUUUUUAAUACAAUGUUCCUUUUUAGGGGUAAAAAUAUAAAACUUGGGAUAUUUUAAAUUAUUUAAAACUCAGUAUUGUUGGUAGGUUUAAAAACAUUUCUAAAGUGUAGAAUGAACAAACAUAUAAAUGAAUUUGCGAUAUGUGAUACCAAAAUACAACGUGUAGUAAAAUGGACAACAAUUUGUGUCCCGAAAUUGUACCAAAAACAUAAAAUUUCAUGAAGAAUGUUACUAACAAAAUUAUAUAUUUUGGAUAUGAAAGGGGGAGGUCAAAUAAAGGUUUUUUUAUAUAAAAAAAAAUACAUAAAUUAGAUGUGAUGUGAAAGUUUAUGUUGAUAAUUAAUUAGCCUACUUUCCAUCAUUAUUGAGUUAACAUAAUGAAAGGGGACAGAAAGAAAUGAAACCAAAACAUGAAUUUUGGAUGAAUCAAAAUCAAAGAUUACAAUCAAAAGAAAUAUGAUUGACUUAAUUUUGUUUGAAAAAAAUAGUAAACAUAUAAUAAGUUUUUGAUCCAAUUCAAUGAACCUUAAAAAUGAAAGUGGAGAGAAUGAUUGAAGAAAAAUAGAAGAUUUUGCACAGUAAUGCACAAAAAGAGGAAACUUGGGAGAAAUAAUUAGAAAUCAUUUACCAUUUUCAUAUGAUCCCCACUAACCAAUGUUAAAUGAUCAUCAUGUAUGGUUUGAACAGAAGGUUUUAUUUAAAAUGGGUGAGUGUUUAAAUCAACUUAAUUAAUCCCCAAAUAUAUUAAAGGUUAAGCCUGAAGAAAUACAACUUUUUAAAAUCAUCCCACACCAACAUAAAACAUAAUUUGAUGAUACUCAAGUUCGAGUUUGAGCUAUCUGUUUAAAUUCUUACUGUCACACAACAAAUAACCUUUAUUCUUAUAACAACACAUGUUUAUAAUUUGUAAUUAUUUUUGCUUAUUCAAGUCAAUAAGCAGGUUAGAGUAAAAAGGAAAAAGAAAUCAAAGAAAUAUAAAUCAAUAGUUAACUUGUGGUUUUCUAAAUCCAAUUUGCAAAAGUCUUAAUAAAUGUGAUUAAUUUGUGCAUAUCAAAUCAAUUCAACACUGCAUGUGUUAAAAAAAAACAAUUAAAAACAAGAAAACCAUAAUAAUCAUUUGAAAAAUAUGUGAGAAAGAUGCAUGAAUUUAUGUCACAGUGCAAGAACAAGAAACCCCAGUAUAUACAAUAAUUAAGAGUAAGUACUUUAUGUAAUAUAUGGCUAUGAGAAUUAGAAUAAAACCUGGAUUUUGCAACUGCCUUUUACUAACAAAAGCUUUUCCUCAUCACCAUAUUCUUCAAUGGGGGAAUACAGAGUUUGCCCUAAAUUAAAAAAGUGGUGGGAGGAAGAAGAUAAGGGGAAGAAAGCAGUAAAGGAAAAGGAGUGGGAGGGGGUAGGUUUUAAAUAAUGAAAAGUGAAGGGGGUUGUUUGAAAAAAUUGAAAGAAAAAAAGGACAUGGAAAUUAAUUAGAAAAGAAGAGAGAUAGAGAGGGUUAUUGGUAACUGUAGAAUUGUGUAUAGGGUGCGUCAGUGUAAUAUCUAAGAUUGAUGGGUUUGCGUGAUUUCGUUUCUCUCCUUAAUUUGUUCCUUUCACCACUUUGCAUGGAUCAUAUCAACUCUACCCUAGAGUUCUAUAUGGCUUUGAUUUCCAACUUCCCAUCUCUUGACUGAGACUGGAUGGUCUUCAAAUAUGUAGAGAGUGAUUUUGUUCGUAUAUUUCCAUUAAGUUAAUCUGAUUACUGUGGACUUUCUAUCAAGAAAUCUGGAUGUGUAUAGAGUAAACCUAAUUUGGAUGUGUGUGGGGGAUUAAAAAAAGGUUGAAUAUUCAGUACAAGGAUUGUAUUUCAUGUUUUCAAAAUACAUGUGAUCGAUAAUAGAUUUGAAAAGUUGGAUUUUAGUUUAAACAAUUGUUUGAAAUGUAUACAUGUUUGAACUCAAAUAUUCAUGUACACAUCUCAAGCAUCCUCCAUAUUUAGUGCAUAUCACUAAAUUGUUCAUUUAUAUGUAUAGUUUGUCACGUGUUAAUUUAAUCUUUGUUUCCUUUUUAAAUAUUUUUUUUGUAUGAAUAAUAUAAGAUGGUAAAUCAUAGAGAUGAGUGCUUCGAGUAUUAUAAAAAAAAAUUAAACUUAGCCUACAACACGAGAUAUUGUGUUUCUUAAUCGCGUUUAUCUUAUUAUAAUCUAGUUUUACAUUAUAAAAUCUUAAAUUCAAAAUAUAUACACAUUCAAAAUUCAUAAAAAGGGUGUGUUUUAAUAACACAAAUGUAAUCAAAAUUAUGCAAAAUCAUGAUGGAAGACACAACAAAGAUGAAAUCAUGAAAGGUGGACAAAUAAGUUAGAUUGUUGAACAAAUUAUGUUUAAUUAAUAUUAUAAUUGAAGCUUAUAACAUUCAAUCAAAAACAUAAAAUUUGAAUUAUAUUACACCUCAUAUUCUAUAACAGUCCAAUACAACCAACAUUGGCCAGAAAUGUUUUCAAAUUUUAGACUUUGAAUUACAAACUUCAAAAAUACCAAACACACCUUCCACAAUCAACGUAGUGAAAAUUGAAAACAUAAUUAAAAUAAUUUGUUGUUGUUGUUAAAUUUUAGAAUUUUGCUGUAUUAAUUAUUGUGGAAAAAAUGUAGAGCAUUGGUGAGUGGGGGCCAGGGAGAGCCAACAAAAGUCCAAGUAGCCAACAGACUAGAGAGGGUCUGGGCCGGCAACCCUAUGUUCCCAUUCCCCAUCAUUAUAUUAUAUUAGCCCACUGUUCCCUUUUCUCCCCCCCAAAAAUGACCCCUUCUAUUAGCCAUACCCACCCAACUCAUCACUCCCAUUUUCUACUUUUCUUUCUUUAGAAGAUUUGAAAGAUUACAUUGUCACCAUGUUAACGUACAUUGCAAGUUCAAUAGAUUUUGAUUGUUACGGGUAGAGUUGUAAUAGAUUUGUUUAGAGUUUAAAUAUUUUAAGAUUAAGUUAUAAUAGUUUAAGAGUGUUUGAUGAAUAUACUAUUUUAGUUUAAAUUAUAACAAUAUGGAUUUAAGAUGUAAUUUAUUUUAGGUUGAGAGAUAAAUGUCAAUAAAAGUAUUACAAGUAUUUAUUAUAGCUAAUUGAGAAUUUUUAAAUCACUAAUUGUGUUAGAUGGGCGAUUCAAUUUACUUGAUUGAAGAAAAAAUUGAAAAGAAAAGAAAAGAAGGGAAGAGGUUGUUUGAGCCGGGAGUGUACUUCCAAACGCGCGAGUAGUCUCAGUUUCCCGCCACUACCAAUCGGCACUCAACCGAAUGUAAAACCCAUCGCCAAGCUUUUCAGGUUCCAACUUCCAAGGGUUUUUCUCAUCAAAGGAGAAAGGAAAAACAAAAGACAGAAAACGGGAAGAAAAGCCAUAAUCGUAAGCUUCAAAACGAAUGGGUGACAACGUUGAUGAGCAAACCAAGCUUCCCGAGCUCAAACUUGGUAGACUCUACAAAAUCAUAAUUUUUCUUGUUCUGUUUCUCUAUUUGCACAUUGGGUUUUCCAGUUUUUUUUUUUUAAUCCAUUUGGUUGAAAACGAUGACAGAUGCUAAGCAGGCUCAAGGGUUUCUCGCAUUCUUCAAAACCCUACCCCCUGUAAGUUCAUUUUGCAAGUUGGUUUCGCACUAUCAGGGCUGAAAUUGGUGUGAUUUGUUGUUGUUACUGGACUUAAGUUCCUAGCGAUAUGGGAUAGAAGGACAUUAACUAGAUGCUUGAUUAAUCAUACUAGAACAAGCUUAUUCUUGUAAUAUUUCGGACUGUCAGAAUUAUUUAGAAACUCAUUUAGCUCAGGCAAUACAAUGUAAUUUAUUUUAAUUUCAUUUUUGUGCUGCAGGACUCCAGAGCUGUUCGAUUUUUUGAUCGUCGGGUUAGUUAUUCAAUCUUCAUUUGUUAACUUUGUUCGUAGGCUAUCACUUGGUGUUAUGUGAAUGAAAGAUAUUCGGUCGGCUUUUCUUUAUGAUUGUCACCUAUGUGAAGCAAUUUGCGUAUUAUCAAACUGAAAUGUCAUUUCUUCGUAUAUGUCCGUAAGAAGCUGGAAUUGGAUAUGUUUUCACGUACAAAACACAUGCAUAUGUUAUUUAUCAUAUUCUAUUUUUUCUGGUGGGAUGAGAUGAAGAGGCUCUUUCAUUUUAGUUUCCAAUUAAUCAGUAUUCUUGAUUUAAAAUAAUACCUAUGUGGAAUAGAUUCCGGGAUUGAUAGUUUUAUAGAAGUAAGAUUUUACACUUAUUUGGCUAUCUUGAGUUUCAUCAGAUUCUCUCAUUUCUAAGGAUUGUAGUCUUUUAGCACAAGAAAACAGUAUCCUUUUUGUUUAAGAAAUAAUGAUCAUACAGGAUUACUAUACCGCCCAUAGCGAUAAUGCAGUUUUCAUUGCAAAGACCUAUUACCGUACUACGACUGCUUUACGGCAACUGGGCAAUGCAUCUGAAGCCCUGUCUAGUGUGAGUGUCAGCAAAAAUAUGUUUGAAUCCAUUGCUCGAGAUCUUCUUUUGGAAAGAACGGACCAUACACUAGAGCUUUACGAGGGUAGUGGUUCGAAUUGGAGAUUGAUCAAAAGUGGAUCACCUGGCAAUAUUGGCAGUUUUGAAGAUGUUUUGUUUGCAAAUAAUGAAAUGCAGGAUAGUCCUGCUAUCGUGGCACUGUUUCCAUACUUCCGAGAUAAUGGGUGCAUUGUUGGACUAGGCUAUGUUGAUUUAACGAAAAGAGUGAUGGGAAUGGCUGAAUUUAUCGACGAUAGUCAUUUUACAAAUGUGGAGUCAGCUCUGGUUGGUAUUGGUUGUAAGGAAUGCCUUCUGCCUCUAGAAAGUGGAAAAUCUGGUGAUAUAAAACCUUUACAUGAUGUAUUGACGAAGUGCGGUGUGAUGCUAACUGAGAGGAAGAAGUCAGAAUUUAAAAUGAGAGACUUGGUGCAGGAUCUUUCGAGGCUCAUCAAAGGUUCUGUUGAACCUGUUCGAGAUUUGGUAUCUGGUUUUGAAUUUGCACCUGCUGCCUUAGGAGCACUGCUGGCGUAUGCAGAAUUACUAGCAGACGAAAGCAAUUAUGGAAACUAUAACAUCCAGAAGUACAAUCUUGAUAGCUACAUGAGGCUAGACUCUGCUGCCAUUAGAGCAUUAAACGUCCUAGAGAGCAAAACCGAUGCAAACAAAAACUUCAGUUUGUUUGGUCUUAUGAAUAGAACCUGUACUGCUGGAAUGGGUAAAAGAUUGCUGCAUAUGUGGUUAAAACAGCCUCUGUUAGAUGUCAAAGAAAUUAGUUCCAGACUGGAUCUUGUUCAGGCAUUUGUGGAGGACACUGCUCUCUGCCAAGAUUUGAGACAGCAUCUCAAACGAAUCUCAGAUAUUGAACGAUUGACGCAUUAUCUUGAGAAGAGAAGAGCUGGAUUACAGCAUAUUGUUAAACUUUAUCAGGUAUAAGUUUAAAUGAGCUGCUGAAAUUCGUUUUAAUUGAAACGAUUCUUAAUGAAUGGUUUGGAUAAUGACUAACGACAUGCUAAUUGAAUACUGAUGCACUGAUAUCUGUAAAUGUACCCCUUUAGCUAAACUAUUUACAUUUUUUUCUACUUUAUUAUAAAGAAGUAAAAUAGACAAGUAAAGACGGAGAAUGUUUAUACAAUAUUUGAAGGUUGUAUACAGUUAUGUAAAAGCAAAAAAAAAUGAUUGUCUUCUCUUCUUUUUUGACACUGGGUUUCCAUAUAUAAAUAUAAUAUAUAUAUCUUGGCACUGGGUAAUCAAGGUUCUUGUACUAUCAUGAAUAAAUUGCUACCGGGGACUUGGUUUUCAUUGCAAGAUUUAUGUUUUUGUGAUAAGUGGUAUUUUAUGUCCUUAUUACUAUGAUAUUUAAACUUUCAUUUUUAUAAUGCAGUCAAGUAUAAGGCUUCCAUUCAUUAAAAAUGCCUUGGAGAACUACGAAGGACAAUUUUCCUCAUUGAUCAAGGAAAAGUACUUGGAAUUUCUAGAGACCUGUACUGACAACGAUCACCUGAACAAGUUCAAUAAUCUCGUGGAAACUGCUGUUGAUCUUGAUCAGCUUGAGAAUGGAGAAUAUAUGAUUGCAUCCAGUUAUGAUGAUACUCUUUCCAAAUUGAAGAAUGUGCAAGAAUCAAUAGAGCAGCAAAUACAGGACUUGCAUAGGCAAGUUGCUAAUGAUCUUGAUCUUCCAGUUGACAAGGCUUUGAAGUUAGACAAAGGUACCCAAUUUGGACACGUUUUUAGAAUUACUAAGAAAGAAGAACCAAAAGUAAGAAAAAAGCUCUCCACCCACUUCAUUGUUCUUGAAACCCGAAAAGAUGGAGUGAAGUUUACAAAUACCAAACUUAAAAAGUUAGGUGACCAGUAUCAGAAAAUCGUCGAGGAGUACAAAAGUUGCCAGAAAGAUUUGGUUCAUCGAGUAAUUGAAACUGCUUCAUCCUUCAAUGAGGUGGAUUUUCUGUCUAUAAUGUAUCUGUUGUUCAUUAAUCAUUAGCACUUUAAUUGGACUUAAAGAACUUUGUGUAUUUGUAGGUAUUCAGACCUUUGGCAGAGUUGCUCUCUGAAUUGGAUGUUUUACUUGGUUUUGCUGAUUUAGCUUCUAGCUGUCCCACUCCUUAUACUAGACCUGACAUCACUUCAUCGGUAUUCCUUUUUUACCGUUGGUUAUCUUAAGCCUCAAUAGAUAAUGUAUCUCAAUUAAAAAUUGCAAUUGCUGAAAAAUUAACUUGUUUGUGGCCAUCUGCAACAGAAUGAGGGAAAUAUUAUAUUGGAAGGAAGUAGGCAUCCUUGUGUGGAGGCUCAAGACUGGGUUAAUUUCAUACCAAAUGAUUGUAAACUAGUGAGUAGCUUGUUUGGAUAAUCAAGAAUAAGUUAAUUCUAAUUUCAUUUGUUGUUAUUAUGUUUUAGAUGUGAAAUAUCUAAUUACUCUAAACUCUUCUUUCUCUCGUAAAUAGGUAAGGGGUAAAAGUUGGUUCCAGAUCAUUACUGGGCCUAACAUGGGUGGAAAAUCUACAUUUAUCCGGCAGGUGCUAUGUUGAUUACAUUUACACCAUUAUUUUAUUUUAAAAUAUUUGAAGUAUCACAGGUGCUUGAUAUUAGCUUGCUGUUAUUGUUACCCCAUGCAUUCACUCUGAAUAAUGGAACUACUUUUUGGCGUCCAUAAACCAUCUGAACCAGUUCAAUUGUGUUUGUAGGUAGGAGUGAACAUUCUAAUGGCACAAGUAGGUUGCUUUGUUCCCUGUGACAAAGCUAGCAUUUCUGUUCGUGACUGCAUUUUUGCUCGCGUAGGUGCAGGUGACUGUCAGGUGAGUUGUCAAAACACACUCGUUUCUUUUGUAAUAUCCCUUCACUAAAUACUACAUUUCCAUCAAACAUUAGAUCAACGUUUCCGUAAACAUAUUAUGGUUACUUUCCAAUAAGGAGUCAAAGGAGAUUGGUUCUCAGUGCAUCUUUCACUUCACUGGAGAGCUUUCUUCGUGCUAGAACACUGAUUAGAACUAAUGCCUAGUUUCUUACAUCUAUCCGUAUGGACAAGAGGGGGAAGAAGAUUCACUGGCUUUCCUAAACUUUUCAUCAAUCUGUGAUAUGUUUUCCAUAUCAUCAAAUGAUCGUUUUCCUUUUUGUUGCAAUCUUAUUUCUGUCUAAUUCACAUGUUUCAUCAACUAAUCAAAACUCGUUCUACAUAUAAAAAGAAGAAGAAGAAAUUGUAUCUUUACAAUCAACUUUGUAAUUGAUGGGGAACCAUUUUCAGUCUUUUUCUGUUGAAGCAUUUGCUUGACAGAAAAUUAUAUUUUACCGGUUUCCUUUGUUCCGGAACUCUAAGAAUGUUUAAUUUACCAUUCUAGCUUCGUGGAGUUUCUACCUUUAUGCAAGAGAUGCUUGAAACUGCAUCUAUACUGAAGGGAGCUACAGAGAAAUCUUUGAUAAUCAUUGAUGAAUUGGGCCGUGGGACAUCCACUUAUGAUGGAUUUGGUUUGUUUCAUUCUUGACUCUUUAACUUCAUCCUGAUAUGUUUGCAUUAUAGAGUUCCCAUUGGUUAUGGCACAAGCUUCACGCGCAUCCUUAAUUCUUAUUGCUUGUCCCCUUUUUGAAGAAUAUCCAAAUGAGUUGUUAAUGUUUAUGGCUGGAAACUCUAUUAAAAAGCAGACUGACCAAGUCUCCGACGUUCCUUGAACUUUUUAUAUAUGAUGCUAAUGAUUGUUUUUGUUCGAAUUAAUUAAAGCAUGUUGUUGAAGAACUUAAGGAGAUCAGUUUAUACAAUAAUCUUCCUUUCACCUAUUCGGCUUCACUGCUGAAAAUUGUAGUACAGUUUAAAUGGGACUCUUUAUAGUGUGCUGAUUUUCACUUAGGAACAUUAAUCCCUUUCUAUCUUUACUUAACCUGCUGAAAAUUUCAAGACAUCUUGAAUGAUACUUUCUUAUUACACGACGAUCAACACCUAAAAUUUUGAUGCUUGGAGCACGCAAGGCACUGCCUUGUUUCCUGGUUGUAAACGAAAUAGUUGGAUUUUAUUUAAAUAACUCUGUAUUGAAUCUUAUAAUCAGGUCUAGCAUGGGCCAUUUGUGAACAUCUUGUUGAAGUGAUUAAAGCACCCACUUUGUUUGCAACCCACUUCCAUGAACUUACUGCACUAGCUCAUGGGAAUACUGAUCUUGAUUCCCAUGGAAAGCAAAUGGCUGGUGUGGCAAAUUUUCAUGUCAGUGCACACAUAGACUCAUCAAAUCACAAGUUGACAAUGCUAUACAAGGUAGAUGUUUGCUUGGAAUAUCUCUUUUUCUUGUAUUCUAUAUUCUUUUCUCUGUCUGACUCCUAAAGUAGAUGGGUUGACCAAGGACAUGAUAAGUUCGGAAUGCUUACUUUUUUACUGUUUCUUUUGGAUUCUGUAUUUUGGUCGAAAGAUUUGUGAAAAACAGGUUAGUAUAACCAUGUAGUUUGAAAGACACUACAGAAGGGCAUUGGGGGUGUCAUUUGAAUAAAUUCUGUUGGAUUAAUAUUAACCUGUACGGUAUCUGUAAUAUGUUGAUCUGGAGUCAUUGGAUCAAUGGGAGUGAAAGUAAAGCUAGAGCCUAGAGUCCUGUUGUCGACAUGUUCUUGAGCCUUUACUAGCAAAGGAGGAUACCAAAGUCAUUUUCUAAAACAUAUUCUUAGAAUAGCGUGGAACUACAACUUGUGAGUUUACCUUUGGUAUUUUACCUAUGAUUUCUUUUACCGGUCUUAGUUAAAAUUGGAUACUGCAAGUUCAUUGUUUUGCCCCAAUUACUUGGUGUUGUAAGUUCUUUUAUGUUACUGAGCUUCGUUUUUCUGUCUUGUGCAGGUUGAACCUGGAGCAUGUGAUCAAAGCUUUGGGAUUCAUGUAGCAGAAUUUGCAAACUUUCCUUCUAGUGUCGUGGCACUUGCCAGAGAAAAGGCUGCUGAACUGGAAGAUUUCUCCAUUGAUACAACUGCUUCAACCACUAAUGGGAAAGAGGUAUACAAUCUUUAGUCUUACAUUUUCGAACUAAAACAAUUGAUUCCAUCCUUAUUCUUUAUCUACUACAGUUCAUGGGAGAAUGAUUCAGAAAUUCAAAUAAGAACAACAUAGCUUACCUUCUUUGUCUAUUAUGUCACGUGUUUUUAUUUCUUUUCAAAAUUCUUGUUACACCCUGCUAAAAGGAUGGAUGUAGUUUUUAAUUUUUACAAACCUUAAGGCUGAAAAAGACAUCAACAAGCUUUGAGACCUAGACUGCUAUUUCUCCAGAAUUCAAUUGGAAUGAAGCUCCUCUCUUACCAAAUAAACUGAAUGCUCAUAUUUGAUUUGUCUGCGCUGAUUCUCUCUUUUUCUUUUUAAAUUCAACAACAUAUCGAAUGGAAGAUUUGAAGCUCCAACUUUUUUAAGCAAGGGUAGAUACUUGAAUCAAUUCAGCUAUGCUCAAAUUGGCUUACUGUUUCUUUUUUCCUUCUUUUGCUCUAAUAGAUGUAUGAGUGCAUGCACAUACACGUGCAUAAAGACACUCAUAUCAUGUUUUAUAUGUCAUUGCUCAUCAUUAUAUUACCAAUUGGAUUUGAAUACACAUUAUAUACACAGAUACCAUUAAAGAGAAAACGUGAGUUCAGUUCAGAUGACAUGUCCAAAGGCGUAGAACGGGCUCGCCAGUUCCUAGAGGAGUUUUCUAAUCUGCCCUUGGAUAAGAUGGAUCUGAAGGAAGCUCUACAACAAGUGAGUCAAUUGCGAGAUGGUUUGAAGAAGGAUGCCGUGGACUCUAAUUGGCUCCAACAAUUCCUUUGAGGUAUCAUUCUUGCCUUGUGGCCUUUGUACAGCUUUUGUUAAGGCGUAAAAGGAGAUGAUUUUGAGUGUCUUUUCCCUCACAAUUUUGGAUGUACAUAACCCCCCAAAUACACUUGCUAGCUUCAUUUUUGGGUAUCUUCCCUCACAAUUUUGGUUCUUUUGUGGAGAGGGGAAAGGCUAAUUAUGUAUCAAAGCCCUGGAGAAUAUCGAAUCUGUGGACUAGUUAAAUCUUAUAUCAGGUGCCUGAUUAUCAUGCUUUCAUAUGUUCAUUGAAAUAGUUUAUUUGGGUGUAUUUAUCGUGGUGCAUUUCCUCGUUUUUUUAAUCACAACUGCAGAGUGGAGGGUUGUACUUUUCACCUCUAGUAAUAUAGUUUAUGCCAAUAUCACUCGUCAAUUACAUUUUUACUAUUUUGAAUAUUAAAAUCGAUCCAGUUUGGGUUUGGUAUAUUUCUAAAUUGAACUGCUAACCCAAAUUGAACCAUUCAGGUAAAGUCAAAUAAGGUUAUGACAUUUAUCUAUGGAUUGAGCUACGUACUUUGAACUAAAAUAAAUAUAAUUGUUUCAAUUGUGUUUAGCAUUCUCAGUUUAAGAUUUUCAAUAAUAUGAAUAGAAGAAUAAUAAGAAUUUACACAAUGAUAAGUUAUACAUUAAUUUAGAAUAGAAGUAACCUGUUUUGUCAGUUAAAUUAUUGUUGUUUUUUCUUUAAAUUUUUAACAAAUAAGUACAAAAUAACCACACACAUCAAGUAUUAUCCAUCCCUCGUUUUUAGGUGGAUCAAUUUUCUUACAUUUUGAGAGAAAUAUCAUGUUAGUUACCAUUGAACUAAGUUUAUUUGGAAUAUUUUCCUCUUUUAAACUUUAUUCUUUAUCCAUGUUAGUUACCAUUGAACUAAGUUUAUUUGGAAUAUUUUCCUCUUUUAAACUUUAUUCUUUAUCCACCAAACGAUUUGAUUGAAAAUUGAUUACUAAACUUCACAGGGAAUCUAUCAAAUCAAACAUCUUUUGAAUUUCAAUUUCCAUCAAAAUCACAUUCAAAGAAAGCCCUUAGUGCUUACAAAAAGCCUUAUCCACCCAUUGUGGAAUAAAUAUCAGUUUCAAAAAGCCAAAAAUAUCACACCAAUUAAUUUAUAGAAAAGGAAUUGAACAAAACUAUAUCUAUUCAUAUCUGACCCCCCCAAAAAAAAAAAAUCUAAUAAUACUUUAUUUCAAUCUUUUCAAAAAGUAAAAAUAGACUCGUCACCAUGUAAAUUAAUCCAAAUAUCUUUAUUUUUAUUUUUAUUGAAAAGAAUCAAAAUUUAUUUGUUUUCAUAAACAUAUAAACACAAUCAUAGAAUAAUAUAUUAACAUGUCAUGUCACUUAAAGAAUCAUAUCAUAUUAGUUGUAAAUAAAAACAAGCUAACUAUUGAUAUUUGGUGUAAAUAAAAUUAUGAUAAUGAUAGAAAUGAUAAUUUUAUCAUGCCAGUCCUUGUUUGAAUUUAUGAUAAAACUCAUUAUCCUAUAUAGGAUAUUUAUCAAUACUUCCAAUAUAAAAAGUAUACAUUACAUUUGUAAUAAUGAGAAUGACGUGUAUAGGACCAUUUGAAUAUCUUAAGUACAGUUGUAUUUGUAUUUUUAAUCUUUAUGAUUAGUAUUAAUCCAUUAUGAUCUUAAAGUAUUGGCGCUCCACGUGUCCUUUAGGUACAACCUGUCUCCAUUAUUUGGCUAUUGGAGCCUUCUCCAAUUAGCCUCAACCAUUCAUCACAUCUCAUUAAAAGCUAUGCUUAGAAUUGAUUUUUUUAAACGUGGAUUUAAAAGUGAUUAUGUUUAAAUUUUUGGUUUCUAGAUUUUGAUGGGAAUUAAUAAUAAUAAAAUUAAUUUAAAAUUAGGGUCAAUUACAAAAAUAGUUUUGUUUUAAAUGUGUUUGAUAGUAGGUUUAUAAUCAUAAAAUUUGGUGUAGUUAUCUAUUGAAUGUUAGUCGACGAAAAAUAAUGUUAUUAAUUUAUGUAUAAACAUAUUUUAUGUUAGAAUAAUUAAAUAAUUUGUAUAGCUAUAAUUUUGUAAUAUUAUAUAGUUUAUAGUCUUUUGUAUUGUAAAUAUUAAAAAAAUAGGUUUCUAUAUUCUGUAUUUGUAUUUGUAUUUUAAAAUUUAAAAUUCAUCAUCUUUAUGCCAUAAAAACACCACAACACCACAAAGUUACUUUUGGAAUUUUGCAUUUUUGUCAUCACAAAAUCCAAAAGUAAAAAUAAAUAGUUUUCCAAAUCAAAAUUCAAAUUUGUCGAAUAUAAUAUUUGAAUUUCACAACAUAAAGCAUUAUUCAAAUUGAGAAUCUAUUUUCUUCAAAUUUGCCCAAUCAAUUAUGUUAAUUACAAAGCUACAAAAAAUAUAAAUUAAUUUAAAAGAAAGAAAAACAAAAUUUGGAAUAAUGUAACAUGAAGAUAGCGAUGUUAACAAAGUUUAUAAAUUGGUGCCUACUGCCUAUGGUUAUUGAUAUAGGGGUGUAAUAUAAAAAAAUGAUAUCGAACUUGUUGGCUGUUGGAGGUUUAUUAAAAUAUAUGGUUAGUUCCAUUUAAUGACACCCUUCGGUUGAGAGAAUGUCUAACAACUAUUGCCACCAUUUUUUAAACCUCGUUUUAAAAUAAAGUAUACAACAUUAAAUAUUGAAAAUGAUGGGUCUUUAUUCAACUCAACUUGACUCAAUUACCCCCAAUUCUUCCUCCAAAUUACAUCUCUAAUUAAAAAAAAGAUCAAAAGUUUUGAAUUUAAUUUUUGAUUUAGUCUAUGUUUUUUUUAUGUUAGUGAGUAUUUUCUUUUUUAAUUAAAAAUUAAUUAUGAAGUGAAAUUUAAGGUUAUGGUUGUAACCAUAGUUAAAUAAAAAUAAAUAAAUCGUCUCUAUAUAUAUAUACAAUUAAUUGAAACUUUGGAAUUGUGGGAUGGUUUAGACAUAGUUAUCAUUAGCUAUUUGUUUUUAGACUUUAGCAUUGGUGAUUGAUGGGAGUAUAUGGUGGUAGGGACAGAAAUGCAUAACCCGCAGGUAAUUUUAGGAAAGAAAAAUGAUGAUAUUGGGCACUCACUUUCUAUUUUUUAUAAUUCCACUCAACUUGGAAAUUAAGCUUUCGUACUUCUACGCUUAUUUCCAAUAAUAAUAAUAAAUAAAUAAAAAUAAGAACUUUCAUUUUUAUUUAUUUAUUUAUUUAUUUAUUUAUUAUUAUUAUUAUCAUUUUUUCCUUUUGUUUUUCUCAUGCAUGUGGGUCCCAUCCUUUCUCACAUCAAAUAUUUUCAACUUUCAUCAAUUCUUAAUUUCAAUAGUUAUACUAAACAUUAACUAUAUAGUUUCAACUAAGAAACAAAAAUUCAAAAUUUCAUGAUAAACUAUAUAGAUUAAGUUUAAGAUUUAUUAAAAUUUGGACAUUUGUUAAAAUAUUUUUAAAAUGUUAACGUUGAUGAGAAUGUUAAAAUGUUGAUUGAAGGUAUACGAUGAUGGAUGUUUAUGAAAAAAAUUAUAAAAGCAACAACAUUUUAAUUAGUAAAUUUAAAUUUAGGGUUUAGGGUUUAUGUUAUAUUCAUGAUAUGUUGUUGAACUUCUUUAUCAUACGGUGAAAUUGUUUAUUUCUUUGUUAAACUUAUAUAUGUGAAGUGGAGCUAACACCACGUGGAUGGAAUAUCUCUUACACGUAUUAGCUUUAUAUAUCAAGACUAGGCUUAGGAUAAACAUGUCAAAGGUCAAGCCUAAUUAAUUAACACUCACAUAGAAACUCAAUGUAGAUGAGAUUCGUAAUUUGAGCGAUAAGAAAAAUGAUAUAUUUUAGUCAAAACAAUGCAUAACCAAAACGAACAUCUAUCAAACCAAUGUGAACAAACAUUUUUAAAUGUAUAUAAAUACAAUUAAGCAUAACAAAAUGAAUAAAAAUAUUUAUAGAUAUAAUGAAAUUUAUUUUGAUAUGUAUUUUUUGUGUUGCAAUAGACGAUUUAGAUUUAUUUUAGAGUAGAUUAUAAUAUUUUACUAUAAUUACAAAUAUUUCUAACAAUUUUGUAGGCUUGAAUUUAGAGAAAAAAGUAUUUACAAUAACAUUGACUUGGUUUAUAUAAAUUGAUAAUUUGACUUUUAGUCUAAUUAUAAAUUGGGUUAGUUUGAAAUUUUGUUUUCUUAAUAACAAUGAAUACAAAUUAGAAAUGGUUGGAUAACUUAUUUAUAAAGGAAAGGAUUAGUUUAUUCAACAUAUUUAUACCUUUUGGAAUCUUUUGAAAUAUAAAUUUCAUUAAUUCUGAAUUACUCUAUAAAUCCAUCUCUUAAAUGAAUUGAUAUAUAUAUAUAUAAAGUUUAGUUGGAUAGUUUAUUUUAUUUUAGUUUUAUUUGCCAAUCCUAUAUAAAAAUUAUAUAUAAGAUGCCAAUAUUAUAAUUUUCAAUAUUAAUAGUCACCCUCUCCACAUUUUAAUGUAAAUGGUUUGAUUUCUUUUAAACAAAUUAAUUUAGUGGUUUUUUCUUAAUAAUCGUAUUAAUUUUUCCUAAUAUUGUAUGCUCGAAUAUAUAUAUAUAUAAUAAUAAUAAUACUAAAUAACUUAAAUCCAAUAUUUCUUUUAUAACUUUAAGUGACACGUAUCUUGAGCAUAAACAAGAAAAAAAACGAGAAAGAGAGUUGGGUUCAUUGUUGACUAUAUAAAAUAUGACUUGUCUUGAAGAACUACUCUAUUCAUGAGAUAAUUAAAUUGCGUUGUCUACACCUAAUAAUUAGGUAGGUCAUUCGAUUAUUUAUUGGCGAUAUCGUAAUUUACGUAAUUAUGUCAUGUAUUAUUAAGAUUAGUAUUAUAAUUGUACGUAAUAAGUGCGUGAGAGGAGUUAUGACAGUAGAUUGGGAAUUAAAUCCAUAUAACAACCCUAAUUUUUUUUCUAAUCUAAAAUAUCUCGAUGAGCAAAUUCAAAUUUAAUUAGAAGCACCAUUGUUUUAUGAUGACAUAAUACAUCCAUAUAUAUAUAUAUAUUCAAUGGAUCAAUAAUGAUAGACAGAAGACUUCUUAUGAUUAUACAAACCAAAAUUUGAACAAAAACAAUUAUAGGAAGAAAGAUUCUUUAGACAUAAUUUGCAAGCCACUCCUAAAUUAUAUAUAUAUUUGGAGCCAACUCUUGAAGCAAACUACUGACUUAUUAUUCCUCUAAUUUUUAAAUUCAAAAUUUUGUUUCAUUGUUUAAAAUAAAACUAGAUCAAAACAAUAUACUUUAACAAUUUAUGAAUAAAAUAAAUCUAUUUUAAAAGACGUGAGAAUGAAGACAACAGACAACGUGUUUUGAAGACACGUGCCUUCAUGAACGUAGCCCAUUUAUUCUUUCAAAUUAUAAGAUUAAAAAUGUAAUUUUUAUAGUAACCUUAGGUACGUUAGAUAUCGAUAUUAAGAGUUAAUCAAUAUUUUUUUAAAAAUAAAUCUAUCAAGUAUCUUUAACCUAUCAUAUAAAUUUAAGAAUGUAAUUACUAGUAAUAGUAAAAUUUAUAACUUGUUAAAACACUAAACAUAACUUAUUAAAGUCAAAGAUACACGAGUAAUUUCCUUGUACUUGCUAUCGAUUUUUAGGUCAAAGUUUUAAUUUUUCUAUCCAAAUAUCGUUAAGAAAAUACACCGUUAUUCGUGGAUAGGGACGACAAUUCCACAAUUAGAAAUACAAAUAUAUACCAACAUUAUCCAAAAUAUCUCAUAUAGGGAUUGGGAUCUUUUUGUAUAUGUAUAUGACAAAAAUCUUUUCCCCUCUAAGCUAACAUUGUUGAUGUAGAGCUUUAAUUUAAGAAUUUAAAAAUAUAUAUAUCCAUUGAUGUCAAAUAUAUUAUUUCUUUAUAUAGAAAGAAAUUAAACAAAAAGGAAAAAAAAAGAGGAAACAUGAAUUAGGAUAUUUGUAAAGAAAAGAAAAGUGAGAGCCACCUUUGCCCCUCCUUUAGUGGCUCCAAUAUAUGUGAUUUUUAUGUACAUUCUCAUAUGGUUUUGUCUCCACACAUUUGGCUAAAGAAAGAAAAAUAUUGUAUGAAAUUUUUUUUAGAAAUAGUAUAUUUUACCAAAUAUUUUAAUUUAUUUUACUAUUUUUAACCUUCACUUUUAUCCCAAAAUCUUUAUAAUUAGUUUUUAACCGUUUAUUUACUAAACUUCUAGUUAUAUAACAAUUUAAUAUUUAGUAUGUGAAAAUUUAAGAGAGGUUUUCUUAAUAAGUAGACUAUUGAGAGGUUGAUAGUUUUAUAAAAUACAAUGUAUACGUCGAAUUUUGUUAAUGUUCGGGUUAAAUUGUUAUAUGUUUGAAAAUACAAGAAUUAAAUUGUCACGUUCAAGAGUUUAGAGACUAAAAUGAUACCGAAUUAAAAAUACUCGGACUAAGUCAUUAUAAGCUAAAAUUUAUGAACUAAAUUGUUACUUUUUCCGACUUUUAUGGACGAAAACUGCUAUUAUUAUUAUUUUUUUUUUUUGAAAAAGGACAUUAACGUUUAGUACUUGAAAGGUUAGAAAUUAUUAUUGUUUGAGAUGGAGCUGGAGGUACUAUUCCAAAUGAAACUGCCAAAAGUCUCGUGACUCCAAAUUAGUGCACAAAGUAACCAAAAGAAAAGAAUAUAAAACCGCAACCCCUAAUUCACUCACUUGUAAAGAAAUGAUAAUCCUUUGCAUAUCUCAAAAUUUCAUAUGGUAGAUUACAUUUUGAUAUUGUCUUGAAAAAUAUUCAAAUUUUGGUAAGAAUUGAGAAUAAGAGUUGUAAAUGAUUUGAAUAUGCAGAAAAGCUUAAGCUUUCAAGGCAGAGGAAUUGUUUAGAUUUCGAGUCUUCUUCUGUUCAGAUUGAUUGUCGUAUUCAAAAAUUCACCAUACAUACGUGGAGUAAGGCACCAAAAAUGGUGGUUGAGAAACGCGGGUGAGAUUAGAAAAUCCUCCCACCCCUCCUCAGGCGCCCCAAUAACUCUCUCACUACGAGCGCCCAUCGCUUUACCAUUUGCCUCCAUCCAUCCAAUUCCACUUGGUUGGAUAUUUCAAACUUGGGCUCUGCUUUGUGUUUUGCCGUCAAGCUAAAGCAUUUACACUCGCCAGAAGAGAACAUACAGCUUCCAUUAUAAUAUUUGGGUUUCUGUAACAAACACAGAAAAGACUAAAAAAAGAGAAAGAGGGCUUGUUUCCUUUUCCUUUGUCGACGGUGGAAACAAACCCAUAAUCUUCCUUUUUUCUCUUUUUCGUUUUCCUUCUUUCUUUUGUUUAAUUCAUUCCCUUUUCUUACUUUACACCAACUAAUUGCUCAUUGGGGGGGUUGAAACAGAGCUUCCGGUCCUUUUUCUUCUUAUUCUUCGUCUUCAUUGUUUCCGAUUACACCCAGUUUUUUAUUGUUUUGAUUUUCCUUCUUUUUCCUUUCCGGGGUUGUUUUUUUCGAUGGUUUGCAUGAUGGGUUUUUGGGUUUUUGGGUUUUGAAGAACGUUUCUGUUGAAGAGGGGUGGUGGGAUUUUGAGGUAAAGGAAAUUGGGGUGGAGGAGGAGGAAUGACUUGGAGAAGAGUGUUGAAGUCCGUGCAGGCACUUUUGGCCCACGGUUCACUCUUCUGUUUCACGCUCUUGCUCGUUCUCAAGCUCGAUCAUUUCGUCUCCCACAGUUGGUGGUACUUUAUUUACUUAUUUUGUUUUCUUUCCUUUUCUUCGAUCUCUCUGAUGAUUAUAUUUUGUUUUUUUCCUGGGUCUUUAUAUUUUUCAGGUUUCAUUGCGGUUCACUUGAUUUUGGUUUUUAUUUUCUCCCCCUUUCCAUUCCCUCAAUUUUAGAUUAAAAUACCGUGAAGUUGGGGGGGGGGGGGGGGGGGGGGGGGGGGGGGGGUUCAGGUUGAUGGGUUGUUUAUCUACAACGUUGGUUGUUUUCAUUAGGAAGAUGAAUUGCUAAUCGAAUAUUUGGUUUUUAGAGACUGAGGUGAUCGUGAACUCGGCCGAAAGAAUUUUGAAAAUUUGUGGAGAUAGUUUGACUGAAAUUGAGUCCAGAAUGUAGUACCAUGUCUUGUGAUUGUUUUGAAACGGCUCCUCAUUCUCAUCCGAGAGUUCAGUCUUGGGUUUGUACUGUUUCUUUCUUCACUUGAAAUAGAAAGAGAGAAAGAAAGAAAGGAGGUUAAUUGAGGCUCCAUCCCUUCCGCUGCAUAGCUUUACAAGCGGAGGCUACAAGCCACAUACAGGCCCUUUGUCCCAUUCCCAUUUAACCUGUUCGCAUGAUUUCUUUAGUGUAGUUUUUCUUCGACGUCUUGGUAGUGGCUGUAGGCUGCAAUUCUUUCGUUCUAAAAUGGAUACGUUUAAAUGUUAUUGACUGUUGAGUAGUAGUUUUAUGAGAAACCAGAUUUCCCACUUUCUUUCCUUUGAACUUUUACAGUUUUGAUAUACAGGGUUGUAUUUUUUCCACUUUGGGUGUUUCAUGUGGUUGUUGCUCGAGGAAGGUUCUCAUUACCUGCCCCAUCUCUUCCUCAUAAUCGCCAUGUAAGUUACUAAUGGUAAAUAAAUUUUUGUAAAGAUUGGCUCUAUUUUGUGUUUUUUGUUUUGUUUUCUUUUAUACGACAUAAUUUGUAAAUCUGCAAUGUAUUUCUGUUGAACAGUGGGCACCCUGCCAUGCUGUUGUUGCGACACCUUUGCUUAUAGCAUUUGAAUUACUUCUUUGUGUAUACCUCGAGAGCUUAUCUGGUAUGCCAUUAUUAUGGAUGUGUUUUCAUGUGUGGUUAUGUAAUUUUUUGUUUUCUUUAUGCUGUUGGUUUGAAUUAUGGCUCCUUCAAAUGAUUUGUAAUUGUUUAAGAAUGUUGAUGCCUUAUUUCCAGUGCAACACUUGUUGUUCCCGAAUUUUCAGUAUUCAAUGGGCAUUGUUCUGUAUGUUUAUUGAGGCAAUACCAUUUCUGGCAGUUUAUGGUUUCACUGCUGUGAACUUGAAGAUUGUCUUUCUACCGUUGCUGGCAUUUGAAAUCAUUAUUUUAAUCGAUAAUUUCAGGUACUUGCUCAUCAUAGUUUUCACUGCAUUAAAUGUUGCAUAUAUUGAGAUAUUUUGUAUUGUUACUGUGUAUCUUUUGUUGUCUGAUGCUGCAGUCUUUUAUUGAUUCUCUUUGUGGUUUGAAUCCUUCUUGACCUUUGUACAUGUUAGAAUUAUGAUUACCUGAUCCGAACUUUCUUGUGUGGAUUUGACUUUUAACUCAUUAACUCUUUCUCCCCAUAUGUCCGAAUUGAAUGAUUGGCAUGUCUGCUAUUGUGCUGGAUCACAUUUGAACCUUACCAAACUAAUGUUGAUACUUGCUUGGGACCAUUUUGACAAAAUUCACUUCAAGGUUUCUGAAUUUGAACCGAUUAUUUUAAUUAACAGUCUCUUUUUAUAGAAUACUGAAUUUAUCAGUUAUCUUGUAAAUUCUUACAUUCUUCUCAGUGGAGAGCUUGGUUUCUUACCAAACAUAAAUAUAAUAGUUGUGUUUACAACCCAUAACUUCGACUUCCUUCUCAGUGUUGCAUUCUGUUUUUGAUCUGACAAUGUUCUUUUCUAAAUUUUGAAGCUCUUUUCUUACCAAGAUACUCUGAGUUUCUCAGAAGUAUUAUUAGAUUGGAUAGUUGCCUGGUUGAUCAAGUUGGUUCACACAAGAAAAAAAGGUUUUAUGCAUGAAUUGUAUGCAAUUGGCAUUUGAAAAAAUCCUUCUCAAGAAGCUUUUCCACUUUUCCAAUUUGCUUUUAAGAAGUGUGUUUGGAUAUCAACCAAGUUUUUGUACGCUGAUCUGAUUUGCCUUUCCGAUCUCUUAAGAAUGUGUAGGUCACUGAUGCCUGGUGAUGAUGAAAGCAUGAGUGAUGAAGCAAUAUGGGAGACACUGCCUGUAAGUCUUAUUAAAUUUUAUAUCAGUAAACUAUUCUGUGUGACCAUUCCUUUUCUUAAAUUAAUGUUUUGAGGAUGCCAAAAUGCCUGACCUAUUGAAGUUUUUUUAGUUAUAUGAUCCCUCGAAAAAACCCAGCUUUCGUACGUUUCUGAGCGGAGAGCAACAAUCUUCUGGCUGCUAGUAUUUGAUGUCUCGUAGUGUUUAUGAUAUAAAAUCGAUCUCUCAAACUCGUUAUUUUAUGGUUUGUUUCAACAUUAAUUUUUUUUAUUAAUAUUAUGAUGAUUUGCUAUAAUUUGACCGUGUGAAGAGGGAAAUCAGUUAGCUGGCUCUAGUUUUGGAGAGAGAAAACAGUAAAGUGGCUCUAGUUUUGGAUAGAGAAAAGAGUAAACUGGCUCUAGUUUUGAUAGAGGACAUAGAUGAGCCUGAGUCUGGAUUGGCAAUUAUUAAUGCUAACUUAUGAGAUAAAAACAACGUCAAUAAGAGAAAAAAAAUGAAGUGUUGGAUUAUUUGCUAACCAGUUUUUUUAGUAAUACCAUUGAUUGAGUUGGUCCUUAGGAUACUUGAUCAACUAUUGGGUGGUUUGAAAACAUCUUGUUGUCACCUUCACAACAUGACAGAGAUUUUCUUACUGGGUUUCUAGUAUUAUUCACCAAAUUUCUUAUUGAACAUAGAGAAAGGUUUACAAUUCUCACUUUUAGAUGGGUUUUGCCUAUUUUCUAAAUAAGCAAGUUUUUGAGAACAAAGAAAUGACAAUGAUGAACCAGAUGUGGAGUAUCGACUUCUCUCUUGCAAAUACCAAUUGAAUAUAAUUGUCCAUCUGAGUGAUCUUUAAAAAAAAAAUAAUUUGCUGUGUCCGAUUAGUUUCUUGUUCGAUAAAAGCUGAUUAUCUUCUCAAUUUAUGCAGCAUUUUUGGGUUGCCAUUUCAAUGGUCUUCUUUGUUGCUGCUACAGUAUUUACUCUACUGAAGCUUUCUGGUAAUUUUUAAUUUCCCACAUUUAGAUUGCAUGGUCUUUUUAUUUUGAUUUUAAAUAAUAUGGAGCUGUGUGGAUGGUUAUGUUUAUUGCCUUUUUAUUGUUUAGAAAUAGUGGAUGGUUAUGUACAUUGGAUUGUUGACAGCAUGCAUACGUUUAAUUGCUAGUAUUCAAGUUUGUAAGAUCAUCAUUUUUGUUCUGACCAUAUGUCUAAGACUCUACAUGUUGUGGACAACAAAAAAUUCAUCUUCUUAAGGAUUAACAUUAUUGUGGCUAGUAGGAAAAUAUGAGUGCUAGAUCGUUGUUUUUUAAUUAUGUAUGCAUAUGACUGAAUACUGAAAGGAUUGACCUUAUCUUAUCAAUGUUUUGAUCAUGUUAACCUUUGUAGGGAACGUUGGUGCCCUUGGCUGGUGGGACUUGUUUAUAAAUUUUGGGUAACAUUCACCCACCUUCUUGUGUUAGAAUGUCCUGUUUAUACAUGCUUACAUCUACCAUUUUUUAAUCAAUAUUGUGAGGAUGCUUAACUUGUUUUCCAUCCCAGUUAAUUUGAUAUAUUUUUUUUCCUUGAAUACUCUGGUUGCAGCAUUGCUGAGUGCUUUGCAUUUCUUGUAUGUACAAAGUGGUCUAAUCCAGCAAUUCAUAGAAAUAUUCAAACAAGAGAACGUUGUUCAUCAUCAUCAGUAGUUAGAUAUCUAGAUUGGAACAGUGGUCUAAUAGUUUAUCCAGAGCAGGAUCAGCAUCAGGACAGAAUUUGUGGCCUUCAAGACAUUGGAGGACAUAUUAUGAAAAUUCCCAUAAUUAUUUUUCAAAUUCUACUAUGCAUGUAUUUAGAGGUAUGUUGCAUGUUUAAUUCAGAUCUUUUAUGCACGUUCAUUUUCAACUUCCUUUUGUUCAGAUCUUGAUUGUACAAUUAGCAUUAGAUUUAUGACCUAAAUACUCAUGAAAUUUGCAUGUUUUGGAAUAUCUUUUCAACCAGGGGAAGUACGAGCAUCUGUCAAUAAUAUGUUCUGAUAUUUAAUCUACUCGUAUCCACAUUUCAGGGAACGCCUGCAGCUGCUAAAAAUAUGCCACUUCCCAUCCUUUUCUCGCCUCUUUUUAUGUUGCAAGGUGCUGCUGUUAUUUAUGCUACAUCUAGAUUGUUAGAGAAAGCAGUACUUCUCUUAAGAGGCGGAUCUGGCACAGCAUUGUAUUUCAGUUUUUCAAUUAGGGCUCAUGCCUGUUUGGAGUUCUUUCAUCAUGGUUCAAGGUGAUAUCCUUAUUAGAGUUCUAUCGUUUCUUCUUCCUUCACUUCUUCUGAGGUUUUAGCACUUUAACGAAGAUAAUGUUAUUAAGUUUAUAUUGUGUACUUGAAGCUUGCAAUAUGCUCAUGAAAUAUGAACUUACUUGAUAUGACAAAGACAGGCUAUUGGGGUGGUGGUCAAUUGAUGAAAGCAGUCGAGAGGAGCAGGCACGAUUGUACCACGAGGGUGCCUCUGGGUCAGUAUUUUUUUCCCUUGAAAUUGUUUUGUGAGAACACUACUACAUGGAUACACUACAAACCUGAACGCAUAUAAUAACAAUAAUAAGAAAACUUGUGUGACUGAUUGGUUGGCAUGCAUGCACAUUUUCUAUUGCUACUUUGGUGCCUUAUUGCUUUCGCUUGUAUGUGAUUAUUUAUUAAGAGAAGUUUAUGGUUUUCUGUAAAAGUCGUCUGAAGUCAAGAUACUUAACCAUCUUACUGGAGCCAGUUUCAUUAUGCUUUUGGAGUUUUCCCCCAAUGGAUUUUAGGAAACCUAGAAUUCUAUGAAUGAAGAAAAUGCUUGUCUUUGUGCGCAAGCAGCACUCUACUAAAUUAUUACAGACCAUUUAAGUUUCCAAUUAUUAAUAUAAUUAGAUUAUUAUUAGGAGAUAUAAUUCUAGAGAUAUUAUUUGAUAUUAUUUCCUUAAGUGUAUUUCUCUAUGGUUAUAUAUAGGCUUGUAUCUCUACUAAAUAAUAAAUGAAAUAUAGAUUUAUUCCAUAAAAUCAACACCAAUCACUAUAUUUUUGGUAACCUCAAGUUUUCCAAUCUAUUCUACCAGAUUUAAGUUCAGAUCCGGGUGGUAUAUAGACUAGGCUGGUCCAUCCAUUUAUGAUUAUUGACAAAUCAUACUAGAUGCUAAACUCUAUUCCAAUUGGGUGUAUGGGCCAGUAUGGAAUGGAAAUAUGUUAGAAAGAGCAUGCCAUUCUUUUCUUCCCUUAAUAUUUGUGAUCUUCAAGGGUUUUUUACCAUCCGGCUGAGAUUAAUUUAAUCCAGAAUUUUUCCAAAAAUAAAAAAUCAGAAUUCCUUGAAAAUUAGCUUUCAAAAUCUUGUUGUUUUUGGGAGGAAAACUAUUCUAAAAAUAAUCGGAGGAUAUAACCCUAUUUUAAAAAAUAGGAAACAAAAAUUGAAGUCAUUAUCAGUGGGACUUUUGUUGAACAAAAUUGUAAUUCCGAUGAAGCUAUCCAUUUUCUUAUCUUUCAUAUCAUCAGUACGUUGUAUUUGCAUUUCAUUCCCACAGCUAAAGUUUGAGAUUUUGCUUCUCUAUGCCACACAUACGUCAAAUCUGUCGGCAGUCUAGAUCACCUUUUUUUGUUCCUUAAGCUACUAUAUGUGGAUUUCAGUAUUUUGUAUUGCUCGUCUUUUGCUUUCAAACUUCUAUCAAUGCAAUUUCUUCCCUUGUUAAGACUUUGGGAGGAACUUCUUUCAUUUCUUUUGUUUCUAGAUGGCCAUUCAUUGAAGCUUCAAAGAGUUCAUACUUCUAAAUUUUACCUUCCUUUGGUUCUAACAAAUUUCCAAAUCUUAGGGGUAAAUUAUGGGAAAAAUAAUAAAAUCACAGGUAUUUAUAGAUUUUUUUUCAACAGUCAAACCAAGUAAGAACUGUGUUUGUUCUGAUUGCAUUAAUUUUUACUUGUCUAUGUUAAGCUUAUACGUAUAUUUUCAUUUUGUCCUUUGACAUUGGACCACAAUCAUUCUUCUUAUGGAGUUCUCCAGAAGGAUAUUUGGAGUUUAGCUUUAUCAUAUAAAUGGUUCCAGAAGUCUGAAUCAAAUCAAGACAGCUCUUGAACAUAAAACAUAAACUAACAAACAAAAAUGUUAUGCAAUGGGCUUUGAUUAUUCAAAUUACAUUUAGUUCAGUACAUCGGAACAUUGUUUUGAUGAAGUGAAAAUUCUAAUGAUCCUCUAGAUCAGUGGUUAAUAGAAAAAAUGCAUUUAAAAAAUAUUUUCUUUUAGAAUGUCAAAAAGCAAGGAAGAAGCUCAUUGGUAUCUUGGCUAUGAUGAACAAUGCAGGUACAAUACUUUUAGCGGAUAUCCUCCCGAGGUUGUGAAGAAGAUGCCCAAGAAAGAUCUUGCAGAGGAGGUGAUAUGUAGUUAGCGUUAUGUCAAUAUAUAUGAUGAGUUGUCGCAUUGACCUUGUCGAUGCUGCUACUAGUUUUAUUUGGCCUGUGUUUGAUGUUCUAAGCCAUACAGGUGUGGCGCCUUCAAGCUGCUCUUGGAGAGCAGACAGAAAUCACCAAAUACAGUCAGCAGGAAUAUGAAAGACUUCAAAAUGUAAAUUCUCCUUAUUUUCUUUACAGAUAUAAACAAUCCUGGAUAAAUCCCUGAAUCAGUUAAACCAUAGGUCUGACAUGUUUCUACCAAAUUUGCUAUGCUUGCUUGAUCUGAUACUAUUUGAUUUUAGUAUGGUUGUUUUUCCAUCUGUCUAAACUUUUGCUUUUUGGUUAUAGAUGUUCUUUAUUGGCUUCAUUUAUCUUGUUUUUUUUUUUUAUGGUAAUAUGAUGUGGUCUUGGCUAUAAUGGUCAGAAUUUCAUUGUCAAUGGUUAAUUCUUGUGGUCUCGUUCUAUCAUUAUGCUGAUUGGUACACCUGGGGCUUUGAACAGGAAAAGGUGUUAUGUCGGGUUUGUUUUGAGGGAGAAAUUAGCGUGGUUCUUCUUCCGUGUAGGCAUCGCGUACUAUGCAGGUAUGAAAUACCUCACCUUAUUAUACUAUUCAACUAGUGAUUUGAUGAAAUUAAGAAGCAUAUAAUUACCCUCUUCCAGCUUUCACCAACACUUGCGAAUAUUAUUGCAGUUCCUGCUCUGAGAAGUGUAAAAAGUGCCCGAUAUGUCGCGUUGUUAUCGAAGAACGCUUGCCGGUAUAUGAUGUAUAGAUCUUUAACCAAUCUAAAGGAAGAACCAAGUGCAUAUUGAUGGUGGGGAAUUGACAAGAGUUUCGGUUAUAUUGAAGGAUUGGAAGUGUUGGUGGUUGGUUCAUUAUAAAUACUGAUUCAAGAAAAGAUACUUUGGUAUAGAAAAUGCAGUUGCAAUACUGAACUCUAAGCCUUGCUUGAACUCUUCUCAUUUUUUAAAUGUAAAGAAGUGGGUCUCUGUGAGGGUAAUUAACAAUGACAGUAGAAUACAAGUCAGUUGAUCUUGUUAUUGUAUAAUUCAGGUUUUCUUUUUCACACAAUUCUCUGUAUAGAACAACUUUUUUACCUCCAAUUAUAAUCCAAGUUUCUUGCUCACCCUCCCUGGGUAAAUAUAGGGCAAACAGCAAAUGCUGAAAGUUCUUUUGAUAUUGGUGACUAAAUCUAAUUGUUGUUGAAAUGAUUAAUUGCUGUCCAUGAAUGUUUGCCAAAAUGAGAUUGAUUAACAAUGACUUAUUACGAACGGUUUAAGGUAUCAUUGUUUAUCAAUAUCUAUUGUUCAUAUUGGUCAACUUCUUAAAAAUGAACUUUUAUUCAUGGUUAAAAUAGUUGUCUAGACACUGGUGAGACAUGGUUGAAAUAGUUGUCUAGACACUGGUGAGACUAUUAACAUUGGGUGUUGAUCUUUGUCUAGACACUGGUGAGACUAUUAACAUUGGGUGUUGAUCUUAUUGGUAUGAAAAUAGUAUCAAUUAUCUUUUCUAGUUUGAUUUACUAAUAGUAAAGGGUUUAAGGAAUGUUAUUAUUUUAUAAAAACUACAACAUCGAACGUUCCAGCAUUAAAUUUCGACUGUAUUAAUCCUUUUUUAAACAAGACUUUAAUAAAUUUUUAUAAGUUCAUAACCUAAGUUAUGUAGUAAAUUAGAAUUUAUUUACUAGGGCACUAUGUGAAUUUCAACAAUCAUUAUAUUGUAUUGUUAUUUUCUGUUAAAUAAAAGUAUUAAAUAUUCAAUAAUAAUUAUUCAUUUAAGUUACAUAAGUUUGAUGUUUGAUAUGGAAUUGCCUCCCUCUAACAAUCAAAUCUUAUUACAUUUAUUGUAUUUAAUAUACACAUAUGGAAGAGUAACAUCUCUUCCCUAUCAAUUGUGUUUAUCAAAACUCAACAGAUGCUUCUACUCUAAGAUUGCAUUUCAUAAUAAGAAAUUUCGAUUUCAAAGGUAGACAUCAACUUCUUUUUUAUCCCCCAAAUUAUAGUUUAAAUUUUUAUUCUUUCAUAUAUAUACUUCUUAAGAUUUUUUUUUUUUUUUAAUUGUAUGUAUUCAUAUCUUUUGGUGUCAUUUAGUCAUAAAUAUUUAUGGUAUUUUUUGCACGAUUGAGGCCACCUUAAUCCCUAAUUGUAAUCAAAAUUUGAAGAAUUGAAAGUUGAUAAUAAUUAGAUAUGUUGAGCAGAAUUAUAAUAAAGUAUCUUCCGUUCUUUCUUUCCCAAAAAGAAAAAAGGAAUAUUAUUAAUCAAAUCUAUAAAAGUAAGAAAUAUGAAUUUUUUUCUUCGUUUUGGCAGACUGAUUUCGGUAACUUUGGUGAAAGAUUGAAAAGGCCCGAUUAGAUGUUAAAUCACGAAAACCCGGACAGACCCAAUAAUCUCAGGCAGCCAAUUUUACGAUUAUUCCAUUGAUUAUUCAUCAGCUUCUUGGAAUUUCUCAGUGAAUUCAACGGUUCUUUGACGGAGUGGAGAGGGAGGAACUAGGAAGGAAGGAAGGAAGUAAAUUAGGUGAUUCUAUUCAAUUCCUUUCCCAAUUUCCCCCUUUUGAAGUCCAAUCCGGAAACGGUAUGCAAUAAUUUCUCUUGGAUUUUUGUUUCUUUUUUCAACCAAUUGCAGAGUCCUCCUUAUUCUCAUGCAUUUUUAAUCAUUUUUGCUUGCUUUUGGACCUCUUCCCACUGUAAUUUUGUGUUACAUUUUCUAUUUUUCGGGUUUUGUCAUGACCCAUUUGGUUUUUUUUUCUUCAGAUACUUGUUUCUUGUUGAUCCAGAUUGGUUCAGGCUGGAAUUUGAUUGUUACUGGGGUUGUCAGUUUAGGUAAAUCGCGACCCACUUGUGGAUCUUUGUUAUACUCUCGUUGUGGUUGUUCUUAGUGUCUUCUUGUCGUUUUUGUCGCUUUAUUUUCUUCUCGUUUCUGCUGUUUGUGGAAACCUCCUACCAAGAGUAGUAAUGCAAACAGUAUAGUUGUUCACACUCGUGAGUUUUUCAUUUACUUUCCGAAGAUCAUUUGGAUUUUUAGAAUCGGUUUAUUUGUCCUUACUUUUUUAUGCUACUUUUCAGUGUUGUAAAGAGGUAUACUUUUUCUCGAGCAUCCUUUGAUCCGCAUGUAAUGCAGGUUUUCUAGUACAUUGUUUCACCUCGCGUUGAUUGUAUUCAGUACCAGUGAUAAGUGGAAGAAAACACGUUAAUCGUUAGAUUAGCUGUUUGGCCUCGUUCUUGAUUAUCGGUUAAAGGCUCGGAUAUUUUGUGAGGGAAGUGGAUAGUGAUGACGAAACACUAGGGGGUAUGGUCCUGGAACUGAUGCAACAAAAUGAGCAGGUCCCCUUCAUUCUCUGUGAAAUCAGAAGUUAAUGUGAAGUUGGAUCCAGAAUCUCUUCAAAAAUGGGUUGUGGCCUUUUGCAUUAUUAGGUUUGAUCUUGAACAGGGUCAACUCAUUGAGGAGUGCUAUCCUCCAGACUGUCUUACUCAAGAUGAGGAACUUGAAGUUGCGUUUAGUUCAUUUCCCGAUUCAAUUUCGCAGCACCAGAACCGUUCAAGCAUUCAUGAUUGUAUCUUCUUUUUCCGGCUUCGAAGGAAGGGAGUUUCUCAACCAAGAAAUAUAUCUUCUGAGAUAACUGAAGUGGAUGAGUUAUCACAAAAUACCAAUGACUCUAAACUUCCAAGAUCAAAGAGCAGCCUUGGUACCAAGCCCAAGUACAUGUAUGGUUUUGUUUUUAAUAGGCAGAGACACGAUGAGAGGCUAAGAAGAGGUGGAGAGCAGAAGUCUGUGGUAAUUCUGUCUCAUAGUCCUUAUUCUACUGUCUUUAAACCUCUGUUGCAAAUCAUGGGUCCAUUAUAUUUUGACAUCGGGAGGAGGGCUCUUGAGCAUAUUGCUGCUUAUGUUUCGAUGUGGCCUGCUCCAGUGCCCGGUAAACAAAUGGAGCUUCCUAUUGGAAAUGCCAUGCUUAAAGCACACUUGCCACCUGUUCAUAGUCUGGUAAUGGAUGGUGAGACAUUUUCCGAAGAGUCUACAUCCUCUAUGGCUCCUUUUCUUCCCAAUAAUCAGUCAGUUCCUCAGGGUCUUUUCCAUGAUUCUGAUCUCUUUGGUACAUUCCGGGGUCUUCUUUUGCAGCUCUGGCUGUUGUGGGAGUUGCAGCUUAUUGGUGAACCCAUCCUUAUCAUUGCACCAACGCCUCCCCAGUGUUGUGAAGCUGUUGCUGGUCUUGUUAGCUUGGUUGCUCCUCUUCUUUGUAGUGUUGAUUUCAGACCUUAUUUCACCAUUCAUGACCCUGAGUUUUCACGUUUAAACGCACUUCAAGAUGGAGCUACUUUCCCACCAAUGGUUUUAGGGGUGACGAAUCUUUUUUUCCUUAAAGCUCUUCGUAAUAUUCCUCAUAUUGUCUCAGUUGGAAACCCUGCUGUUAAUCGGCUUGCCCAGACAUCCAGGUCCUCUUCAGGUAGUGUUCCUGGCGCACCUGAAGGGUUUGGAUUUCGACAACUAUCCCUGAAAAAAUUCUCCCCGUCAAACUUGCUCAAUGCUGUCAAGUUGAGGAGAGAUGGUCCGCUAUGCCUCAUGACGGAACAUAAGGAAGCCAUCUGGAGCACAUACCCUGCAGCAAUGAAGCCAGACACAUCGAUCUUGAAUCGGCUUAUUGAUGCUGGCUUAUCACCAAGGGUUGAGGAGUCUAUGUCUGUUGUCAACAAUGAGAUACUGCGUCGGCAUUUCCUGGAACUUACUACCAACUUUUUGGCUCCUUUUGGGCCGUACUUCCGAACCACCACUCCUUCAGAAGGAUGUUCACCAUUUGAUGAGCCUUCUCGUCCCCAAUUUAGUGCUGAUGAAUUUCUUGCCAAUCUAUCAACGAGAGGUCCAGGAAAAUUUUUGGCUAAGCGAAUGAGAUCUAACUGGCUGGAUUUGUACAGGUAUUGGGGGUGUUCCAUUCACUAGCUAUUGUAUUUUUUUCUUUUUCAUAGGAAGUAUUCAUCACCCUUUAAGAACAGUUUUAUUGAAUUUUGUUUUGUUCAUAUCAAUGGACUUGUUAAACUAUUCCAUCUAGGCGGUUUCUCAAAGGACCAAACUUCAUGCCUUGGUUUCAAAGGAGGUGUGCUGUUGCAGAACAAGAACAGCAUAGACUAUGGAGGCAAGCAAGAAUGAAUUCUGAUAUACCACGGCUUAUGUCUAAAAUGCCUGAAUUGGAAGUUGUUGAUUUAUUUAAUGCGAUUGAAAGACAUCUUCUAAGAGAAAUGGAGGUAUUUUUCCCAACGGUCCUUUUGCUACUAUUUUAAUUACAAAUAAAUUUUGAUUAGUUUCCAAUUUUAGUUUUUUAGUUCUGUUGGAAGUUUCUUUUUUCCUUCUAAUACGUUUUUUGAAAGGUAUCUGAAUGCUUUUGAGUAGGCUAGGUCCUUUUACUUUAUUUUAUUUUAUUUAUUUUAGUGUGUGGGUUUCUGAUCCCUCUGAAUAUUAUUAUUACACUGCGUGAUGUUUUAAAUGUGAUUUUAAAGAAUAUUUUAGGCUUGAUGAUCAUAGAUGGCAGUGAAGGCAGACAUUGUUGAUGUUAUUGAAUAAUUGGUAGGAAUUGGAUUUAGCCUUAUUGAAAACCAUAUUCAUAAGAAGCAUGUUUAGUAAUGAAGAAUAAAAAUUAUAGAAGGUUGGAAUCUCAGGCCAGGGGAACCGUUGUAAACCAUUCCGCUUAUCAAAAUAAAAAAGGGAUAAUAUUAGAAAAACCUCACCAUGUCUCUCUUCUAGUCCUAUUCUUAGGCUAACAAAAACAAAUCCAUGGGUCACGAACAUAGCCAUGUGGCAUGUCUACGAGGAGGAAUCGAACAAAAUUCCUUUAGUCCAAGUUGACAAUAAAUCUCUUGCCGUCUUUAAACCGUCACCCUGGAAGCAACUCUGGAAACUAUCCUCAAUAUACUUGGGAGGACACCAAACUAAUUCAAAAUGUUGACAAAUGAAAUUUCUACCAUUCGAAGCAAACAGACAAAAAAUGGGCGAAUGGUUGAGCAACCUUUCGUUCGUUUCAACUUAUAGAAUUAACUUGAGGAGCAAUAAUCCAGAGCAGUAGUUGGUUCUCUGAUCACAAAGGCUUAUGAAAAAUAAAAUUAAAGAACCAUGGUGUUCUGAAAAAAUUCUAUCCCUUUUCUUAUAUGCAUGUACAUUGGAGUAAAAUCAGAUAUUAGCAUGGAAGGGAAGAUAGUGGAUGGAAGAAGAAUGUUUGCUGUUUCUUUUUUCUUACUCUUGUUUCCCCCUCCUUUUCUUUUAUCUUCUUUCUUUACUAGUCUCUUCCCAGCCCUUCUUUUAUAUGAUCUUUUUUAAGUUUGCAAAACCCACGAGUGGUAUGGGGUUUGUUUCAUGAUCUACCUUAAUUUGUGUAUGUAUUCUAUCCUGCACUUAGUGAACAGACUGGCACUGUUAGACUUCUGUAUGGACGUAAAAUCUUUCAAUUCCUAUAUUUGGGUAAAAUAGUAAACCUAAUUGUGAACUCCUCAUCAUGUGCAUUAUGAAGAUAUCUGGUUUAAGCACCAGAUAACAGCUUUUAAGUAUGUUAGAUACUCAAACACAGAAAACUCAAAGAAAGCAAAUGAAACACUAAACAACGGUAUAUUGCAAUGUCAAGAGAAGUUGCAAUGUACCUAAUAUACCAAUAGCCGUUCAAGAGGGUUCUCUCUCUCAAGGUUCCUCAAUGGACAAUCCCCUCACCAAAAUGAUCUCCCACCCCUAAGGUCCCAAACUCCCCUUAUUUAUAUCAAGUCCACAUUCCCCUACUGCUAUUCUACUAGUAUUACCCUCCCAUUAGUUAUCUCCAGAAUAAUGGUGAACUUUCACUGUUUAUUGAUUUUUAUAUGACAAACUUAUAGACUAAGAUGCAGUAUAGCAAGACAGCUAUGCUGCUCAAAUAUGUUGAUUGUGGUUUAUGAUAUAUAUUCAAAAUGCUGUUAUUUCAGUUAUGCUACUUUCAUCAAGAAUAUGUAAGAAAUAAAGAGAAAAUAUGAAGUGAUCACAAAAAAUUGAAGGAAAUUGUACAUUUCUUACAAAAUAAUAAUAAUAAAAGAAAAUAAAAAUAACAUAAAAAACUGACAAACAUAACUAUUGGAAACAUGCUUUAAAAAUGACCAGAAAGGUCAAUCGUUUUAAACUUUAACACGUUUUCUCAACUUAUAUUUUAUUUUUGUUGUCUAUAUAUUUGAAAGUAGAAUAGUUGGCAGAUUAAAAUGUCAAUGUUUCCUUUUCUUUAACACUUGCACUUGAAAAAUGUUUGGUGUCAGGAUGAAUACUCAAAUUGGGGAAGUUCAUUUUCCGUAGUAUAUAAUUCUUUAGAUGUCCUAGAAAUUCAAGAAAAUAAAAUAAAAAAAGAUUCCCCUUAUUAACGGUGUAAAAUUGUGUUAGAUUCAAUGUGUAUAAUAUUUUGAAAUUAUUUACCCGCUAUUGUACCUUAAUCGCACCUUCUUCAGUUGUCUACAAUAUAUAGGAUAAUGUUUCUACUUGUUCAACUGUUCUACUAUUCAUAGAUAUGUAAGUCUUUUCAGCUGGGUCCAGGCCUCAAUUUCAUACAAAUUUGGCAAUGAUAGAAAUUAGUUACUUGAGACAAAUAAAGAUGACUGUGAUUGAAUAUGCAUGUUCGAUGACCAUAAAAAAUGACGUAUUUUAGGAGUUUGUGAGACCAUUGAUUAUUUUUAUAUGAGAAAUUGGGAACGAUGAAAUGUUGAAAGAAAAGGAGGAAAGCUAAGUCCCAGCCAAUGAAAAAAAAAUACCAAAAACUCUUCCAAUUUGUUCAUGAAUCAUUUAAACUAUAGUUGUUGGAGACCUAGAAUUUGCACUUUCCAAAGAAGACAAGUUAUGAAGCGUUUGACAAAACAACCCUUCAACCAACAAGUCUUCCUGUUUGUCACUAAAAGCAAUAUACGAUGCAUCCACACUGCAAAUUUCUCUCUCUGUUUCUUGUUUAUAAGAUGUUUUGCACUAUAUAUUUAUGUUUCAAACCCCAUCUUCAGCUGCAGGAAUCCAGGAGAGCUUAUGUAGACUCUGUGGCAACUUGUCAGAAACUGAAAGGGGAUCUGCUGACUGUUUUCAAUGUGCUUCCUAAAGACAUGCAACAACUCUUGCUUCUUAAUCCACAAAGGGCAUCUCUUCUCCGUGGAAGUCCUGAACCAGCGAAACUUCCAGGGCGUCCGCUUGUACAAGUUGGUGUUGUAUCACCAAGAUAGUACUGAAUACAUGUUAUGAGUAAGUAGCCUCAGGCAAAAAAUUGGUUUUCUUCUGAUUUUUAGAGCCAGCCCUCAUUGGUUUGUUCACAUACAACACUUGAUGGGGAGAUUUCCCCCCCACUGGCUGCUGCAAAUGUUUUAGUAGGUACCAUUUUAGACCUCUCCUAAUCUUUAUACUUAAGAUUCAAUCUGAUAAAGUAUUAGGAUGAAUUAUAUGGUAUUUCAUGUUUUUAAAAACAUGUUUAUAUUUCUACAAAUAAACAGAUGACCAAGAAUGGUGGAUAUGGUGGUUGUGUUACUUUUCAGUCAUCCAAUUUGACAUCUGCAACCUACUGUGAACUUAUGGAUCAUCAAAAAUUCUUUCAGGAGAUGAUAGUUAGCCUUUUCUUUUACUAGAAUUUCUGAUUUUGUAUUGUCUUCAUCACUUCAAGGAGAGGAUAAUGUCAACUUGUAAUAUGUAACUUAUAUUUUUGUACCGAGUCCGAUCCAGCUUUUAUCGUGUAGAUGUAAAGUUAAAGCAAAUAGUUUCAGCUUCAAAACUCUGAGACUGUUGCAAGAGAUGUUAUACAUCGCUGGGUUUUUAAGCGUUUUGAAUUUUAUAUCAGUGGAAGGAAUUAUCUAACUGUAGCAAUUAUUUUCAAAUUGCCCUAAGUUAAUGGUUUUACGUCAAACAAAGCAGUUGAGUUAUUCUUUUGCACUCUUCAUUCUUCUAACUUUUCUUCUUUUAAUGGGUUAGGAGGAAUAUAACCUCCUUUGGUAUUUUUUUUCAAUCAUUCCUUUAUAAAAUAAUAGUAAUAAUAACAAGGGUUAUAUAUUGGUCUCGAUAACUUUUCCUUUAAUUUAUUUUAGUUCUUGUACUUGUAAAAUGUUCGUUUUUGUCCUCGUACUUUUUACUUUUGUUUAUUUUGGAUUCUAUUUGAAAAUGUUUAUUUAGAUUCUUUUACUUUUAAAAAGUGACCAUUAUAAUUAUUUUUAAGGAACUAAAUCAAAUGUUUAUUUAGAUUCUUACUUUUAAAAAGUAACCAUUGCAAUCAUUUGUAAAGAACUAAAUUGCCACUUCUUAAAAGUAAAGAAUCGAAGUUAACAGUGAAAUGACCGAAACCAACAUUUUGGUUUUUUCACGAAACUUAUCAAAAACAACAUUUUAAAAAAUACAUCCAUUUCAAUCAACGAAAAUUGAAAAUUGAUCAACGAAAAUUGAAAAUUAAGAGAUAAAAAUGAAGAUUUUAAAAUUACAUCAACUAAAAUAAAUUACUUAUGGUGUUGAUAAUUUACUUAUGGUGUGUUUGCUUCAAGGAGUUAUGAAAUAGUAUGGAAAUAGGAUUCGUGAAUUUCACAUCGUAUUUGUCCCAAGAAGUUAUAUCAUAGCCAACAAAAAUUUACUUGAACUGAAUGUGCUAAGAACCAAAAAUCCCCCCUCGUUCAAAUUACCUCCCACUUGCACUAAAAAUACAUCUUAGGCUGUGGAUCUUCAUAGUUCACAAUUCAUAGUUCCAUAAACUUCCCAAAAUGGCUCAGUAUAUAUAUAAAAAUUCAAACUUUCUACAUAGGGAAGAUUGAUUAUUAACCAUUUAAUAAAAUUGAAUUAUGGUUGGAUUAGGAAACACAGAUGAUGGAUUGUGGAUAAUGAAGUUCGUUGCUAUUGGCUUUACAAGAUUACCCUUGGAUUCUCUUCCUUCAUCAUAAUGUGAAGACUUGGUGAUUAUGACUAGCCAAGUAAACCACUCCACAACUGAACUUCAGAAUAUUUCUUCAUCUCAAAAUAAAUAUAAAAAAUAAAAAAAGCAAAUGCAACCUUAGGAGAGCACACAACAGUACAAAUACUCAAAUAAAUAAAUCCUAUUUAAAAUCACUUCAAAUCACACCAUCAAACAAUUCAAAACAAGAAAGCAAGCAUACAACUAAAUGCUAAGAAUUCCAAAAGAAAUAUUGAGCAGUUGGCAAACAGCCACAAAACUUUGAAAUAGAUGGUUUCAAAACUCAAUUAAAGUACUCAUUCAGUUCAGGUAUUCUGGCUUAGAACCAAAAUAUCACUAAAGCCACACAUAAAAGAGGUGAAAAUGAUACGAGCCAUUCUAUUUUGAAGACAAAACUAAAAAGGGGAUAAACAUAACAUUCAGCAACUGCAAAUUGGUGAAGUGGGGGUUUGAUCUAACGCAAUCUUCUAGCUUCCCUCUCAGACUCCAACAGAGUAAGAAUGUCACCUUCCCUCACUGGUCCCUUGACAUUCCUCAUAAUGUAACGAUUUUGAUCAUCAAGAAACUUAACUCUCACUUGAGUCACUUGACCUCUAGAUCCAGUUCUACCCAUUACUUUGACCACAACAGCAUGCUUGAUUUGGGAUUCCAUUCCUGCACGAACCCACCAAUAACUUAAAUCUUAUUCAAUCCAAGAAUCUUUUCCUUUACUAUACAGCUCCACUUCUAAAUUUGAACAACAUAAUAAGUUCAAGGAACAACUAGUGGGAAACAAAGAACUUACGUAUAUCAGUGCAUAAUAUUCUAUGAAACUAGAGAUUUGUUAAAGAAACCAACUUUCAGAAAGCAUAUACGAGUUACAAUUCUAAUUACUUAUAUUUUGAACCAAGAGAAGGAGGGAGAACGAAAAUGUCUGCAUAACAUUUCAAGGUUUCCAACUCAUAAACAAAACGAACAACUGCAAAUCAAAAUAUCUCGAAUCUCAAUCCCAAUAAUCAUCUGUCUAUCAUGAAACAAGAUCAUAUAACCAACAACCAAAAGACAAUAACACUAAUCACCGAAGGCAAACAAAAGCAAAACUGAAGAAUAAAUGCAAUCAUUUGUCAGCUUUCUCGCAGAGAAUACAAAUAUGAAGUGCUGCCAAUGCUAUGGAUAAGGAACAGAACAAACAAAGAAAAUCACAAAAAAUCCAUGGAUCGAAGAAGCACGUCGAUACGAACCUUAAACGAGGGAGAAAGAAUGAGGGCGGAGAGAACUCAGUAGAAUUUGAAGACACGCCGCCGGCAACACAAAUGGAAGGGGGGGGGGAAAGGAAAUACUUUGGGCACAAUAACUAGGGUUUCUGAUUGUGGAUGAAGACGAAUAUACCCCUCUAUGGAGAACUCAAGUGUAAGGGCUUUCUGGUAAUUUAAUAUGAAGGCUGCAUACGGAAAAUUAUUGUUAUUAUUAUAUUUAAACAACUAAAAUUUUACAUUUUACGUCACCUAAUUCAUCGGAUUAAAAAAAAAUGCAUAUUUAAUUAUGUUUUGAUCUCAUUUAAUUAUGCUCGAUCUUGUAAUUGUAAUAUGAUUAUUAAGAUUAUAUCUUCCUACUUAUUACUAAAUCAACUCAUGAUGAUUUAUUUUUAACCAUGUUAAUAGAAAGAUGAGAUGUCAUUUGUUUGAUAACAUUUUGUAAAAUAAUUCAAAUUGUAGAAAGUUGUUUGUUGGGAUAAUGAUUUGAUAAAUAAAUGUAUGGAUGAAAAAUAAAAUAGAAAUUUAUUAAGUUUACACCAUAAUAACAAUUAGGUAAACAUGAACAAAUGAUAAUCAAAUCAAUGGUUUAGUAAACGUGUUUAAAAACAAUCCAAUUAUUGUACAGUGAGACUCAUUUUUAUUGAUGGUUAAGCCAAAAUCAACCCAAUUUAUAUUGUUUCUCACUUUUUAAGUAUUAUUAUAUAUUUAUAUUGAAAAUUUGAAUCCCUCUGUCCAAAAAUCUUCGAAAGAAAGAAAAUAUAAUCCUACAGACAAGAAAUUUUAGGAAAUUCUUAAAUAUGUAUUUAUAAUUUUAGUUUUGUGUGUUUAAUGGUCUUUUUAAACAAAAUCAAUACUAUAAUUUUGUUUAUUUUAAAAAACCGUAGAAAUCAGAUUUAAGUUUAUUAAAACCUUAAUAAUAUAGUAAUUAUUACAUACAUUUGAAUGUUUGAGGAACUAUUAAAUAUAAACACAAAAUUAAAAUUGUAGGAAGUAAAUUUAUAAUUUAAUAUCAACAAAAUAUAUUUUUGGUCAAUGGGAUUAGAAGUAGUUGGUGUUCAUAUAGUUACAAGUGAUAAAAGUUAAGUUUGCAAUGAGGUGAAGCAAAAAGUUAGAGAAGUGGUCUAGGGUUGAAAAGGAAUCUGCUAUCUAUGGGUGGAAAGGCUCCAUCAAAGCAAUGUCCUAACGAUCCAAAUUAUACUAUAAGUUGUUUGAGGAGCUUCCUAAUAGCUUUAGGAAAGAUUUGAAAAGAAUGUAUGCUUGAUUUUAGCGGGGUUCUUUUGCGGAGAGGAAGUGAAAAAACUAGAGAAGUUGGAAAAAGAUGGGUAUGAACAAGGAGUCAUCUUACAAGAAUUUUGAAGGAAAGAAAAUUUCCAAACGGAGUAUUCUUGAAGGCAAACCUUGGCUAUACCAUAAAGAGUAUCAUGUGGGUGGAUUAUGUCUGCUCAUGGCAUUUGGAGAAGAGUAGGGAAUGGUAGAAGCAUUUCAAUUGAAAAGGAAACUGUGGAUUCCAAAAGAAGACGGCUUCAACCCGAGUUGGGCUCAAGAUUAGGCUAAAUGUUUCAAGUAGUUUUUUUUGUUUAAUGAGUCCCUAGUGAAAGAGAUCUUAUUCCUACCAUUCCAAAUCUAUAUGCCAAAGAAGUUCCCUCUAUUCACUGUGGAGACUACAAAUCAACGCAAUUUUUCAAGGGAAGUAAGGAAACUUUUUCUAUCUUCUCCUUUUUUAUUGCUUUGAUUGGCUCAAGCAAAGGUUGAUGAUCCCUGCUGAAUUAUUGGGAGCUCUAGAGGACUACAUGUUUGAGUGAGUGUGUUGGACUGUUGGUUGUUCCACAUAUGGUAGUUGAAUCAUAGUUGGCAUGGGAAAUGGAGACAUUUGAUUGUGGAUAAUGAGUUCUCUUGGUACUGGCUUUAGAAGAUUCCCCUUGGAUUCUCUUCCUUGAUCCUAAUGGGAAGAUAUUAUCAUGACUGCACUCCACAAUUGAACUACCUUUAUCAUCUUAAAAGAACUAUAUAAAAAGAAAAAAAGAAACCCAUUUCAAUCCAGCAGAACUUAACAGUACAAACACUGAAAUAAAUAAAUCCGAUAUAGACUUGUAUAUUCUUGAAACCAUAAACUUCAUUACUUCAUUAGGGUCUAAUUUUGUUGUAGUUCAAAUCUCUGCAAAACAUAUUUCCAUCAUUCAACAUCAUUUUAAUGUAGGCACAAUUCGGAUGAGUAAAGAUAUAAUUUGGAGUGAUUUUUAAACCUAACAAAAGCUAUUUUAACCACCUCAAAACCACUCGUCUCAAGAAUCUGCUACACCCAAGAAAGUUAGAAUAUAAAUAAGCAAACAAGAAUUCCAAAAAAACACCAAUAAUAUUGAGCAGUUGGCAUAUAGCCACAAAAUUUUGAAAUAAAUGGUUUCAAAACUCAAUUAAAGUACUCGUAUUCUGGCUUAGAACCAUAAUGUCACUAAAAUCACACAUAAAAGAGGAAAAAAAUGAUAAGAGCAAUACUAUUUUGAAGUUAAAACAUAACAUUCAGCAACUGCAAAUUGGUGAAGUGUGGGUUUGAUCUAACGCAAUCUUCUAGCUUCCCUCUCAGACUCCAACAGAGUAAGAAUGUCACCUUCCCUCACUGGUCCCUUGACAUUCCUCAUAAUGUAACGAUUUUGAUCAUCAAGAAACUUAACUCUCACUUGAGUCACUUGACCUCUAGAUCCAGUUCUACCCAUUACUUUGACCACAACAGCAUGCUUGAUUUGAGAUUCCAUUCCUGCACAAACCCAAGUUCAAAGAAUCUUUUUCAUUUAUAAUAACCCCUUCUAAGUUCCAAGUAGAUAUUUGCUAAACAAUCUGCCACCAGAUAACAAUUAGUUACAUAGCUACCUUUCUUAAUUCGAACAACCUAAUUUUAAGUUCUAGGAACAAGAAAACUAGUGACAAACAGAAAAACUAUUAAAUGUCAGUGCAGGAUAUGUGUAAAAGAAAUCAACUUUCAGAAAGCAUAUGCGAGUUCCAAUUCUAAUCACUUCAAUGUAUUGAGUAUCAUGAAACAUUUAACAAACAUUAAUAUGGUUCUCCAUUUAAUCAACUACUCAAAAAUUUUCCUCAGAGUAGGAAUUCAAUCGUGGUAACAAAAUCACACAACCAACUGACCGAAAGAUUCACUCCAUAAAUCUCACACUAAUCGCUAGAGGCAAACAAACACAAAAUCGAAAAAUAAACGCUUGUUUAGUAACUAUCUCGGAGACACGAGGUGGUGCCAAUGGUAUGGAUUCGAAACAAAAGUAUGAGCCAAAAGAGAUCACCAUGCAUAGAAGAAGGGAGUGAAUACUGACCUCAAACACGAGAGAAAGGCCGGAGAGAACGAUCUGUGGAAUUUGUAGAGACGGCGCCCGAGAAUUGAUGAAUGCAAAUGGAGAGGAAUAAAUACUUAAAACCUAGGGUUUUUGAUCGUGUGUGAAGAAGACGAAUAUACCCCUAAGUCUCACACGUUUGAAAGACCAAUGAAAGAAAGAGGAAAAAAAAAUCAAUCUCGAAAUUACAUUCAAAUUAUUAUCUAAAACAAGUUCAAAAUAAAUUAUAAUAUUUAUAAAUAUUAUCGUCUAUUAUAAGAUAACUAAUAAUUUGAUAUGGUAAGUUUAUUGGUAUAGACGAUGCUAUUUUGUUAUAUUUAUUAAUAUUUUGAAUAGUUUUGACAUUUAAAGUAAUUUCUCUAUUGUAUACUCAUUUGAAAGCUUGUAAAUCUAAUAAGCAUGACUAUAAAAGUUUAAAAACUAAAUUUAUAAUUUAGUAUAAUUUAGUCUUUUAUUUUAGUUUCCUUCUCGAACCUAUACAGACAAAAGAGUGACCUUUUCUACUUAGUGAGAAGGAUCGUAGAAUGAGUCCUUUAUCGUAGAGUUUUUUCUUCCUCAAGAUGCAAACAAGUAUUCUUAAGAUCAUCAUCAACAUGAAAGUGAUCGAUCAAAAUGAUGUGUUUUGUAACUUCAACAUAAGAAGGAAAUCCUAAGCUUGAGGUUAAUUUGAGGAAUCUUUCAUCUUCUAAUAUGGUCGUGGCUUCUUUGGAAGGGGAUUUUUCAUGAUCAAAAGGGGCUCUUUCACCGGACGAGUUGGAUAAUGUGUGUGAGAAAUGUUGGUUCCUUGAAUCGUACCUCUCAAAUUAGUCAUUUUGAAGGUUGAAGCAUGAUAUGUUUUUUUUUUUAAUUUAGGAUUCUUAUCGAGGACACAUUACUCACUUUUCGAGAAAAGACAAAACUACUUCCAACAUUGCAACUUUAGCAUUCUCUUAGUGACAUUUUUUGAUUAGGAAAGACAACCAUUCAAUUAAUUUUUAAGAAAAUGUUAAUGGAAGGAAUAGUUGUUUGUUUGUUUGUUUUUUAUUUCUUGCUUAAAAUACUAGUGAACUCUUAGUUGCUAUUAUGAAUGGCAAAAAGAGUAAACCUUGUCCACAUUUGGUGAAGUAAUUAAUGAGAAUUAGAAUGUAUACUCACAUUUUUAGGAAAUCUACAUUUUUAUUCUCAUGCAUUUUAAAAGUUGCAAUCAAUAAGUUUUAUAGUAAUUAUGAAUCCUCUUUUUGAAAGAUAUAACCAAAUCGUAAAUCAAUUAUUAUAUUUAAAUCAUUAUUCUUUCAAAGUACUACCCACUUUCAAAUUUAUUAGCAAAACUUGUGAUAUGAACAGUAAUAUACUUGUUUCAUUGCUACUACGGCCUAUAGAAUAUUUCGAUUCGAAGAGAAAAACAACUUGAGUAAUCUAAUUUGAAAGGAUUCUUUAAAACAUUUAUUUUUCGAACUUUCAAUCGUAGAAAUUGAAUCUUCAAACUUAAAUAAGUGUUAAAAUUUGUAUCUCAAACUUGCAUUGUUGUAGAAAUGGUAGCACUUAAAUAAGUUUAAAGUUCAAUUUUUAUCAUUUAAAGGUCCAAUUUCUACAACUAUUUUAAGUUUGAAACUCCAACUUUAACAAUAAUAUAAAUUUGGGAGCUCAAUCCUUACCGUUUAAGAAUGUAAUUGCAUCUACUAUCGUACUUCAAUGGUAACUUUGACAAAUUGACAAAAUUGUAUAUAAAUAAAAGGUAAUUGCAAAAUUCACUAUUGUUGCAAUUAGCUUUUUUUCUCCUACUAUCAACAAAUGAAGGUUGAGGAACAAAAGACCAUGUCAAUUAUAGUUUACCUAAGCUUACUUUCACACACACUAAACUUACUUUCAACCUCUUAAACUUACACCAUGGUUUAAAAAUGAACUCUUCGGAUACAAAUCUGUGUGCGUAAGAUUCCAAAAGUUAAAUAUAAAUUAAAAAAGGAAGAAGAAGUAGGCCUAUCACUCCUCUCUCUUUCUGUCAAAAUCAAAGAGGUGGACGUGAUCCUUGAAUAUUUUGUGUGGUGAAGUUUGGGGUCAAAAACUUGAAGUGGAGAAUAGACCACGUCUAGCCAUAGACAAAACAUUUCAGCUUCAACCUUCCUCCUGACUGACCUGUAAAUUUACAAAACGGUGGCUGACAAAACCAUCUGAUUAGAGACAGAAAACAGGAAAAACCUUAUUCAUCAGCAUUAUUCAUGUUAAUCAGAAACACAUAUGCCUUACAAAGCAAAUGGAAUAACAAAAAAUCCACUUUCCAAGAGAUUGACUUUCAGUUUCAGCACUUUCUCAUUUGAAAUUGCUUGUUCAUGUAUAUUGUGACGAGGCAAUUGAAACCUUAACCUUCACCCCUUUCCCAGGCCUCUUCCAUUGAUUAUGACAUCAGUACUUUAGUUACUACAUGGGUUAUUCAAGAGAGAGCUUCUUGAGUUACACAAGUUUUACUGUUAAAUAUGUGUUUUUCUUUUAAGAUUCUCACUACCAACUCUAUGAUUGGUGAUGUCUGGCCAAAAAGUCUCUCUUUUCCUCUCUCUCUAAUGUUUCUGCUAGUAUGAUUGUUGAUGGGGGUAUGAAGAUGACAAACAACAUGUCACUUCAACUCCCAAAAAGUGGUCCUCUCUUAAUUGAUAGUUUCACCACUCACCUCUUUCCCUUGCCCUACACCACAUUCUACUCUUCUCUCUCCUUUUUAUCUUUUGCCCCAAACCAGACUCUUGCCCCCCCAGAAAAUUAGAACAAUUCAGUAAUGAUUUAAUUCAUUAUUCCCCAAACAUUUCCACUCUGGUUUUGAAUAACAUCACUGGGCAACUAUGUCAACUGGAUCAGCUGUUUGGACCAAAGAAGAAGAUAAAGCAUUUGAAAAUGCUAUAGCCACGCAUUGGGGUGAAGAAUUGGAAGGGAGUAAGGGGUCAGAAGAGAUGUGGGAAAAGAUUGCUUCCAUGGUUCCAAGCAAGAACAUGGAAGACUUGAAGCAGCACUAUCAAAUGCUGGUGGACGAUGUUGGUGCUAUUGAGGCAGGCCAAAUUCCUAUUCCUAACUAUGCUUCUUCUGUUGGAGAAGAAACUGCUUCCACUAAGGAGAAGGAUCAUCAUCUUCAUCCUCAUGGAUCUUCUGAUAGUAAUAAAAGACCAAAUUCUGGUUUUGGAAGUGGGUUUUCUGGGCUCUCCCACGACUCAUCUGCCCACGCCACAAAGGGUGGAUCCAGGUCUGAGCAAGAAAGAAGGAAAGGAAUCCCAUGGACAGAGGAAGAACACAGGUUCGUAUAUUUUCAACAACUUCAAAUACUGGGUCAUUUCAUAGCGAGCUAUAUAAUUAAUCAAUCAAUAUAGAUAUUAAGAAAAGAAAAGACUUGUUUUUGUGUUCUAUGUGAUAUGGACAUAGAUUCAUUAGGCAGUGCAGAAUGAGAGAGAUUCUUAAGUAUUGCUAUUUUCAGGUUAUUUCUACUGGGUCUCGAUAAGUUUGGGAAAGGGGAUUGGAGAAGCAUUUCAAGAAACUUCGUUAUAUCCAGAACACCGACACAAGUGGCCAGUCAUGCACAGAAGUACUUCAUACGAUUGAACUCAAUGAACAGAGAUAGAAGACGAUCAAGUAUUCAUGACAUAACGUCAGUUAAUAAUGGCGGUGGUGGCGAUGUCAUGUCCCAUCAAGCUCCGAUCACUGGCCACCAGACAAACGGCACGAACCAGAGUAAUCCGCCGGCUUUGGGACCGCCAGGGAAGCACCGGCCUCAGCAGCAUCUGCCCGGAAUAGGCAUGUACGGGGCACCUGUUGGGCAACCAGUGGCAGCUCCUCCGGGGCACAUGGCAUCAGCGGUUGGCACUCCAGUGAUGCUUCCUCAAGGAAUCCAUCCCCAUCCUCCAUAUGUUAUGCCAGUUGCUUAUCCAAUGGCACCUCCACCAAUGCACCAAUGACAAUUAUUUUUUUUCUUUUUUCUUUUCCCCUUCCCAGACAGAUUUUUGGAUUCGUGGAUCAAAAUAAGAAGUUGAGGCAUAACAAAGAAGAGCAAAGGGUAAAGUUUCACUUUUCAACUUUUCCAUUCACCUGUGAUUCUCCAAUCAUGUUGUGACGAGAAUAUACCAAUAUAGAGAGAUCCGAUAAGUCACCCUUUUUCAGCCUUUUAAGAACGACUUAUGAACAUGGAAUCCAAUUUUCAAUUUCACCAAUGUUUUUUGAUAGUAUAACUACCUGCAAUAAAAUACGAGCAUUAGCCGAGAGUGCCAAGGAUCCAUUGAUUGGAGAGGGGUUGUACUCAGUAAAUUUUCAAAUGGCUUGCCACAAGAAAAUACAGGGGAAUUGAAUAUUGACAAACUCAAGCUUCAAAAUUGUAAGGACAAAGCCCAGUUGUCAAAGAAAAUAUCUCAAAACUAAGUACACAAACAUAACCAAAUGUUUCUCAAAUAUAUUUGAUAUAACUCAGUCAAUUUACUAUUUAAGAUAUCGGUUUCCUGCACCUUCCAGACAUUCGAGAGACUGCAGCAUCAGAUAAUGUAUCCCACACCUACAAAAACAUAGAGGAAAUGGUAGGAGAAGGAAUCAAAAUUUUAGUGUACGUGGAAUCCUCCAAGACAUUUUUGCUUUUUUGAGGAAUUCAUCAAUAGAGUGCUUGGUGGGAGGCUUACAAACCCCUUUAGGAACCCACUAAACCGCUGAUAUCGUUUUCCCUUAAACGUGAGUUGGUAGGAAGGUUGAGUGACACACAGUUCACAACAGUGGCAGCUGAAUGAGGGAACAGGAGAGGAGGGUGGCGGCCAGUUUCCAACGGUAAAAACAGUGUGUAUUGAUUCUACUCGUUGUUUAAUAUACAUAAAACCAAUAGUUUAUCCAUUAGUGUCAUUGGUAAAUUAGUUUUCAGCCCCUCUAAACUCAAGUUCAAGAAUAAAUUUUAAACCAAUGAAUGUUCAAACUGUCCUUGUUUUGUGCAUGUCGCUUUUGAACAAAAAUAUCUUAUAAGGAAAAUCCGAAGUCAGUAUUUUCAUUUUAUGCUCUUUAAUAAUCCUAUAUAUCCUUUUUAUUGGCCAAUUUCAAAUUUUCGUAUUAAUUAUUCUCCUCUUGGGGUAAUUAUUUUAGAUGAUAUGCCUCUUAGGAUAGUUAUUUUAAAUGAAAAUUCAGAUCCUUCUCCUCUUUUCAUUGUAAGCGAGCAUUCGUCAUUUUACACAUUUAUUUGUCUUUUAAAUGAGGAAAAGGAAUUGGCUCAAAAGAAGAAAAAAAACGAAAAGAAUGAAGGUAUAAAUAAUAACAAUUAUAGUUGAAAAUGAGUUGUAAAUGAUGUCGUAUGAAUGUAUGAAUGUAUAAAUAAUAACAAUUAUAGUUGAAAAGGAGUUGUAAAUGAUGUCGUUUAUGUAUAUUAAUUCUUACUCCUAGCUAGCUUUGACAUGUCAUUUUACUUUCAAAGUUCAAGAGUUAUAAUGAAAUAAUUUUAGAUUAGUUUUCAAUAGUAUUUCCAGUCAUUUAACACAAUUUUCCUACCUCGAUUUUGUUUGGAACACUUAAAUCUUGUUUUUGAUUACUGAACCAAAAGAGGAAAUUUCAAACAUACACUACAUUAAUCUAGAAUUAUUUACUCUAUUCUUUUACAAAAUCUAAAUGCCUUUGCAACUCCAAACUUUUGGUCAACCACAUUUAAAGCAACUGCAACAUAUUACUGUGAAGUUGAAACUCUACACUGAUGCACCAAACCCACUUGAACAUAGAUCUGUUAGUGUAUAGAUCUCUGCUUCUCACACAAAAAUUAAAUAAUACGUAGAAGAACAAUCUUAAUCAUUGAUUAAGAUGAUGGGGAACAAAUAAGAACCAUAGGAACACCAUCUUUUCCUUGAGAAGAACUGAAGAAUUUUAUGAACCAUCAACGGUCAAAUCUGUUCCUUUAUACAUAGAUAAUCCUUUCCUGAAACAAGAUAAAGGCCAUCACAUUCAUGACCAUGGCUUGUUGGGUCAUCUACCUCGUUUUCUUUUUCCAGCUUUCAUAGAGAAAAAAUGAAAGAAUUCAAAGGCAUACCAAAAGAAAAAAACCAAGCCUACAAAAACUCAUCUAAAGAAAUGGUUUCCAGCUAAGUAAGAUGCUAACUAUAGAAUAAUUACAAAACAUCUCCAAAACUGAAACCCAAAAAGAAACAUGGAAGCUCACCGAGGACCAAAAGUUUACUUGAGUUUCUCUCCACCCCUCUAAACACUUGGUUGUUCCUCUUCUCCUACGUAUCCUACAAUAAAGUACACACCACAACAAACCAUAAAAAGCAGUCUCUCUUUGAGAGAUGGACGAAAAGGAAACUCUUCGAUUGUCUUGCGAACAUCCCUUUAGUGAGCUAACUCGAGAUUGAGCUCGAAAUAAAUAUUUCCACAUGGGUUUCACAAACUAACAACACUAGAAAAGGUGAUCCAGGUCUUCCUCGCAUACACAAAAAGGCCGAGGUAGCAAGCAUAGACUUCUUUCUCAAAAGCCUAUCCAUAGGUUCUAUAAGCUAAAGCCUGUGAUGAAAUCUAACCACUAAGAGAAAUUAUUCAAUAAUACGCAUGCUAUCUAAUAAGCACCAAAUAUAAAUAUAAAGCACUUCUCAGUUCUUCCUCUCCACAUUAAACGGUGAAAAAUUGUUAGCCAUACUGCGUUGAAUCCCCCACCGAAUAAAUUAUCCUAAUCAUAGUGCUCUCAUACAAGAAUUGGAGUUCACAUCUAUAUACAAAAUAAAAAAUCACAUAAGCACAAAGACAGUUAACUUAAAGGGCUUUCCAUUAACCAAAGGAAUAAAUCAUAAACUAAUCACAUAACAAAACACACAUGCUGUUAAUCAGUGAUAAAUUGUAGAAAAGAGAAACAAAAUUGCAACCCAAUUCUUUUCUUUUCAGCCUACACUAAUUUAUUCCCAAAUCCAGUUCUGUACUCCAGUGCCCUAAUUGAUAUGGAAUGAUUGGAGUGUUCUUAUGAGGUCAAUUUCUAAAGCCAAUGCAGAAAACCCUCGAACUUCAACUUUGGCUCUGUAUAAUCAGAACACCCAAAUAGGAAAAGUGUACGAUCCACUCACACUAUAGCGAGUCUUCAAGUUCUUUCAUUUGCUCUUUCUUUUUGAGUUCGUUCUCAUAUUGUUUUAACCUCUCUUUCAUCUUCUCCUGCAUCAGCCCCAAAAAGCAAAUCAAAACGAAAAAAGAAAAGAAAAGAAACCCACAAUCAUACCAUACAUAACCUACAAGUUGAUUAGAAAUCUGAAAUUGAAGAGAAGUGGGGUUACCUUAUAGCCAACUUCAACGCGGUGCAUUACAUAGAAGCCAAGAACGCCGCCGACAACGGUGCCGGUGAUGAUCCGAAUAUAAGCCCAUUUACGAGAACUGCCGACCAUCUUCCCAAAUUCAGAGCUCUAAUUCCUUUUCAAAUGGAACUGCUUCGCUGAAGAAACCUGGGGAUGGGUAUGGAUAUGGGUAAUGGGCAUGCUCCGCCAACCCGACUCCGCCUAGUUAAUGGUUUAUUUAUUUAUUUUGUUUUCUACGAGACACGUGUCAGAAAAUCCAAACUUCUCAACUCUAAAUGCUUAAUGGCAACAAAUUUAUUUAUACAUUUUCAAUCUUGCAAUAAACCAAAAUAUUAUAUUGAUCAAAAUAAAUUACUAUUUUUAGUUUUAUCAUUUAAAUUAAAUUUCAAAAUACAUAUCUAAUUUAAAUUUUAAAAAAUUAUAAAAAAUAACAAUUUUAAUCAAAUAUUUAUAAUAUAUAGCAAAAUUUUUAGAUUCUAUCAAUAACAGAAGUCUAUAAGUGACUAUCAUUAAUAGAAUUUAAAAUUUUGUUAUACCUUGUAAAUAUUUUAAUUUAUUAUGCUAUUUUUAAAAAUGCUCUCUUUAAAUAUUUUCAUUAUUUUAAAUAAUUCUUCUUAAAAGAAUAUAAAAAAAUCGAAUGGCCCUAGCUAAUUUUUUUUUUCCAAAUUGUGUUUGUUUUUUCACCAUUUUUCAAUACUGAUUUUAAAGAUCUUAAUUAUUGUUUAUCUCCGGUGUUCAUUCGCCACUUCAUGGGGUAAUUGAUUGCUUUGUUGUCGACAAUGCUAAAAGUUAUAGCUCCGAAAGGGUAAGUUGUAUAACUUAAUGUCUCAACCUUUUCCCAAAUCUUUGAAGACGAAAAUGGCAAGACUAAACAUGCAAGUUUUAGUUCGGAAGAAGAAGAAUCCAAUGUUUAAAAAUCAAUUUUUUUUAGUACAAAUUAGGCUUCAAAAUUUAAAUCAAGGACCUCUUAGUUCUCAACAUAUAUCAAUACCAAUUGAGUAAAGCUUUUGUUUGCAAAAUGUAUCAACAUUUAAACUUUAUAGUAGACAAUAAAUGUUUUAUCAUUGUCUAUCAAGUUUAUCAUUGAUAUACAAUGACAUUUUGAUGGUGGUAUUUUACUAUAUUUAAAAAUAGUUUCACUAACUUUUUUCAUUCAAGACCAUUAUCUUCUUGGAGAAUCCCAAAUUGUUUUCUCUUCAACUACCAACACACCAUUUCAUGAAGUAAAUGUCGGGAGAAAAGUGUAGCUUAGCAAUAAUUAACCUAUACUCAUUUGAAAAUAACAACACAACAUAACCUAAGUUUGAAUAUUAUGAUGUAUAUCUGAUUCACCUAUAGUUUACAAAGAAUACCUUUAUACGUAUUUCAAGUUCUCUAUCUAAAUACCAAUAAUAAUAAAAAAAAAAAAAAAAACUUAGAGUCCAAUUAUAGUUUCAUUCAAGCAGAGUUCAUAAUGUUUGAAGGUAGACCGCCAAUUAUUGUGCUUACUUAGAUAGCUAUUUUGCUGAAAGUCUGAAAUCAUUACUUGGAUGUAGCUAUUGGCCAUUGCUUUAUUCUGAUGUUCUUGUAAAGGCAAUUUCAGAAACCAAGGGUAAAUGAUCGCUGCCCACCUUCUGUAAAAGGAGGAUCACAUUUUGUUAGAUUGCUAUCAAGACUGGUGAAGAAAACGCAAUGAUUGACUUGUUCCAUCACCAUUUUGCUUUUAAAAUGUGGUUUUCGAAAUAGUUGGACUAAACUGCAAAAGAUACUUUUCAGCAUUGUAAAAACAUAAAACAUAAAGUGAAUCGGCACAAAACAGGACUAUAAACUUUCAACUACCUCGCAUGGAAGGCCGCCUGUUUUCAGAAGAAUAUCAAUUGGAACAGUAUCAACAACCCUUAUAGGAAUAAGGCCAUCAGAGUACCUAUAUUAAAGGCAAUAAAGACUAUCACAUGAACAGCAGCACCAACAUUACAAGUUAAAGCUACUACUAUAAUCUUUUCAACUACUAAUCACAGCAGCUUACCAAAUAUAAUCGACAGUUCCAAGAAACUUGGAGUGGUAGGAAGUAGCCAAUGGUUCAUCAGUGGAUCCCCGUGUUGUAGGAGGACCCUGAAUGGUGUAUAUAUGAUUUUCUUUUUUAAUUAAAAAGGAGGUCAUAAUUUCAAUAUUUGUUGCAAGAGAAAUGAAUAAAACUAUUAACUAAUAACAAAUAAAAAAUUGUAACUAAAAGGGGUAGUGGGAGAUACAUAGAAACUAACUCUGGAGGUUACAAAAACUUCAUACCUUUAUUGUAGCAUAGGAGCUGGUAAGCCUGAAGGGAUUCCUCACCACUUUGCAGUCAGCACUGCCAGUAGCAACUUUCACCUCUUCUUCAGUCCACAGACCUUUUGUUUGACUAAAAAAGAAGUCAAACCAUAGAAGUUAGCUAAAUAGACUUUAGUGAAACUAAGAAAUACUAUAGGCUCGUCAGCUGCAUACGAGAACAUAAUUAGAAAAGUGAGAACGAAGCCAUAUAAAUCCAACAUAUUAUCCUGAAUAUUAUUACCUUCCCAAAAAGAAAAAAGGUGCGCACACUUCUGUUUUUACACCCAAAACUUUAUCAGGAUGACAUCCCGAUUGUCCAGACAAUUCUCUUCGGUCAUAGGACAUGAAAUUUAGCUGUGAAUGACAUGGUCAAUCAAACUACUGGAUCAAACACUAGAUCAUAUUAUUUCUAGACAUAAUACAUUAAUUUUGAGUAAUCAUGGACUAAGAAGUGUACCUCUGAUGAUGAUAAGAAAUUGUAUAUUGCGCUCUGCCAACAAGCAGUAAAGGGUUAGACCUUCGUGUUACAGAUGAAAAUUUGGGAAACUUAAUGGUAUCUAAAUAUAGAUAAAAUUUUGAUAUGAAACCUCAGGAGUACUAUUGAAAUCACCAGCAAGAACAAAAGGAAGAUUUCUCCAUUUCUUAGAAAGAAUCUCUGCCCUUGACAACAGAUAACGUAACUGCAAUUUAGUUUUAAAACAAAGAAGAAUAAGAUAAAAUUUCAUUUUCUAUCCAUCAUCAAAGAACGUCUAAAAACUUGAUACGAUUCAAUAUUGACAUAACAAGCAAAACCGUCAAAGCAAGAGUCUUUUUCAUAACUUCUAUUAAAACGUGAGCUUCUCUGUUUUGUUGAGGUUUGUCCUUCAUAUUCCAAGUUCCUGUGAUAGUUUUCGUUCCUUUUUUCUUUGGAAAUAAAAGACUACAUACAAUUCGAAAUCACAAAAAGAAAGUGUGGAUACACUUGAACGAAUAUUGAAUGAAUAUUCACAUUUGAGUAAUGUAAAUAUAUUUGUUGCUUUGCUUGGGACUUACUUGACCUAAUUUGACGUCCCCCCUGCUUGGGUUGUAAAGCACAUGGAUGUUACCAAUUAGUAAUCUUCUUGAUUUAGCUUUGGACAUCUGCCUGCAUAUAGAAAUGUUAUGUUUGGAAGUUGGUCUCAAAUAAAUUAAAUCUCAGAAUUUCAGGUGAAUAUCAUAAGAAAAUAUGAAUACAGGCUACUUCAACCGUUGAGGAUCCCACAUUGGAAAUAUGGGAGGUAUUCAUGAGCUACUCUUUUCUUGCCAAUUGGUUUAAAGAUGGAAUCCAUAUAAACAAUUAGAACUAAACUUUUAUCAAACAAUAACAUUUAUUGGCAAACCGAUACUUGGAAUGAGGAUAACUUCAGAAUUAUCACCAAUGACAUCAUUACAACAGCUCAAGCAUAUGACUGGAUGAUAAUAAAUGUCUACCUCUAGCACAGAAAGUUGAGCAACAUUAUCACGAAGAUUGAACAUCUUGAAUUUGAUGCUCUCUUCAUCUAUCAGUCGAAACCUUGCCAAGUGAAAUAAUAGAUGUUAGAUCAUUUACUUAAGCAUAACAAGGUGUUAUACAUUAUCUAAAAAGCCAUAUCCUCACUUGUCAGCUUUCCAGAAUAUAGCACAUCCAUCAAUAGCGUCUCCAGUGCGUCUCUGCCAUUUCAAAUUAUUCUUUAGCAUCAUAUUCAAUAAGCUGCAAAAGUUUGGACCCACUAAUUGUAAAAGAAUAAAUAUCUAAACUGAACGCAACAAUCAAGAACUCCUGAGUGAAGGUUUUUUCUCUCCCUAUUUUGGCUGAUGAAAUCCAAUGUUUAAAUAAAUAUUUAAUGUACAAGUUGAAUUUGUAAGUCACAAGUUCACACAUUACUUUCUCAUUCUAGUGGAUGGAACACAUCAAAUUUAGAAAAUGAACACUCACCGUGUAUGACCCAACGUAACCGGCUUUCUCCAUGAUUUCUGAAACAUCAAAAUACUUGUCCACUUCCUACAAGGAAUUGACAAACAACUACACUUUUCACCUUUCAUUACAAUAAUCAGUAAGAGCGAGCGAGAGAAGAUCAAGCUCACCUGCAAGCAGAUUAUAUCAGGGUUCCACAUAAGAAGUUCCUCACAUAUAACUCUCUUACGAUGGUUCCAUUUCAGGUACGGUGAAGGAACAUUGGGAUAUAAACCUCUGUGUUUCCAUGUAUUCCUUUCAGCCAAUAUGUUGUAUGACACCACACUAAACUUUUCUGGAACAUCAAAUUUCAUUGAACAUUUGCAGGCAACAUUUGAAAUAUAAUCUCUUUUCAUAUAAAUAGCAUUCCAUAACACAUUUGAUCAGGUGGCAAUUCCAUGAAAAACUAUAGCCUAUUUGUGGUUCUACCGUAUUGAAUUUACAGAAUCUAUAUAAUAUAAUUAACAAAGGAUGACCCCUAUCCUGCUUUCAUGUUGCUGCAUUUCAACCCAAUCCAAUCCCUCUAAACUUAUUCUCCUUUAUCCUUCUAGAUCUUUUCAUUUCUACUUCUUCACUAACUUUUCUUCUGAUAUUACUUUAAUCACACAUUAACAAUGUUCAGACGUAGACGAUAAAGAAUAAAAAAAAACAAAAAAAAAAAACGUAAAAGGUAGAAAAUUGACAUAGACGUUAAAGUGGUUUGUGAGUUAGUUACGUCCAGGGACAGAGGAAAAGAACAGUUUAUCGUUAGAGAAAAACAUAUCUACGUUUGUAUUUUCAAUGAUUUUUGUGUUAAUAGCAGCGAUUAGCAUAGCGAUAAUGCUGGUCGGUACUUCACUAACAUUAACUUGCGAUGGAAAUACGAAACAGAAUCCCGUUUAGAGAAUUUGGAGAGUUGAAAUGGUGUACCUUCAGAAGCGGAAGGUUGAUCAGUCUCAAUCCAGUGGCGCAGAAUUUGAACACCUUCUUGGUUCAAUUGUCUUCGGCCGGAGGGGUUGUACCAUCGACGGGUGUAGUAAGAGCUAGUGGUUGAUUUUGGUAAUGACGAUGUGGAAGAAGCAUCGGCAGCAUCGUUAGAGCAGCAAAAGAAGAAUUUGGAGAAAUGAGAGUGGUGGCGUAAAAACGGACCGCAGCUGAGGAAGGUAGUGGCCAUGGUUGCGCGCCACAAUCUCAACGACCCAAUAUUUGGAUAGAUAACUUUUUCUUAUACUUCUUUGUAGCACUUAUUUUUGCAAUUACUUUGUGAAAAUGACAAUAAUGUUCCAAAUACUUCCUUUUUAUUUCCAUAUAUAAUAUAUAUGCACACACAUUAUUAAUUGACAAAUUUUGUUUUUUUUUUUUAAUAAAAAAUAUUUUAAUAGUAAGUGACGAGAAGAGAUGUACAAAUAAGUACAUCUUUAAGUAUUAUUGAAAUGACAAUAUUUAAAUAAACACAAAAUACACUCAUCUUUAUACGUCUUAUUUAAUCGAAAAAAAUACAAUAUUAUGUGAGCCUCAAUAUAUUUGGAGUAAAUCUCCAAAUUCAAUUAACUUUUUUACUAAAGUAUUUUUAAUAAUUCUAUAAACUAGUACAUAAUGGCUUAAACUUAAUAUACUGUUUACUUUAUCUUAGAAAUGGUCUUAAAGACAAUUAUAAAAAUGAACGAUCGAAGAAAAUUAUAAAUAACGAUUUUUUCGAGUGCUAACAUUUUUUCUUUCAAUUACGCGUUUGAUACCGUACGAAGAGUAAAAAAAUGUAUUUAAUCUCAGACUAAUCAUUACUCGUGAUCAAGACCAUAAGCUUAAGGUAUUUAAGCUAUAAAAUAAAGUAUUAUUCUGUACAAAAGGCCAUACGAUGUGCUAAAAAAUGACCUUUAACCAACAUUGGACGACUUAGAAAAUCAACACAAAUCGAUUAAAUAGCUCUCACUCUAUUGAAGAUGUACUCAUGAAGGAAAUAAAAUAACCCCUUAGUCAUUCGAUAUCGAUAUUACUCGAGUUUACGUUUCUCAGAGCAAACAUUUUCAGUUGAGAGAAAUAUUAGAAAUGGAAGGGAACUUCUCAACCCACCAAGCAACAUAAUAUCAAAUAAUUUUUACCAUUAACAUUCUCAUUCACAUCAUUCUCCCUAGGAAAGGCAAUGUUGUUGCACUACCAUGUAGUACUAGUGGCUGCCUUAAAGGCCAUAAAUUAAAAUGUACAAAUAAAACAGGGGGCAACACAUUUGCAUAUAAUGAAAAAGAUGGAAGUUAAUUUAAACCUCUCUCUACUAGUAUAUCAGGGAAUUGAUGGUAUUCUAGCCUUGCAGAUGCUAAAAGCAGCUAAACAGAAUUACGGGAGUUGCCUACGGAAACUAAAAGUUAACAACCUGCUGUCCUGAGGACGAAGCUUACAUCUAGAUCGAGCGUCCAAAAACCUGGAAGCAUGAAGAAACCUAUGGUUAUUUGAUAAGAUGGAACCCAAGUUUGAAAUUUUGAAGUAAACAAGAAGAAAUAAAUUAUCAUUCUUCCAUGGAACAGGAAAUAAACCUUCAUAGUUUAUCAUUUCAAAGAAAGAUGUCUACUGUCUAUUGUCUACGGGCAUUUUCUUUGAAUGUAGGAAGCCCCAUGUUCUUCGAACCUGUUAGAUGCAAACAAAAUGAAGUGACUGUUAUGGUAACAAGGACAAAUUUAAUAUGAUUCUUAACUACUUCAAAGUGAAACCUCCACAUUUGCUGAGGCAAGUAUUUGAGCCUUACUCGGAUUUGGAGAACCACAUUUGCUGAAAUGAACCAAGAGAGGCCAAUAUACUCCCUCCAAUCCAGACACUGCAUUAAAUUUUUUCACCAGAACUUAGACAAAUAACAUAGGAGGAAAGUAAAAUGUGCAUAAACAUUAGGGGAAACAGUAUCAUGGGGCCAACCGCACAUGAAGAAAAGCAUAGAGUAGUUUCAAAUUAAUUUCAAAUGUAUCCAACAGAGGACAUAGAAAACAUCAAACAUAGAAUUAGAUUAUUUUCCUAUGUAGCUGCCCCAAUGGACAGGUAAACAUUAAACGUUGUAAAUAGAAUAUGUGAAGAAUGUUCCAUGUGAUAUAACCAUAAGAAAUAAGAUGAGCGUGCUCAUACCUGAAUCUUCUUUCUGUUGCAUUACCGCUUGCCAAUACUUUAACCCUAGCAGCUUGAGGAGACUCCUACAAGUUCAGGACAAACUUAGUGAUUUUGUCUUAGAUCUAUCCUCUUCUCCCUUUCAUUCAAGUGCACGGAGAUUUCUAAUCAUUAGUAGAUAUACCUCUAACAAAUCUUUCUCAAGACGUUCUUUAAGCUGUUGCAUUGAAGCUGUUCCACCAGCAAGCUGGAAGAGGUAGAAAAAGAGAUCAAGUUCACGAGUGUUUCCAAUAAACACACUGAUUAUGACGACAAAUAUGCCAAAAAGAAAGCAAACAUAAGUUGAAACAUUAAAGGAAGGCUGCUGCCUUGUUUGCCACAUUGGCAUGUUUCAUGAGCCAUACGCUGGACUUGAGAAUUGAGAUGAUCACAUUUUAUACUUUUUCCUAGCAUCUAAAUUGGAAAACAAACAGAGAGAAACUAAAAAAUGUGCAGCAUUUUCACCAACCAUAUAUCACAAGAAAUUAAUAUUUUUUAAAAAAAAAUGUAAAAUAAGAGAGAAAUAAUACUUAGAGCACUGAACUAUACCAGUAUACUGCUAAAUAGUUCUCUCCGAAUAUCCACAUCACAUUUAUUUAUACUCUCGAUUACCUGCGCACAAAUAAAAAGUAUAGUUAAUGUUGUCUUUUCAACUAAAAAUACAUGAUUUUAUUUAAUUAUAAAAACGCAGAACAAAAUUAUGAACAGAACCAAAAAGUUGAAAGGAUUAAGUGGAAAUAAUUAUCAAAUUGGGUGAGAUUAUGGAAGAACACACAGGUGUGCCUAAAAUCAAGAAAACUGAAAAACUAAACCAAUGAAACUGGUUUGAUCCAACUUUUGUACCAUAUUUGGUUCUUCAAUCUCCAAAAGUAAAGACUGAGAGAAUUAAGAAUUGAAGAUCCAGUAUGGUUUACGGCUUAUAAUGAACCAUACCAAUAACAUUGAUUUAUUUAAUUUUUUUACAAAUGGCCUCAAUAGUGCAAGUACUUUGUUGAGAAUGUUGGAAAUUCUAUUGUGGUUAAGAUUUAGGUUGAUUUUAGAAAGAAACAAAAUCCAAAACACCUUGUUGAAAAAGAAAAGAAAAUAACCAUUUAUUUGUUCAAAAUCCCUUAUAACUUGGAUGCUUAUUAGAGAUUUAAGCUCAAAAUAGGCAAUAAAAACUAAACCAAUAAACCCAGAAUUGGGAGAACCAAACCGAUCAAUAUAAUUAAACUGGUUUUCAAUAAUACCUAGUCCAUAAUUCCGUAUAUAUUAAAAUUAAACCAACCUAUGCAAAUCUACCUCUAAGACUCAACUCAAUUUGUUCUUGUGGUAGGACAUAAUCGAUGUUUUAGAAACUGAAACGGAGCAAAAUAUAAAGGUGGUUAUCAAAAAAUGAGAUUAUGGUAAUAAAAGCACAGACAUACCAUAUGCGGCAAUCCCUGAACCGAGCGAGCUGUUUCAGUGAAACUCUCCAUCCCAGGUAUAGUCUAGUAAUAAUAACAUAAAAGUGUGAGAGAGCAAGAGAAGUAACAAUAUCACAUAGCUACUCAUGACAAGAACCGAGAUGAUUGAUGACUCAACAAAGGCCUUGGUCCAAAUAACAUAAAUAGCAUAGUUUAUGAGCUAUAUGUCUAUUCUACAUGCAUAGGCAAUUACGAGACGAGACUUGUCAAAUUAAAUAGUGAAAUAAUAAAGAAAAAGAUGAAAAAAAAAAGGGAAGAUAAAAAGAAAAUCGUUUUCUCUUCAUCCAAAUAUGAUAAAAACUAAUACAGCCAUAUAAGUGAAAGACAGAAGCAGCACAUAGCGUCUAAUAGAAUCAUCAUUAAUUAGCUUAGCCAUUAUGCACACCACUCAAUCAAAAUUUCUCAAUUCAAGAUAUGGAAAUUAAGUCACUCACCUGCACUAAGGACGGGUUAAAUAGAACAUCAGGAAUCUUGAAUCUGUCGGCUCCAAUCUCAAUAGUCCUGUUCCAAGCAUGAAGGAGAACAAAAGUAAAAAAGAUGAUUUAAAGAAGAAAAAGAGAAGGGGAAAAAAAGUACUGAGACUAGGAGAAGUUGCAUAGCUAAUAACCAAAAGUUCGCAAUACAGGAAAAAGGGAAAACAUAAGUUAAGACAAAAGUAUCAAUCCAUGCUUGAAAAUGUAAUCAUCCAAAACUCUCUUAAACGACUUACUGGCCAUCAGGAAGUUCAUAUGGCGUCAUUGGGAUAUUUGAAUAUGCACUUUCUGCAUAGAUAGAAAUAUAAUACCACACUAAUUAGCAUGCAACAUGCAGGAUCCUGUGAAAUAAAUACGAUGCAAGAAUGGUAGGGUCAAAGGGGAAAUUCAAUAUAACAUAUCUUCUCAUGCUCACAAGCAUAAAUUAGAAUACUCCUUUAAAGGGAAAGAAAACUAACAAUAUAUGAAAGCCUAUGUAUGAGAUGCAAAACAAUAAAAAGACAUGCCAUGCUCAUUCUUCACGUCAAAGAUAAAUUAAUGAACCAACUCAAUAAAUUCUAGCAACUAAAGAAAUUAAGGAAGGGCAAACCAUCAUAAGGAGUAUCUGGUGCUCGGCAUACACAUUCUUUUAUAUCACUGGCAAUGACCCUCUGUCAAUAUAGAGUAUUUUACUCAAAAAUUGAGCUAGCAAGAAUGAUAACUGGGAUUAUUUAUGAUCAAAAAAAUACCUGUGAGUACAGUUUGUAACUUUCAGUUGUGUUUGGGAAAUCAAGUUCCACUAUCUACAAAAGAGAUAAAUGAAAUGUCAAAGAACUAAUGACCAACAACAAUUAACAGUUAAUGAUAACUUGAAGGAGUAUACUCCUUUGAAUUUGUGAUAUACUACAACUACAAGUACCACAAUUCAAAGAUUUUUCUAUUAUUUUAUAUAAUUAAUAGUUUAAAGGUAAUGCCUGAAAUUCUCCUGGUCGAAUUUCCUUUCUCUUGAAGGAGUAUCUUGGCAUUAUCUGCAAGCAUAAUGAAAGGUAUGUUUCAGCAGUUGCACACUUGCACAAUAAAAUAAGAACAUAAUUUUUCGUGAGAGAGAACUUGAUAAUUUCAUUGAUGAAUUUACAUUGAAAAUGAAUUACAAAAAGGAUCACCAUGUACAACAAAAUAAAGAUAAAGAAUAAGAGUUACUGCCAAUAGUACCUUGAUACCUUUGCUCUCCAAACUUUUUAACAAACAAUCAGUAAGAAAAUCUCCACCAACAGGAGAAGAUACAACAGCCUGAACAUUAAUUCUUUGAUUAUUCCAUAUUUACAUAAAUAGAGCAUAAGGCAGAUAAAUAGAUAAAUAAAAUUUAGCCAAGAUUACGCAAGUCUUUAUAUCCACUUCAAAAUACCUUUUGAAAAACAUAGCCAUCAUGUACCGGAGCGACAGUUGUUGAUCCACCACCACUGCAUGUAUCAAUCAUUUAAAACCCAAUUGCUUACAGCCAGAAAACAUUCCCGCACUAAAGUUAUCGUAUAGAAUAACUCAAUCUCAAUGAAAUGGAUGUUUGGAUGUAAAAUUACAAUUCAACUUAACUUCUACCAAGAAUUUAUAAAUAUGCCAUUAGUCUCCAAACCUUGAAAAACUGAAUGAAUAAAAAAAACCCGAAGUGUCUUUUAACUUUUUUUGUCCUAUCUGUGAGUGUCUGAGUCAACUUCCGAGUACCUCGACUAAUCUAACGGGACAACCCGCCUAACCCUACAACAUUUGGGUGUCAAAGAAACUCGUAGGAAAAUAAUUCCUAGGUAGGUGGCCACUAGGGAUUGAACCUACGACCUCUUAGUUAGUUAUCAAGACUUUGCCUCCAUUUUUACCAUUGGGCCAACUCAUGACAGUUGUAUCUUUUUAACUAUCUGUUUUAAAAACUAUGAAAAUUUCCAGAAUCCAUUUGAUUUUGACAUAUGACUUAACCAUACAAUGAACUAAUUCUUUUCCAGAUUUGAGGGGCGAACUAUCAAAAUAAUCGGCAUAUAACUGAGUCAAGAAAAGACAAGAACUACUAAGAAUAAAAUAAUUAGAAACUGAUUAGACACGAUAUGCAAAAACACUAUCUAUUCGGUAAUAUUAAGAUAUAACAAUAGAUUCUGAUGAAAUCAGAUCAAUGAAUUCAUUAUUGAGCAAGAAAAUGAUAUUAUUAAAGCCUUGGCCCACCAAGUUUCAAAGAGACAAUAUGCAAUGGUCAUACAAUAAGUAUAUGUAGUAUAGGAUCAGCUGAUACCUGUCAACAACGAGUGAUGUAGCACGACCUGAUGCAAAUGACGUGAGAACCUAGAAUCCAAGUUUCAAUGAAUGAGUUUUAAAAAACAAAGCAUGAUCAAUCAAUGAGGACACCAAAAAAGAAAUAAAAAACAAUUAAUUUGAGGGGAAGCAUCUGAAAACGGAGUAAAUAGGAAAAACAUACAGCAUUUUUUGCCAAAAACAAUGCAGGAACUUUGUACUUCUCAAACAUAAUCUCAGCCGUCCUGUCAGAAAAAGUCUUAUUAAAUAAUUGAACUCAGUGUAAAUCCCAUAUGGAACAGAAAAAGGAGUUUAUCUGAGACUGAUUACUUUUCUCUCUGUUGUUGUGAAUUAGAAGAUGGUUCUGCAAGUAGCAUUGGAUGUUCUUGGGGAUCAAUAAGUAGACAUUCCCUGAAAGGAUACAAAAAAAUCAUAAAAGUUAUUAUGAAGUUAAGUAAAUUCUACAAGAUGUAGAAUAAAUAAGAAAAACACUUGAAGUAAGUAGUUUCUAACUGCUUGCACUAGAUCUAGAAAAUGUCCCAAAUUUUCUCCACGGAUUUGUAACAAAGAAUAAUACAUAGGAUUAGUCACAAGAAAAGGGUCUCAAUGAGCAAUUUUCUCUGUUUGCUUCUCUCUUUCACCAUCUAGGACCUCCUUAUUCUGAGUCUACUUUUAUCAUCUCUAACAUAGUUUCUUUUAAAAGCAGUGAAGAAUGAGUGAGUGUCCCUUCCAAUGAUCUGUGUAAGAUUGAGUGCACUAACUUUUCUGUUGGUUUCAGAAUUUUUUUUUUAGGAAAUCAGAUACUUAAAAUCACGUAUCUGGACGUAUUAGUCUCAUAUGUGUAUCUAAUAUCAAUUCUAUACACAAUUUGAAGUAUCUAUAUUUCAUAGGUGGCCACAAAAAGAAAUUAUGCCAGAACUCUCAAGACGAUGUGACUGACAUCCGUAAACAUAAAAUAUGACGAAAACUCUUCGAACCAUGAAGAAAAAAAAAAUGAAAUGGACAAAGAGGAGCAUGACAAGAAUUCCAAAAGAAAUCAUAUGUCAAUGAGACAUGAUGUAAUAACAUUGAUGCUACCCGCUAACAAAUUAUUGGUAUCUUUUAUAUGUUAAAAAUGAAAAGAAGAUAAAACACAAUAGAGUAUGCCCGAGUUAAUCCAAGUUAUUGGCUUGAUUAAAUAAGCACAUCGACAAACCUGAAUAUAGGAAGGAAAAAGAAACAAAAAAGAAAAAACACAUGACCUAGAUAACAGAACUUCCAUUACAUUAUGCAUUAGCAAGACUAAUGAAGUGAAUACUCCAUAGCAUUUAAAGGCUGCAAAAUAAAGGGAUUACAAGAUUCUAUUAAUUACCUGAAAGCAUGAUCCCAUAUGCUAUCGACCAUAUCCCAGUCAACAACAACUCCAUCCUUAAUAGGCGAGAGUACCUAAUGAAUCACACGAUUGAUAUAACAUUUUCUUAGUAUAUAGAAUACAGCCACAAAAUUCCAAAUAACUACCAAUGACAGGAAACAACUUACCUCCAUAUUAUCACGGCGGAACCCUAAAGCUUGAGAACCAACAUAUAGUUUGCGUUUUCCCUUGCCUUUAUCGGAGUCGAGAGUUUUAGCAUUACUCUUAGAUUCUCCAGCAGAUCCAGAGUUCUUUUCGGUACUUGUAGUGUCAUCAACAUCCAUUUCAUCGGUACAUCCAACAACCUUAUCAAACAAAGGUAAAGGGUUGAGAUAGAUACAGCUAUAUGCCUUACAUCAUUACAGAAGCAAUAACAGACCUAUCAGCUACCACAGGCAUCAUAUAAACCAAUCAUAUAUUGAAAUGUACGUAGAAAUAUAGCUGUUGUACACACCAUCUCUCACAUGGUCCUUAUAUGGGCAAGAACCAUUUGUCAUAUAUCAUUUUCUUUCCCAUGGAAUCUUUCUACAACACUACCUCUCAAGUUCAGUUCAGUUUAUGUCAAUUAAAAGUAGAAAGAAGAACAAAAAUCACGAACUCUACUACCACAACCAAGAACAGAAAUCACAAUUAUACCAGACAUCAAUCUCAGAUCCUCCUAAUAAUAACUUAUCAUUGUCACGCCAAGAAUUGGAUUGCAUUGCUAUCAGGUCUUAUCCCAAAAAAAGAAAUAUCCCAACCCAAAACUCUAAGAAAAAAUGAAAAUUUCAACUCAUUAGAAACCAAAUUUCGCAUUGCUUAAUCAAAACUCUCAGUUACCAAAAUUGGUGAUGUAGGACUGGUUUCUAGAACUUUCAACAUUUAAUUACACCUACAAGACUUCAGGAAUGACCACAAAAUUGAUAUUGGAACUCGAAAGUGGCAAGCACUUCACACUUUCACUCUGACACAUAAACUGGGCGCGGCAAAUCAAUGCAGCCAACAAAUCCUAAAAAAAAACAUCCAAAGCUCAAAAACCUGAUCGUUCUGUGCAGCUCAACAACUAAAUCUCGCCCUAAUACGACAAUGAACACUCAAAUAGUUGACAAAAUCGAGACCACCAGAAUGUAGCCCGCCAUAAGCAUCAAUAUUAUACACAGAACAUGUCAAAUGCAGGGAAUGCUUACAGAAGGGAAAACAGCCUUAGGAGCAUCUUCUCCAGCAUAACCAGCUUUGCAAGUGUGAGAACCCAGAUCAAUAACUAUAGCAGAUACCUCGUCUGUAGAAGAACGAACAAUUUAUGGGAAUUAAAGCAGAAAUAAUUCAUGGAUAAACGCGGGACCAUGCGUAUAUUUGAAGAGGAUAGGAAAUUCGGAAUACUCACCACCACCAUACAUGGCUGAAGAAUUCAGUGGAGGAAUAAGAGUGAAGUUAGGGUUUUUGAGCCUUUACCUAAAACCCAAUUCUAGGAAGGGUUAGGGAACACAGGACAGAGUUCCGACUCCGAGCUGGAUAGAAGUAGAAUUAAACCUCAACCCCGGAAGCUUAUUGACUUGCCAAGUGAUCGGCCGGCAACCGGUGAAGUACAGUGGUCGGAAUCUCCCUUCUCAGUACCGGAAGAUGAAGGCCCAAUUUUUCGCCCAACAAAAUACGAUGACGGCCCAAUACAAUAUUUCUUUUUCUCCCGUUUCGGCGGUCUCUAAAGUUUGAACUUAAAUUAUUUAAUUUUCUAGAUAUUUAAAACUUUAUAAAAUGUUUAUAAAUGAAAAAUUGUAAAAAAUAGCAAUAAAAUAUUUUCAUAUCCUAUCCAGUUUAAUAAAUUUUAAUUGAUUUAACAUAUACUUGUGUUUAAAUAUAAACAUGUAGGUCUCUUGAUUUAAUAUAUAGUGUUUUGCUGCUUUAAUGUAUUAUUCUUAUUUUAAAUUUAUAGUUUGUUAAAUAUAUAUAAGAUAAGAAUAUGUUAAUUUUUAACCCUAAAUUCCAUAAAAUAAGAAUAUGUUAAUUUUUAAUGCUCUUCUUCUCUGAAGUUUUAAGAAACCGCCCCUACAAAAUUAUUUCAAUUAAUCUUUUGUCUUAUCAAAUUAAACAAAUUUCAACUAGAUAAUUAAUUUUACUUUUUUAGAACUUAAAUAAAAGCUUUUGAAACUUUAUAAUCAACACAAAAUAAAAUUGCCCAAAAAAUUAUCUAAACAUUCAUAUUAUUACUAACAUUUGAGGCUAUAUUUCAUAAUAGUAAUUUAUAAAUUAAUAGCAAAUAUAUCUUUGAGGUGUAGAUUAUUUUAAUUUUAAUUAUAAUAAUAUUUAUUUAAGAGGUAAAUUAUUUUAGUUUGAAAAGAAAAUAGUAAAUACCGUAGCAAACUAUACUUUUGAAACAACGUUGUAAUUUUAAUAAAUAUUGUUGUAAAAAAGUCACUCCCAAUCAAGGCCAUAUGUCCUUACUUUGGAAUUUCUAACCUUUCACACAUACUUUUGUUUCAUUGUCUAUCAAAACAAAUUUAUCGUUUGUCAUCUAACAAGCUUCAACAAUUGUUACGAUGAGAUAUACACCGUAAAGAUUUAGUAUAAUGUACUUUUGUUUCAUUAACUAUGAAACCAUUUUAACUCAAUUUUCAAAUAGUAUGAUACCGAAAAAUAUAUAGUACAAUUUUAGGUGUCUAGGUUUUGAAUCUAAUUUCCAAAAGGUCUCUAGAAAGUUUUGAACACGUACAGUUAUUAGUAUUUAAAUUUUGAGUUUCAAUAUUACUGUUAAAGUGUGACUUUCGUUUUAAAUUAGUUAUUAGGUUUUGAAGUUUAAAAUAUGGUUGUUAUAUUAAAAAAAAACCUCAGAAUGUUACUAUAGAGUCAAAUAAUUAAUUAUAUGAGAUAAAUAUAUUCAAAUUAUUGAUAAAAGCAUAUAGUACUCUACAAUGUAUUUAUUUAAGAAAAGCUUUGUUAAGAUUGUGGUGUGGGUGUAUGAAUCCAACUGUAAUGGAUAUAUUUAUUAAUUGCCUAGAGGUUGUCGUCAAUUUCAUACACAAACGAGAUUACCAAUAAUACAUUAAAAUUUUGUUAAUACAACUUUAAUGCUCACUAAUUGCCAUAUUAAUUAUAUAUCUUAUAAAACUAUUAAUUAAUUAAAAAGUUUGAAAUUUGUAGGUUGAUUUUUUAAAAUAUUAUAUUGCUUAAUAUUUGAAGCUAUAUUUCAGCCUAAUGUUUUGAUAAAAUAUUUUCAUUUCAAAAUUUUGAUAUGAGAUUUGAAUAUGAAUAUAACCAAAAGAAAAUUUGAGAUAAACCAAUCCGGUCUUGAAUUUGAAAUAUUUUAUUUUAAAAAGAUAGUUGAGUUAAACAUUAGAAUAUGUCCAAUUUCAAUUAUAGAGUAAUUGUUAGAUGUAUAGGUAUACAAAAAUUUUACAAUUAUACCAUCAAACCUUAAUGUUUAAUUUUAGACAUUGGUUACUUGUUUUUGUAUUUUUGCAUAAAGGUUUUGUGCAAGCAUCUAAUUGCAACGUACUAAAAGUUUUUUUUUUUUUUUUUUUCAAAUUGAUCAUAGUUUUAUUUAUUUAUUUAUUAUUUGGAUACUAUGGGUAGUAGAAGAAUUAAUAAAUAAGAUGAGAAUAAAGUUAGCAAAUUACAAAACCAAAGGUACAUAAAGUCAAUACUCUGAAAACCACUAUGUUUCUUACAAACCAAUCUCUAUAAAAACCCCAAAAUCCCAUCACUUCCUUCUUCAUAAAUUCCUUUUAUAUCUUCAUUGCAACAUCAUGAACACUUCACUUUCCUAUGCUUUUCUCUUCCUAACAUUCUUCGCUUCCCUUCACUUCCCAUCAAUUCUCUCUCGCAAACUAACAACACAAUCUCCUUAUUCCACUAAUACCUUUGAUGUCUCGGCCUCCAUUAACCAAGCCUUAAAUGCCCUUUCCAUCAAACCCAAAUCCUUUCAAACUUACUCUAGUUACCAUUCAAGUUCACCUUUGUCUCUCUCAUUGCACCCUAGAUUGACUGUUCAUAACUCUUCUUACAAGAACUAUGGUAGUCUUGUUAGGGCCUGACUUGCUCGUAAUGCCGUCCGAGUUCGAUCCCUUAAUAGAAAGCUUGAGCUCUCUUUAAAUGAGGGCAAACAAUUUGGUAAAAAAGUUAAUGGAUCUCAGUGUACAAAUUCACUUACUGCGCCGAUUUUUUCAGGGGAGAAUCAGGGGAAUGGUGAAUAUUUUGUUGGGAUGCGCGUCGGCCAGCCUCAACAACCGUCUUUUUUUGUGCUUGAUACUGGCAGUGAUGUUACGUGGCUUCAAUGCCUGCCCUGUGCUGGUAAGAAUGGUUGUUAUGAACAAAUAACCCCGAUAUUUGACCCAGAAUUGUCGUCUUCUUACAAUCCAGUGUCUUGUGAUUCGGAACAGUGUCAAUUGUUGGAUGAAGCUGGUUGCAAUGUCAAUUCUUGUAUCUACAAAGUUGAAUAUGGGGAUGGAUCAUUCACAAUCGGUGAACUCGCCACCGAAACGUUAACAUUUGUACAUUCUAAUUCCAUUCCUAAUAUCUCGAUUGGUUGUGGCCAUGACAACGAAGGCCUCUUCGUUGGGGCCGAUGGUUUAAUUGGCCUCGGUGGUGGGGCCAUUUCCAUUUCUUCUCAAUUAAAAGCAUCAUCAUUUUCAUAUUGUCUAGUCGACAUAGACUCACCAUCAUUCUCCACUCUUGACUUCAACACAGACCCACCAAGCGACUCACUCAUCUCCCCACUUGUUAAAAAUGAUCGAUUUCCCUCAUUUCGAUAUGUGAAAGUAAUUGGAAUGAGUGUCGGCGGAAAGCCUUUACCGAUUUCCUCGUCAAGAUUUGAAAUCGACGAAUCAGGAUUGGGGGGAAUAAUUGUGGAUUCUGGAACGACUAUAACACAACUACCAAGUGAUGUGUAUGAAGUGUUAAGAGAAGCGUUCCUGGGGCUAACAACGAAUCUCCCACCGGCACCAGAGAUAUCACCGUUUGAUACUUGUUAUGACUUAUCAAGUCAGUCGAAUGUGGAGGUGCCAACCAUAGCAUUUAUUUUGCCAGGGGAAAACUCGCUACAACUACCAGCAAAAAAUUGUUUGAUCCAAGUGGACUCAGCUGGAACUUUCUGCUUGGCGUUUGUUUCAGCAACAUUCCCGCUUUCUAUCAUUGGAAAUUUCCAACAACAAGGAAUACGUGUCAGCUAUGACUUGACCAACUCCCUCGUCGGCUUCUCGACUAAUAAAUGUUAAAAUUCAGCUGACACGUUGGUGGGAUUAGAGUGGUUUAAUUUGGGUUUGUUACAUUAUUUUAAGCCAAUAAAAUACUAUUGCUUCUCAUACAUUGUAUAAAAAAAGUUCAUUCAACAGUGGGUCGAAUUAAUCAAAUCAUGUCAAUGUAUUUUCUUCAUGUUACUGAUAUUGUUUGUCGACUAAUAUGUCAACCAAUUAUGAGAACAACGGUACAAAUGUUUUCUAAUCAUGAAAUUUAAAAUAGGGAGGUGAUGAACCAAAAGUCUCGAUCGAUCAGUGGAGGAAUGUGAGUGAGGUUAGGGUUUUUUAGCCUUUACCUAAAACCCAAUUCUAGGAAGGGUUAGGGAACACAGAACAAAGUUCCGACUCCAAGCUAGAUAAAAGUAGAACUAAACCUCAACCAUGAAAGCUUAUUGACUUGCCAAGUGAUCAGCCGGCAACCGGUGAAGUACGAUGGUCGGAAUCUCCCUUCUCAGUACUGAACGAUGAAGAUCCAAUUUUUGCCCAAGAAAAUACAAUGACGGCCCAAUACAAUAUUUCUUUUUCUCCCGUUUCAACGGUCUCUAAAGCUUGAACUUAAGUUUUUUUUUUUAGAUAUUUAAAACUUUAUAAAAUGUUUAGUAAAUCCUUAUUUAAGAUAUAAAUUACAAUAGAUUCAUACCUUCUAAAUUUUAUGUUUAAACAUAGACUAUCUAUAUAUCAUAUUUUAAAAUUCUCAAAUUUCAAUUAUAGUUAAGAGAGAACAUCUUCCUAACACAUUGCUAUCUAACUUGCAUGCGACCAACCACAAAGUUUUGAUGAUGCUCUAAACAAAAUGAGUGUAUAAAAAAAAGAAACAUUGAUUCAAGUAGGCCUAUGAGAAAGAUGGUAAGUUAGUUAGCCAAUUGUGAUUGGACGAGUUUGUUUAACUAUUAUUGGACACUAUUUUAUUCAAGUCUUUUCUCAUCUUGUUGUGUUUAUUGGCAAAGAUCCAAUCAACCCUACAUGUUAUAUUUAUUCAUUUAAGUAUCUCUUUUCUAUACUUUUUAGUUUCCCUCUUUUUUCUACUUGAGAUAACUUUAUUGUCUAUAGAAUAAUUUAUCUCUCAAAUGUAUGCUUCCAAUAAAUCAAAAAUCACAAAAUAAAAAUACAAAAUAUUAGUUCUUUAAUAACCUUUUCAAUCAUAUCAAAUCAUUUUAAAAUAAACUAGGUUUACAAUUAGAUCAUUUAAAAAUUUUAAAAUUGUACUCGAACACGAUAUCGAUCAUUAUUAUCAUUACAAAUUAAAGUAAAACUACACUUUCAACUUAAAGACACCAAAAAAGAUAUGGAUUAGUUAGAAAAGGGAGAAGUAGAUUAAUCCUUCACGCCAGAGUGCUAUUUUUAGGGGUUUUUUUUUUUUUUUUUUGCCCUUUUUCUUUUAGAUGGCCACUAAGGAAAAAAGAAAAGUAAUAAAGUAGGUUAAGGUUGUUCUUUCUUUUUUCGAUAAUUGAUAGAUGUGAAAAAUUGAAUCUUUAACCUUCGUAGUCUAAAAAUUUAUGUUAAUUUAACUACACAUACUUUUAAUCACAUGAAUAAUCGAAAGAAAACAAAUGUAAUGUGUGUUGUAUUUAGAAUAAUUAUUAAUUCAUUAUUCAUGUUGAAAGACAAAUCUAAAGUUAAAGAUGAAUUUAUAAAUAAAGCAGUAUAUUAUUAAAUAUAUGAUGUGGAAUGUUUAAUAAAACUAAAAAAAAGUGUUUUUCUUUAGCGUUGUGAUUUCAUUAGUUGUUUGUUAUUAAGUAUCAUUUAAUAAAUUGUCAAAUGUUGAAUGGAAGGAAUAUGUACUCGACAUUUGGAGUACUAUAUAUAAAGUUUUUUAACAAAAACAAAAAAGGUUAGAAAAACGCUCAAACUAACCAAAUGGUUGUUCGAUCGAUUUAGCCGUUUUUAAAUGAAGAAAAUGAAUUAUUUUCAAUUGGUUUCAAAUUUGUUUAGACUAAAACGAAAAUUGGUUCGAAUAAUUAUGUUUCGAUUCAUGUUUAUUUCUUACAUAACUGAUAAGAUCAAUUACAUUUCAAUACUCUUAUGUCUUGACCAAACCAAAUCACUUGCACUCUUUUGUAUAUAUUAGUUGAAGUCCUUAAUUGAACAACAAUCAUUAAAAUGUAAUAAUGAAAAGAAAAAAAAAAUGUUGUAAAAAUGAGACCAUAAAAACUAGAGAAAAAAUAUUAAAAUAAACAUUAAAUUAAGAAAGUAUAAAAUUCUCCAAAAAUUACACUUUCUUCAAUUUAUUCGAAAAUUUUACAACGCAUGUGUCUUACAAAAAUCCACCAAAUGUCACCAUUUGUAAAUAAUUUGACAAACAUGAGUUGAAUUAUAUGAUCACUAAUAGUUAGCAUCUUCAAUAUAUAUAACAAUAUAGAUGAAAAAAGAGUGACAUAUGAGAUAUGACAUCGUAAUAUUUAUAAUAAAAGUAACUUUCUUCCACUAUAGUUAUUGACUAAUGACAAAGGGAGUAUCCAUCCAAUUGAUUUAACCUAUACUUUAUUUUAUAUAAACAUGUACGUCUCUCAUAUUGAUUUAAUAUAAUGUGAACAUAUAUAUAUGUUGAUUUAAUAUAUAGUGUGAACAUAUAUGUUUUGUUGCUUUAAUGAUUUAACAUGGAAUGAAUCUUAUCGUUUAAUUGUUAUUCUUUUAUAUUAUAUUAAAAUCCACUUGCGAAUGUUUACAUCAAUUUUUUUAAAAGUUAAUUUAAAUUACUCAUACUAUUUUAGUAUUUUAUAGUGUUAGGGAAAAAAAGCAAAAUUAAAAUCUUGAUUUUUAUUCAAUUUUAAGAAAAUGGGCAGUUCUAAUAAUUACUCCUUGUAAAAAAAGUUAUUUUUAUUUUUAAACUUUGACUAAGAAGUUAGCCUUAAUUUUUUUUUUAAGAAAAAGAGAAAACAAAAAUUAUUAAAUAUUUUUUUGGGGUAAUGCAAGCUAUUGAAUAUUGAUGAAAAAAUUAUAUUAUACUCCAAACAAAGGUUCGAAUUCCCAUUAUUUUUAUUAAUAAAUAAAGAGUCAAUUUAUUGAUGAGACCAUAACAAAAUAAAUUAAAAUAUUUACCACUUAUAACAAAAUAUUUUUGUUAUUGUAUAAAAUCUAAAUUUUUACUAUAUAUAUAUUAUAAAUAUUUUGUCAAAUUUAUUAUUUUUUACCCUUUUUUAUUUAUUUAAUAAUAUUAUGUUAUUUUUAUACUAUUUAACAGAAAUUUCUUACGAAAUUACAUAUCUAAAUUUUAUUGAUUUUUUCCUAAUUUAAACUCUUCUAAACACUCACUUAGAAAAUUGUUUAAAUUUAAAAUUUUCUUUGCUUCCAAUUAAAUAAAAAAAACUUCAACUAAAUAGUUAAUUUUACUUUUUUAGAAUUUAAAUAUAAGCUUUUAAAACUUUCUAAUCAAACCAAAAUAAAAUUGGCUAUAAAAUUAUCUACAUUGAUGUGUGUAUUUAUAUAGUUCAAUUUUUUUAAAAAAAUAUUAUAUACACAUAACAACAAAAGUAAACGAGGAAAAAGAUAAGAUAAAAUUAUCUAAAGAUGGAUUAUUAUUAGUAACAUUGGAGCCUAUAUUUCAUAAAAUAAAUUAAUAGUAAAUAUAUUAUUAGAGAAUUUGGAAUGUAAAUUAUUUUAAUUUAAAUUAUAAUAAUACGUAUUUAAAGGAUAAAUUAUUUAAUUUAAAAAUAUUAUAAAAUUUUAAUGUGAUAUGAUUAUUAGUAUAAUAUGUUUGUAAUCUAAAGAAAUAUUGUUGUGAAAGAGCCAAAACCCUAUCCUUCUCCCCUCCAAUCAAGGCCACAUUUCCUUACCUUGAAAUUUCCACCCUUUCACACAUACUUUUGUUUGUUUCAUUGCUAUCCAAACAAAUUUUGACAAAUACUUUUCAAUAAUUCCUAAUUUUUCUUCCAUUCAUUCUGUACUAUAAUAUACUUCUGUUUCAUUCCCUAUGAAUCCAUUUUAACUCGACUUUCAAAUAGUGUAUAUAUGUAAUAGUACAUUAGUAGAUCUUUACGGUUUGAAUCUAAUUUCUAUAAGUUCUUCACAAAGUUUGAAUAUGUAUACUUUUUAGUAUUUAAACUUUGAGUUUCAUUUCAAAUUAGCACGUAUGUUUGAAUUUUAGUAUUUAAACGUUGUUAUAGGGUCAAAUAAAUAAAAUAAAUAAUUAUAUGAGAUAAAUAUAUUCAAAUUAGUGUAUUUUCUUUUUAGAAUUUUUUUUAUUAAGAUUGUGGUGUGGGUGCAUGAAUCCAACUUCAAUGAACAUAUUUAUUAAUUACCUAGAGGUUGUCGUCAAUUUCAUACACAAACGAGAUUACCAAUAAUAGUGUGUAUCUAAGAGGGGAUUACAUUGAAACUUUGUUAAUACAACUUUAAUGCUCACUAAUUGCCGUAUCAAAUAUAAUUAUAAUAGUUAUAAAUCUUAUAAAACCAUUAAUUAAUUCGAAAUUUUAAAGUUUGUAUGUUGAUUUUUUUUUUAAUAUUGUAUACUAUUUCAAGUUAGUUCAGUUAAAUGUUUGGAUAAAACUAUUUCAUUUCAAAAGUUUUAAUUUUUCAAUUUCACUCAAAAUUUAAUAUGAGAUUUGAAUAUGAAUAUAAAAAAAAUAAUUGAGAUCAACUAAUCACACCAUGAAUUUAUAUUUUUUUAUUACCAUGAAUUUAUAUUUUUUUAUUUUUGAAAAUAGUUGAGUUCAAAAUUGUGGUUUUUUCAAAGUAAAUUUUUUUGACAAACUAUUUCAACUCCGUAAAACCAAAUAAUUAAAAGAUAAAUUUUUUUUUGAAGUGUAAAUAUUUUGUUCAAUGUUUUAUUUUUUACCAUUUCUCUUAAAAAUAUUAGAAUAUGUCCAAUUUUAAUUACAAAGUCAAUGCUAGAUUUAUAGGCAUAAAAAAUGUAUACAAAGAAAAUUGUUUUUCUUUCUUUUUGAACUUUCUUGUAAAUGAGUUUAAAAUUUAAACAUUUACAUGUUUGUUUAGGUCUUUCUAUAUAUAUAUAUAUAAUUUGAUUUAAAAAUUUAUUUUCUCAAAAUUUGGUUCUAAGUGUUUUCUUUAAAAUAGUUUAUUUUUUAAUCUUAUUUUUAAAAAUGCAUUUUGAAAAGUUAUCAAAUACCUCAAUUUUUUUAAAAUAUAAUUUAAACACUUUAAAUGCAAUCUAAACACAUCCUUAACAUCUAUUAAUUAAUUAACAUAAUUAUUAAAUAUUAAAAUUUAAACUUAAUUUUAUGGAUGAUGAAAAAUAUAUAGUUAAACUUAUACGUCAUGAGAUAUUUUUCUUUCUCCCAUUGGAGUUGGCAAUAGUAUUUGUAUGUUAUUGGGAUGUUACUUAAUUAUAAUUAUUAAAAAAUUAUUUAAUAGUAUUAUUUGAGUAUUUAGAAUUUAAAAUUGAAAAGUAUAGGAAAUAAAUGGAAACAAAACUUAAAUGAAGAAUAAAAGUAAAAUGGUGGGUUUAUUAAAAAUAAACACAAAAUAGAAAAAUAAAAAAAAAAUGUAAACAUAAAAUUUAUGAGCAAAUUACCAAAACUACUAAAAUCACUUAGGAAUCAAACUUAACUUAUUUGAACUACAAACAUUUGAUCUUUAAUUUUAGACUUGUUGGUUGUCUUUUUGUUUUGUUUUUGUAUUUUUGGAUGAAGGUUUUAUGGAUGGUAUAAUUGCAACCCAUCUCAUAUUUUAAAGGUUUUCUUUAUUUUCAAUUUGACCAUUUGAUUUGAUUUUUUUAUUUAUUAUUUGGAAACUAGCCGUAGUACAAUAAUUAAUAAAUACGAUAAGAAUAAGGUUUAGCAAUUUACAAAACCGAAGGAACAAGAAGGCAAUGAACAAAGUCCAUACUCCCAUCAAACAUCUCUCUAUAAAAACCCCAAAAUCCCAUCACUUCCUUCUUCAUAAAUUCCCUUUAUAUCUUCAUUGUAACAUCAUGAACACUUCACUUUCCUAUGCUUUUCUCUUCCUAACAUUCUUCACUUUCCUUCACUUCCCAUCAAUUCUCUCUCGCAAACUAACGACACAAUCUCCUUAUUCCACUAAUACCUUUGAUGUCUCGGCCUCCAUUAACCAAGCCUUAAAUGCCCUUUCCAUCAAACCCAAACCCUUUCAAACCACUCACUCUAAUUACCAUUCAAGUUCACCUCUAUCUCUCUCACUCCACCCUAGAUUGACCGUUCAUAACCCUUCUUACGAGGACUAUGGUAGUCUUGUUAGGGCCCGACUCGCUCGUGGUGCCGCCCGAGCUCAAUCCCUUAAUAGAAAGCUUGAGCUCUCUUUAAAAGGGGGUAAACAAUUUGGUAGAAGAAUUAAUGGAUCUGAUUCUACAAAUUCACUUACUGCUCCCGUUACUUCAGGGGCGAGUCAAGGAGCUGGCGAAUAUUUUGCUCGGAUUGGAGUCGGUCAACCUGUGCAAUCGUAUUUUUUUGUGCCUGAUACUGGAAGUGAUGUUUCGUGGCUACAAUGUCAACCAUGUGAUGGUGAGAAUGGUUGUUAUAAACAAAUUGGCCCGAUAUUUGACCCGAAAUCGUCGUCUUCUUAUAGUCCGCUGUCUUGCGAUUCGGAACAAUGUCAUUUGUUGGAUGAAGCUGCUUGUGAUGCCAAUUCAUGUAUCUACGAAGUUGAAUAUGGUGAUGGAUCAUUCACAGUCGGUGAACUUGCCACCGAAACGUUCUCAUUUCGACAUUCUAAUUCCAUUCCUAAUCUCCCGAUUGGUUGUGGUCAUGACAACGAAGGCCUCUUUGUUGGGGCUGCUGGUUUAAUUGGCCUCGGUGGUGGGGCAAUUUCCCUUUCUUCUCAAUUAGAAGCGACGUCAUUUUCAUAUUGUCUGGUCGACCUAGACUCAGAAUCAUCCUCCACUCUUGACUUCAACGCAGACCAACCAAGCGACUCACUCACCUCCCCACUUGUGAAAAAUGAUCGAUUCCCCACGUUUCGGUACGUGAAAGUAAUUGGGAUGAGCGUCGGUGGGAAGCCUUUACCGAUUUCCUCGUCAAGCUUUGAAAUCGAUGAAUCAGGAUCAGGGGGAAUAAUCGUGGAUUCUGGGACGACUAUAACUGAAAUACCAAGUGAUGUGUAUGACGUGUUAAGAGACGCGUUCGUGGGGCUAACAAAGAACCUCCCACCAGCACCAGGGGUAUCACCGUUUGAUACUUGUUAUGACUUAUCAAGUCAAUCGAAUGUGGAGGUGCCAACCAUAGCAUUUAUUUUACCAGGGGAAAACUCGCUACAACUACCAGCAAAAAAUUGUUUGUUCCAAGUGGACUCAGCUGGAACUUUCUGCUUGGCGUUUCUUCCAUCAACAUUUCCACUUUCUAUUAUUGGGAACGUCCAACAACAAGGAAUACGUGUCAGCUAUGACUUGGCCAACUCUCUCGUCGGAUUCUCGACUGAUAAAUGUUAAAACUCAACCGACAUGUGAGUGGGAUUAUAGUUGUUUAAUUUGGGUUCAUUACAUUAUUCUAAGCAAAUAAAAUACUAUAACUUAUCAUAGUACAUUGUAUAAAAAAAGUUUAUUAUAUUUAAUAGUGUGUUGAAUUAAUUAAUCAAAUAAUGUGAAUGUAUUUCUUUCAUAUGAUUGAUAUUGUUUGUCGACUAAUUACUCAACCAAUUACGAAAACAAUGGUACAAAUGUUUUCUAUUCAUAAAAUUUAAAAUAGAGAGGUGACGAACCAAAAGUCUCAAUCUAGUAAUUGAAACACUAAAACACAAAACAAACCCACAUAAUCGUUUUCUUCUAAAUUUUAAGCUAAAAAACAAAUAGACUAACUAUACUCUUAACGACCUCAAUGUAAAUUAAACCAUCGUUUUUAUCAAAUAACAACUUUAAAAUUAUGUUAAAUUUGCAAUUGCAAAGACUGCUUUGUUUUCUUCUCAAGAAAGGUGACAAAAAUUAACAAUGCUCUAAUAUAUAUAUAUAUAUUAUCAAUGAAAUAAACUCAAAUUUUAAUGUUAAGAAAAGCUUGAUGACCUACAAAAUGUGCUUCAAAUUAAUUCACAUCUCUAGUCGAAUAUUGGAUGUUGACCACUCCGACUCAAUUAUUGUUCUCAUCCCAUGGUUUACUUAAUUAUAAUCUCUUUUAUAUUGUUAAUUAUUGAUAUAAUCCUCCAUGGGUUGCUGUUUGCCAAAAUAGUAACAAUAAAUGUCUAUUUUAUGACAAUAAUGAACUCUAAAUAGAUUGUGACAUGAAUUAUUGCACAUUAUUAUAAUCCAAAACAUCAUUAUAAUUUACUUAAAAUAAUUUGCACAUGAGGGGUAGAUUAUUUUACUUUCAAUUAUAAAUAGUAUAUGUUUGACACGUAAACUAUUUUAAUUUUAGAAAAAAAUAGUAAACAAUACUAUAGCAAAGAAUAAAAAAUAAUGAAUAUAAAAUCGUAAAAAUGUUGCAAAUAGUAAAUAUUGUAGUAAAUAGAGGAUUUUGUGUCCUCAAAUUUUCUUUUUUCUUAAGUUAUGGAAAAUAGUAAUGAUAACGUUAGUACUAUUAUGAACAAUAACAUUUUUCUUUAAAAAAACAUAUUAUAUGAUAAAAUAGCAAAGAUGAUUUUACAAUUUUUAUUAAACUUUUAAUUCAAUGGUCACAAUCAAAUGUAAUAAGAAGUCAAAUAAUAAUAGUUUUGAGUGAAUGCAAAGUGUAUAUGUUUGUAUUAUCAAUUAAGAAUGAAUUAUUAGGCCGGAAUGGAGGGGGUGAAAAUUAAUUAAAUAUAUAUAUAUAUGGUCUAUGAAUAAAUAUAAAAUAGUUGAUAAUUUAAUUAUAUGAAAUACCAAUUGAAUUUUCAAAGUAAAUGAGUGUUUGAUUGGAAGAAAUAUUAUCAAUUAUGGGUGCAAAAUUAUAUUAUUAGCAACAUGGCAAAGGACCCACAAAGAAAAAGGUUAAAGCAUUAUUUUCUCCCCAAAAUUGUUGGAUUAUUUCGAUUGAUAUUAAAAUAAAAUAGUUUAUGUGUUUUCUUUUAAUAUAGAUUUUAUAACUAAACAAAUUAUUACCUUUUUUAAAAAAUUAUGAUUUUAGUUUAUGAUACUAUUACAUAAAUAUGAAAAUGAAUAUAAGUUUGUUGGGGUGAUUUAAUAACUUUUAACUAAUUAAAUAAUCAUCUGUUUACAUUUUAAAUUUUCAAUUUAAUUUAGGGAUAAAAAAUUGAUUUUUUUAUAUAAAUAUAUUAAAAUGGAUCAAAAUAAAUAUAAAGAUAACAAAACGUUAAUAGUCUAUCGAUGAUAUCACUAAUUGCAACUAUCAUCAUUUAUUAACAAUACUAAUAGAUAUCUAUUAUUGAUAAAGAAUACAAUCUUAUUAUAUUAAUAAAUAUUUUUAACCGUUCCAUUCAAAAUAAUUACUCUAAGAAUAUAUUUAUUUAGUAUUUGGACACAAACCCUACAAACAAGUAGUAAACAAAAACUUAACUUAACUGACACUUAGUUACAUUUGAAGAUUAAAAUAUUUCAAUUCGAACAAGAUAAUAGGCAGUAAAAAAGAAUAAUUAUGAUAAAGAAUAAAGUUUGGAAGAUGGGCAUGAACAUCAAAAGUCAAAUCAAUCUUUAGAAAAUCAAUAAUGUUUUCACAUAUCAUUUUCUAUAAAAACCAACCAAUGUCUUCACUUCCAUCUUCAUCCAAUAAUUCAUUAUCUUUUCAUUCCCAACAUGAACACUUCACUUUCCUCUGUUUUUCUCUUCCUAACAAUCUUCACUUCCCUUCAAUUCCCUUCAAUUCUCUCUCGCAAGUUAACACCAUCUUCCUAUUCCACUUCCAUCUUCGAUGUCUCUGCCUCCACAAACCAAGCCCUAGAUGCCCUCUCCAUUAAACCCAAACCUCUUCAAAAUCAUUCUCACCUUCCAAAUUCCCCUUUCUCUCUGCCAUUGUACCCUAGAUUGGCCCUUCAUAACCCUUCUUACAAGGACUACAAUACCCUUGUUAGGGCCCGACUCACUCGUGAUGCCGCUCGAGUUCAAUUCCUUAACCGAAAUCUUGAGCGCUCUUUAAAUGGGGGUACUCAUUUUGGUGAAAGUAUUAAUGAAUCUCUAAUUGGAGAUUCAAUUACUGCUCCGGUUGUUUCGGGGCAAAGUAAAGGGAGUGGUGCUGAGUAUUUAGCUCAGAUUGGGGUUGGUCAGCCUGUGAAGUUGUUUUAUUUGGUGCCUGAUACUGGUAGCGAUGUCACGUGGCUUCAAUGUCAACCUUGUGCUAGUGAGAAUACUUGUUAUAAACAAUUUGACCCUAUUUUCGAUCCGAAAUCAUCGUCUUCAUACAGUCCUCUGUCUUGCAAUUCUCAACAAUGUAAGUUGCUAGAUAAAGCCAAUUGCAAUUCCGACACAUGCAUAUACCAAGUCCACUACGGUGAUGGAUCAUUCACAACUGGUGAACUCGCUACCGAAACACUAUCGUUUGGAAAUUCAAAUUCUAUUCCUAAUCUCCCAAUUGGUUGUGGGCAUGACAAUGAAGGCUUGUUUGCUGGUGGAGCUGGUUUAAUAGGCCUCGGUGGUGGGGCCAUUUCCCUUUCUUCCCAAUUAAAAGCGUCAUCAUUUUCAUAUUGCCUCGUCAACUUAGAUUCAGACUCAUCCUCCACUCUUGAGUUUAACUCAAACAUGCCCAGUGACUCGUUGACCUCUCCGCUCGUGAAAAACGAUCGAUUUCACUCGUAUAGGUACGUCAAAGUCGUUGGAAUAAGUGUUGGGGGAAAAACUCUACCAAUUUCACCGACAAGAUUUGAAAUUGAUGAAUCGGGAUUGGGAGGAAUAAUCGUUGAUUCUGGUACAAUUAUAUCUCGACUACCGAGUGAUGUCUAUGAAUCAUUAAGAGAGGCAUUUGUGAAGCUGACGAGUAGCCUAUCACCGGCACCAGGGAUAUCAGUGUUCGAUACAUGUUAUAACUUUUCAGGUCAAUCGAAUGUGGAGGUCCCAACAAUAGCAUUUGUGUUGUCGGAAGGAACCUCGCUACGACUACCUGCAAGAAAUUACUUAAUUAUGUUGGACACAGCAGGAACUUAUUGUUUGGCGUUUAUUAAAACGAAAUCUUCACUUUCUAUAAUUGGUAGCUUCCAACAACAAGGAAUACGUGUUAGUUAUGACUUGACAAACUCCCUCGUUGGAUUCUCAACUAAUAAAUGUUAGUACCAUAAACUUAUAAUAACUCAUGUAACACCACGUGGGAUUAGAAUUUGGCUUUAAUCACAUUGUUCUAAGUCAAUAAAAUAUUGUUGUUUAUCAUACACAUGGGCUUUGCCUAUGAAAGUCUUAAUUUAGUAGUGUGUUGAACUAAGCAAAAAUAAAACAAAAACAAAAAAAGUUUCUUUCUUCGUAUUGUUAUCGUUCCUAAGAAACAAAUUAUAGAGAAGUUUUAUAUUCCUAAGAAAUGUGAAUGUAGAAAGUUUUUGUUAAUGGAUUUGUAAUUCUCUCUUAAUAACAACAAGAUUGCAAAGUUCACAUCCUUUGGUAUUUUCCAUACUUUGUUUUGGUUUAUUAUUUUCACAAUAUAUGUGGGAACAAAUAAACAUCUAAUCUCUUUUACAUUGAAUGGGUCAGGGCUUUGUUGUUUGGACGACUUUGAAAAAGACGAGUUAGGACUCAAGUCAACAAGCAUACCCCACAAACUCUGCUCAUUGAUUCUUAUAAUUUCUCUUUUGUUUGAUUCACUCAUUCCUUUAGCUGUUUUCCAUUUCAAAACUUCAAAAUUAUGGAAUGACGUAAUUGAUACCUUUACGUAGGGUGUGGAGUUUACUAUUCGAAUUAAAUUGCUUCUUCUUCUGUAUAAAAUUUAACUACAAAACAAAAACUGUUGAAUGAAACGUUGGGGGCUUAGGGCCUCCCCAUGUGGCCGCCGGCAGCGUGAUUAUGGGAAACUUCUGGGUGAUUUUCGUUUAUUAUUUUCCUUCUUCAUCGUUUUCUCCAUUUAUGGAUUCACAACACCCAAAUUUUUAUAUAUAAUUAUUUUUAUCUUUUAUGCUUCUUUUCUUCUUCUUUUUCUUUUUAAAAAAAACCAAAAAAAUUAUAUAUAAUAUUUUAAAUUACUAUGAAUUUCUUUUUAAGUGAAGUUUUGGGUUCUUUUUAUUUACAAAUGUAUUGUUUCUAUUGAGUUUUAAGUUUGGUUUUGAUCCAAUUCAUACACACUAAUUAAUUUAAUAGAAAUAGAAAUAAAUGUAAAAGUGAAAAAACAAUGAAUUUAAGUAUCAAAUAAAAACUAAACUAAAAAACUUAGGAGUAAAAAUUUAAUUAUAAAAUCUAAAUUAUAAACUGAAAAGAACCAAAGAGGCAUUUUCUAAGAAACAAUUCAGUGACUCUUUUUUUAAUUAUCUUUUUCGCUCUUUUUAGAAUAUGCAAUUAAUACGUUUACUAAAGUAAUAGAAAAAGGUAAGAAAAAAGAAAUAUAUUCGCCGUUGCCGGGGAUCGAACCCGGGUCACCCGCGUGACAGGCGGGAAUACUUACCACUAUACUACAACGACUUCUUGUUUAAUCAACAAAUAUAAUCCAAUAAAUCUAAUAUUUUACUAAGCUAAUUUUGUUGUUAUAUAUAAUUCUUUUAUGAAAGUAAUGAGCCCCCCAUUCUUAUAAAGAGAUAGUAUUUGUUAAUUACAAUUAAAUUAUUAUGCAACUUUUUUGUUUUUUAUAUGUUGUUUUUUCAGCAUAACAACAGUGUGAAUCACUGUUGAGCUAAAAUCACUUUGGCAAUUUAUUAUAUUGUUAAAAGAUACAUUAUACGAGAUAUAUAUUAAAAUGAAAUCUUUCUUUUUUUCAAAUUUUUUUAAAAUUUAUAUUAUAUUUUGAUAGAAUUCAAAAUUGGAUUAGAAUCAGAAAGAUAUCAUUUUAAUUUAUUCUUAUAUUAAUGUUCCAGAAAUAUGAAAAAAUUAAAAAUAGACAUAAAAAAACCUAAUCCUAUUCAUAGUAUGACACUUUUUUUUCGUUAUUCCUACUUCGAUUAACCAUCAUGAUAAGGAGAUACAAAAACCAAUAUUCGAGAUACUAGUUGAGUUAUAAAGUCAAGAGUUAUUAUGUAGAAGUUAGGAAGUCUAUGUUCGAAGUAAAGAUUUGCAAGAUGAAGUUCUUCGAUAAAUUUACAAGUUGUCAAGUUCUUGACCGUAUUGCUCUUAAUUUUCAAGCUUGUAUUUUCUAGAACUUUCUUUGUUUCAGUCCUUUAGCAGCAUAAGACUACGAUGAAGACAAUAGCUGACCCCAAAAGUAUAUAGGUAGAAAAAUGGUAAGAUUUCAUUAAUGGCAUCAUCAUCAUGACUAUUUGUAUUGAUAUUUUACAUUUACAUCUAUUUUCCCAAUGGCUCCAAGUGCCUCCAAGUGCAUAUUAAACUUUCUACUCUCUAUAACAUAUAAUGAGAUUAGUAUGUAGCUAAGCUAACUCAUCAGCAGCAUUCAUCCUCUCAAACAUCUUUGGCUGACUAUACCUUAAAGCAGUGGCAAAACCUUCUCCAACACCCUGGAGUUUUCAAUGUUUCCCAUUCCAUAGUGUCGCUAAACUUCGCUUUCUCGCUCAACUCAUCAAAUGAGUCGACGAGGUUUUGCAGCCUUGCUACAAAUUCAAUCAAGAGAGAAGUAAACGUAGCUAACGACAAUGCGCUUGCAUUUUCGUAUGUUUUCGAUUCUUCUUCAUGUAUUACUCCGUUUUGUUUGACUGAUACCUGUGCAGGCCAUGAUCCUAGUUUCUUGAACAUUUUUGAGGGGGGGAGUGGAGUGGACGUUAUAGAGUUUAUGUCUGAUGACGCAGAGUCAUCCCAGCUUUUCAGGAUUGGUAAGGUCCUAAGAUCAAGCACAGCUUCACUGAGUGAUCUGUAUUCACGAAACCUUAUUUCUUCAUCGUCCAAGUUGAGUAGUUCUUGGGGUUGUCCUACGUCCUCGGGACGAUUGCCAAUUUCCCAGCUCUCUGAAUUGACUAGAAGGUAGGAUUUUGCGUCUAUCUUCUUUUGCAACUCUUCUGCAGCAUCAUGUACCUCAGAGAGUAUGGAUGCCGAAUCUAAUUUCUCCAUUUUCUUCAACUUGUUCCCAAGCUCGCGCAGGACUUUAGCACCUUCGUAACCUACCCUCCGAAGCUCACUACCAAAUACCUGUCGUCUUUCAGCUGAAGCCUAGACAUUCAAAUAUAUUCAUUAAAAGUAAGACUAAAACAAUAUGCAACAGUGGACAAUAUAAAUGAAUGGAAGCUCAAAAGAUUACGUAUCCAAUGAAUUGAUGCAUAUUUUAUGCAAAAUGUCAAACAAAUAUAUAUUGAUCAUGACUCGAUGCAAAUGUGAAGUUCGAGCAUGAAGAACAAAGUACCUGUAUUUCUGAUAGUAUACAUCCAUGUAAUGCCAUUAUAGCAAAGGCACAAUGCCUCAGUGCACCGGCUACUUUAACAUAAUUUUUCCAUGGAUAUUUAAGCAUCCUGUAUCGACCGUGUGGCGGUUCCCAGAUUGCGAAUCCCAUCUUCAGACAAGAAAAAGAGAAGAUUACAGAGAAUAAAAAAGAUGGAACGCAUUUUUUAGUAAUUUGUAAUUGUAUUUCUUUUCUUGAAGGGGAAUAAGGAAAGUCAGCAUAAUGCUGUAAAACUCACCAGAGUUUCCUCUUGACUCAAAGAUUCCAUUGCUGACCUAUAGCCUUUGUACAAUGGAUCAUCAGAUGCUUGGUAGGUGAGGAUUUUCGAUGGUAUUCUCUCGUACUCGACACAAUUAAGGUAGCUGUCAACACAACCUAAUUGAAGGGAAAGUAGUUGAGCAAAAACGAUCAAAAUCACAAGUUAUUUGGUAUCACAUUUAAAUUUGACUAAUGCCAGCAUCAAAUAGAAAAAAGCUAACCGACCUUCUAAGGAUGCAGCCACGCCUCCAAAGUUUUUAACUACUAGAUUAUGUAGAUCUUCACCAGCCCAAAUGGGGUAAAUGCAUAUGUUUACAACCAAACACACUCCAGCACCAAGUGCAAUGAGUAAGAAUCGUGUCACGGCGGUAUGGAUAAAUUCUCUAGUUCUAUAUCCCGACACCAUUAUGAAACAAUAUGUCAACAAGAAGACUCGAAAUCCAUAUUCGUAAGGCUUCAUUGUGGGAUACAAUUUAGCAUAAGUAGCAAAGAAUCCUGCCAAAACAUCAUAAACCCACCAAAUCAGAGAUUCUUUAUAUAAAAUAAACUGAAGGGAUGGGUCAGAAAAGACAUUCUGUCAACUUCAAAAUCAUUAAAUCAAUGAUUAGAAAGAAAAAGAAAACAGACCCAUGAUAAAGAUACUGGUAACAACCACAACCUCUUCCCAUUGUCCUGCAAGAACUGAUAACUCUGCCAUUCCCAAUGCAAGACCUCCAGCUGAAAGUGUGCCAAUUCCACGGUUCAGUCCUUUGCUUAAAGUUGCUCCUGCACACAGAAUCAUCAUUUUGGAUCCAAUAACCAAACAGAUCAUGGUGAAAGAACACAGAAGUUCUAGAUUUAGAGUACUCAAAAGGCAGAACAACAUUAAAAUACAUAACAGAAUGACUAUUAAACAAGAAUUGACCAAAGAUGGGCCCAUAAAUAUAAUAUCCACAACACUAAUUACAACAAAAACCAAAGAUUUCAGCUACCCCACUUUGCCAAAAAGACAAUCAACGAUUAGGUUUGAGGAGCAAGUAAAAAUCUAACAGUUCAAAAGGGGCAACAAUGGGCCAUCCCGAUUUAAUAAACAUUAAAUUAGAUAAACAGUUAUGAGUAAGCUCAAGUUUCUUGGUUUCAGCGUAUGAUUUAAUACAUUAAUCAUUAUGGAGUCUAAUGAAAGUCAAGUGUAAAACGUAACCCAAGGCCAACCCAGAAGCAAAUUCAAAACAGAAUUAAGAAACAAAGAUGGAAAUUCAAGAUUACCAAUGCUAAACUCAAAGACGACAACAACAGUGAGAAUAGCCCAAACAGAGUAGCGGCUGAGCUCUUCAACUGGUUGUUUGAAGAAUAUCAACAAAGAAAUGAGCGUAAGAGCGAGACCCAUUUUAGCAGAGAAAACGAUCUUUCUAGGGUCAGAAACACCCAUCUGCCAAGCUUUGUAAAGAACAUCCUGAACGGAGUUCCAUAUAUAAGAAAAUCUAUGAGAAACGGAGGAACAACAGGAAGGAUUCUCAUGAAUGGUUUGAAUGGCGUUGAAACCCAGGUCGGGAAAUUCCUUGGCCGUCGAAAGAAGCCUCUCCCUCCUCUCGGCAAAACUGUGUUUGAAGGAACCGUAUUUGGGCACCAUGGCUUUGGUUGUGAAUCGAAUCAAAACUGUUGAACAAAGAAACACAGACCCUUUCAAUGGCGAAAACAAACAAAAACCGAUGAGAUAGAUGAGAAUUUAGAGAAUUUUUUCAAAGUGAUUCCCAGAUAAAAAGGAGAAAAAAUGAGUUGAAAUUGGCGCAAGUUUAAUAGUGGUGGACUGAACUCAGCCAAAUUAUUGUUCAACAAUUCCUCGCAUUUAUCAAAUGUAUUUGUGAAGCCUUCAUCUUUCUAUUAUUAUUAUCAUCAUCAAUACUAAUAAUAAUUACUUUUUCUUUUCCCUUUCCCUAAUUUGCUAACACCAAAUUUAAUAUAUUUACUUUUACAACCAUAAGCUAAACUUAUAAUUUAUUAUAACUAGAUACCAAAUUAUUGAUUUUAAUUAUCUUUGGAAACCUAACUAAGUGUUCAAAAAGAAAAAUAGAAAACUAAUUAGUUAAGCUUGUGAAAAAUUAAUAGAUUAAUUAAAGGUUUCAUGGUGGGUUUUAGUUGUGAGUAUGUGUUCACUGUUUAGUGUUAGGAAGUGGAAAUUGGAAUGGGCAAAAUGUGAUGAUGAGAGGAGAGAUUUUGAAUUUGAUUGGUGGGAGGAAAAGGAGGGACCCAUGUGAUUUUGAGGCAUCCCACCUGUCAUUAUCCACGUCGACAUUCAUUCCAAAUUCCCUCAACGCUUUUCUUUUUUGUGUAUCAAAUUAUUAUUUCUUUAUAUAUAAAUAAACAUUAUAUAAUUGUUCAUGAAUUUGUCCACUAAAAUAUAGUUAAGUGAUUUAGAUAGCUGCACGCUUCUCAAAGAUAUAAUGUAAUGUGUAUCAAUUCUUUUAAAUUUGAUUUUUAUAUAAUGUAAAUAAUAGAAAAUUUGUGAAAGAAUAAUAAAAUAGUUAGACAAAAAUAUUUACAUGGAUUUUUUUUAAAGAGUUUGUUUCUUUACUUUUCUAUUUUUUGAAAAACCUUUCUAGGUUAUCUAAAAAUUAACUCUAUAGCUGUUAAAAAAUUGAUAGCAAACUUGUGAAUAUUUAGAUUAAAGUAAAAUGAAUGGAGUUAAUGAUAAUUUUACAUUUUCACCCUUUUUUUUCUUUUAACUAAAAACAUGAUGAAGGGCAAUGAUGGAAGCAAUUAUGGUUAAUUUGGAACACAAGAAGAAAGUUUUUUUUUUUUUUUUUACUUUUUAUGUUUCCUUCUAAUUUAAAGGAAAUAAAAAUAGUAAAUGAAAGUGAUGAUAAUGUGGAUAAGACAAAUGAUGAUAAAUAAAAAUUUAUAUUCAAUCAACUUUACACCAUACCUUUGUGUUCCAUCAAAGUAUUCCCAAUCCCAAUCCCAAUCCCAAUCCCAAUCCCAAUCUUCUUCUUCAGCUAUGUCAAUGGCAAUAUUGUUAUUAUGACCUUAUAUAUAAUCCGACAACCCCGACUAACCAAUCGAGAAGGUUAGUAUUGAUUGGGUUAAUCUUUAUUUUUAGUUCGGUAAUGUUAAAUUUUUUAUUUUUUUAUUUUUUGUUGGAUUUAACUUAGGUUACCGCUUUUAAAAUUUGAGUCCAACUUGUAUUUCUAAUAUCUAUAAUAUAUAUAUAUAUAUGUAUGUAUAUAUAAUAAAUAUUAUAAUGCAUGUAUAUUAUUACGAUGUUUGUAAUAGAUAUGUUGGAUCUUGUUACCCAGAAUUGCUAUGAAUAAAAAAUUAUGACCCAAACAAAAAAGUCAGUAACAAAUUUAAGUAUUUUAAGUUAAUAAAAAAUUAAACUUAAACAAAAAUAAAUAAAUAAUAUGAUAAUUCAAUUGAACGAACGUGGGUUGAAGAUCAUAUUUGAGCAUUUGGGUUGUCAAUUUAACCUAUCCAAAACUUUGGGUCGAUCCAAAAAAUCCCACAAACCAGUACACGUACAGUCCUACUUUAUAUUGUAGAUAGCUCACAACACCUAGUGAUAUUGGAGGCUUUUAGAGGGUUAUCGACUUUUACAAUUUUAAAAAAUUUGUGAAAUUUGUUUUUGACAAGUUGUGAUUAAAUAAUUGAGUGAGAUGUAAUAAGUGAUAUUCGUGAUAGCAACUAAUUUUAUGUUUUUUUCUCAGUUUUUUUUUUGUUAUAUUUGAAAUUGCAAUAUCACAUAUUUAAAACUCCAUGUCUUAUAUAACUAUGGUUGCUAUCAAAUUUUGAUUGAUAGAACUAUUAAUGUAGAGUUCGUCAGUGGUCCACAAAUUGGACUUCUUCGACUUUUCUCCCCACAAAAUUAAUAUCUAUCUAUAUAGACUUGAGAACAUAGGCUUGAGAAGGCUCGAACUAGUUGGUUUAUGUUAAUGGUGGUAGAAAAAAAAUGCAUUGUUUACUUUUCUUUUAUCAAGAUUAAAAUAGUUUUUACCCCAAACAAAUGCUAUUAUGAAGUGGAAAGGAAUAGUUGGUGUUGUGGGAUUAAGAGAAAGAAGCUUUUGAGCCACUACUUCAUUUUAUGCCAUUUUGGGAGCAUGUGGGUCACGUGGCUACCAUUUGAUAGCAAUAUCAACUCCAACGUUGGGCCAUUCAAUCUCAAUUCUAAUAUCUCAAUCAUAUACCUCCAAAAUCUACGUUUCUUUUUUUCUUUCUUUCUUUCAAUUGCUACAGUUUUGGUAUUCACUAUCUUUGUUUUAAGCUCCUUUGAGUAUAUUGUUGUAACAAUCCUCUUGCUAGUUGUGAUCCUCUGAAUAUUUUGCUUAUUUAUGCUCCAGAUUUUGAAUAAUGAAUAAGUUCUUGUCUUGCCUACUUGCUACUGCUUCUGAUUUUGAGUAUUUUGAUUGAAGUUUCUCAACUUCUGUGGUGGUGGUGUCCGAAUGUUGUUUGUUGUAUUUCAAUUUCGCUGUGAGAUGGAAAGAUUAUAGUUCUGAGUAACUCUCAUAUUUAGCUUAAUAAUAUAAUCACAGUGAUUAUUCAUGGAGCAGAGCUAUUACAUCGUUCUAAUUGCUUAAUUUCAUAUUAGUAAAAGUAUUUUUCUUGCACACAUUGUCUCCCAAACGUAAAUAACAUAUUAUCAAAUUGAAUUACUAAACCUUGUGUUUUUUGAAUUUAUCUCUUUAGUUUAUCUCCCUGUUCUUAAAAUUGUUUUCGAGUAAGGUGUCAAACAUUGUUAUUUUUUAAACCGAUGGUUAAAUUGAAAUUGUAAUUUACUCAUAUAUCAGAUUCAAUAACUUUCCAUUUGAGUUUAAUUGGUUUAUAAAGUUAAGAAAAUAUAGAAUAAGUAGAGUCCACAAAACACAAUACUCUGCCCCUACUCUUUAGUAUUUUUCAAUUUUAUUGAAAAUUUUAUUAAGCAUAUUUUUAAAUUCAUUUUUAAGUUUUUAACCAAAUUAAACAUAAACCCAAAAUUAUUGACUUUAGUAUGUUUGAAGUUUAAGAGAAAUUGACAAAAAUGAAAAUUUUGGCAAAACCUUUGCACACUAGUAAAAUUGUUUGUGUAAAUCAUUUUUGGACUUAAGCGAUAUUUUGUCAUUUGUGUAAAUAUUUUGUGAUUUUUUUAAUUAUUAUUACUUAAUUUAAGUAUGCCAUUGACCCAUUUUAAAUUUCAGGCAUAUAAACUUGUGUCUUACUUGACAUAAAAUCAAGGAUCCACCACUUGAAAGAAGUGGUAUUGAUAGCCUUAAUUCGAUUAUGAAGAAAAAGUUGAAUCUCACAGUGAGCUUAGAGUUUGGCAAGAAAAAACAAAAACAAAAACUUAGAAAGUUGAAGUUAUUUGCCCUUAACUCAUGAGUCUUUCACUCCAAGCAUGUUUUGCUUUGGCACUCACAAGUAUUGGAGAGGGAAGAACAAGAAGUGUGUGGAAUGGCACACAGACAGCAUGUUUCAACUCACUUAAACAAUGAACUUUCCCUCUAUUUCUACACUGUAAAAGCUAAAGAAAGCUUUAUUGACUUUGCAACCAUGGCAUCUCUUCCACAUCUCCCCCUUCCUCAACAAGCUAUCUCAUACCUAAGUCUGCUGUUUCUCCUGCACGUUCUACCGAUCACCAUAUCACAAGGUCCAACCAUAUCAACUCCCACCAUAGCUCAAUGCACGACGAGUAUUCUUCCAUUGGCUUCUUGUGCACCUUUUGUGCAAGGUGUAACACCAACACCACCUAUGGGAUGCUGUGAUAACCUGAAACAACUCUACAACGUUGUCCCUAACUGCCUUUGCCUCUUGCUGAAUGGCACUAACUUAAGCUCUUUCCCUAUCAACACUACUAGAGCCCUCCAGCUGCCUGAUAUUUGCAGCCUUCAAGUUAACAUCUCCACUUGUUCAGGUAAAACUAUAAUCCUGUCAUCCUAAAAGAUGUUAUAUUUUUUCUACUCUCUACUUCUCUCUACAAUCUGAUCCCACGGUUUGACAUUUAUAAUUCUUUGAACGGUUCUUUGAAGCUCUCCUUGGGCCACCUAGUCCACCCAGUUCUCAUGUUCCUCCUAGAGUACACAUCAACUCCACAAUUAGCAAUGCUACGGUUCUAGGUAUACUUCAGAUAUUCAUCCAGACGAUAUAGUUUUUGGUUCAGUUCUACUUCUAAUACAGCCUUCGAAUAUGUAACAAUCUGACUCUACUUUUGUAAAUUUCAGCUUCUCCAAUGACUCAACCAACACCAAAACCUAGCAUUGUGGGUUUAGGAUUGGGCAAGAUCAGUGCUAGUUUCAAAUUAAAGGGAGGAAUUCAGCUCACAGUAGUGAUAACAAUAAGCACUUUUCUGUUUCUAGUAGUACUUUAUUGAAAUAAAUUAUCAUAUGAUGUAUGGGGUUGCUUCAGCAGCUAGCAGUGAUGUUCUUCUUUAUUAGACUUCUACUAGAUUGUUUUAGUUAAAUACGCUCUUAACAAAAUAUAGUUGUUUCUUUAGCAUUUUAACGUUUGAACCCGACCAAUUUGAUCCACUUAGCAGCUAGAUAUGCCUUAUUCCCUAAUCUCACUAAAACAGUUAGUCUAAGGACAGCAAUCUAUGUCUACAGAAGAAAGACCUAAAAGAAAAAAACAACAUGUUGAUAAGAAAACUAAGACAUAAGAUCAAAAUCUUAACUAGAUACAAUAGAAUAAAGUUGUCAUAACAUACCUAGAAAAAUAUGCCAUUACAAAUUCACAUAGUAUCCUUUGUUUUCUUUUUCACUUCUUUAACUGCUUGGGAGGAUGAUAAUGUAUCCAAGAUGUGUAAUCUGUUUUUGAUAUGUAAGCAUCAACAUCAUUCCAAACUUGGAGCCACCUCAGUUGGAUUAGAUUCAAACACAUCUGGGUUUGAUGCCUCUGGUUCUAAAAUCUCUCUAGUUUGAACUGAUUCUUUAUAUGCAGGUGUCUCCUUGAAAUCAGUUGCUCCUUCAUUAUAUGUAGUGACAGCAAUUCCACAUGCAAUAAUCUAUUAUAAUGAUGAAUGAAUUAGUGAAGCACUCAUUUACAAAAGGACUACCGAACGUAAAAUAAUUAUCCUUUUUAGAAAAAAAUUUCAAAAGGAAACACCUGGCUAAUGUUAAAUAUCAUAAUUCUGUUCUGUUUAUGAUCAAGAAACAAAUAAGAACUUUGAGAUUGAAAUUCAACAUCUACAAUUUUGGGUUAUGGGUUAAUAUAUUCUCAUUUCAAGUUAAGCAACUAGAUUGCUGGAAUUAAGUAAUUAAUCUGAAUACAACAGAAAACAGAAAACAGAAAAACUAGUGAAAUUAUACCGCGAAAACGAUUCCAAAAGCCCACAAGUACUCUAGGAAGAAGCCAAAGGCAUCCCACUGCGGACCCUCCCAGAAAUCCGGCUGAAGCCCAGGCAAUUGCGGCAAAUUCUCAUCCACGUCAAACACUACACCGGCAUUUUCAACGACGGGACUGCCCAUUUCAACCCCGGCCGUCCGAUUUCGUUCUUCUUCUUCUUCCUGUUCCUUGAUUGUCGUCGAGCUCUUCCGGUUCUUACUGUCGAAUCGGCCUGUUCGGAAGGAGGAUUUCUUGGCUUGAACGAGAUGGAGGGUGCGGGCUUCUUUUGAGGGAUGAAAAAGCGCGUUGCGACGGAAAAGGAAAUAGUUAGAAGGAGUUCUUGUGAAGGUUCUGUAGAGAAUUCCCCCACUGGUGCCGACGGUGGCACCGCCGUUGGUUAUGGUCAGAGGCAUUUGAGUGGUGGAGAGUGAGCUCUGAGCACUCCGAAAAAUGAAAAGAGGAUUUUUUUUUCUUCUUUGCUUCGGAUAAGGAAGAAGAUAUGCGAUUCACUAAAUAAUUCUUUUUAUUAUCAUUAAUAUUAUUCCUUCUUAUUCUCCUCAGUUUUAAUUUUAAUAUUUUUUAUUUAAACAAAAAUAACUUACGUUCUAAACACAAACUAGUAUAAUCGACAUAGCUCUCUUACUUUUCGUAUCUAUUAUCUCACAUACUAUAUAUUUGAAUUCACUUUAAUAUUAUAAUUAUAAAUGAUUAAACCAAAUAUAACAAUGUAAUUAGACAACUAAAUAUUGUAAUUUAGAGGGAAUGAAUCUUAUUGUAUACAUAAUAUAUUUAUGUAUUCAUAAAACAACAAAUUAUUGAUACGUCAAACUUAAAAUGAAAUUUAAGAGUAUGUUUGGUUUUGAAAGAGUUUCAAAAGUGUAUUUGACUUUGUAGAAGAGCAAGUGUGUUUCAAAAUCGAAUUGUUAUGGGAAUGUAUUAUGAUUUAAAGAAUGAAUUUCCAUCUAGAUAUAAUAAGAUUCAUGCACAUGAUACAACAUCGUAUGGUGGGUUCUUAGAUAAAAUAAUAAGAUGUCUUUUAACUUUAAUAUCACUGUCUUAGUUUGUAUACAUUUUGAUCAAGAUGAAUAGUAGACUAAUUUGAUAAAUUAUAUUCUAUUUAUUAUUCAAUAUGUAAGUAAGAAUAAGAUACAUUACUUCACCCAUAAACAUACAAAUCAAACAAGCUCACAAUUACUAUAUAUUGUAUGAUUUAUAAUCAAUAAAUAUUUCAUUUGAAUAUGUAUGAUUGGCAUUAGCUAGACAUAACUAAUUAAUUAUUUAUCAUCAAACAUUCAUUCUCUCACUAAUUUUUUUUAAUGAACGAUUGACUUAGAUAAAUGUUUAAUUUUUUUAGUUGUGUUAUUCCUACCAAAAUUAAACAAUAAUAAUCUAAAAUAUGAAUUAGACAAAUAAUUUAUUAGUAUGAGUCCGUGAUUUUUUUCUACACUACUCUUCAAAUCAUUUAGAAGAAUACACACUACACAUAAUACAAAAUGAAAAUAUUAUAAGGUUUAUAAGAUUGGUAUCAAUUUAGUGUCUAAUUUUGUACAAGAACUAAGGAAGAAAAGAUAGCCAAUUUUAUUGAGUUUGAUCACUACUUGAACUAAUCCAUAUCCACAUAUGGACUAAGCAAAACUACUCCAACUUUCCAUUUAUAUGGUGAAGUCACAUUCACACCCACAAAUUUAAGUAUCUCACUAAAUAGUUCAUGUGAUUUUUCUAAACUCUUAAGUUUGUAAGUUCAAACUAACUAUGAGUGUACGUAAAAUCGAUGAAUCAACCGACCCAUGGAAAACAAUAUGUGUAAUUAAUUGAUUGUAUGCUUUUCUUUCUGUUGUUACUCCUUGUAAUUUUGUAAUUUCUUGAACAAAUUCCACACAUUCAAUUUUCUUUUCUUUUUUUCCCCAAAGUUUUUAGUUUCUUCAUCUUACGAAUACAAAUACAAAUAAAACAAAGUGUGUUCAAUUAACUAUUAUAAACACGGCAUCCUCUCCGAUCGAUACGCCGUCGGCAAUUCCGCCGCCACAUCCGUAUGAUCAAACAAUCCACCCAACGCCACCACCUCCUCUUCCUCUUCCGUACUCCAUUCCUUAAUCUCACAUCUCAAAUUAUCAAACCAACAGUAAUUCGAAACAAUUUCAUCCUCGAACCCUAAACCCCCUUUCACACCACCGCUACCCGAAAACUCCGCUUCUUCAAUUUCCUCUUUCUCACCAGCAGCAGGCGGAAGCCCUAAUUCAUCAUCCGACGCUUCUAAAAGAAAUCCAAGUUCAGGUUGAACAACAGGUACCGUCACCGUCACCGGCACUUCAAUUUCCUUCUCGAAGCUUCUAAUCACCGAAUCAAGAUCUUGAAUCCCCGCCUCCCGAUCUAUGGAAGCGUCGGUAUCGUCUAGAAUCUUCAGCAGGUCUUCCUGAAUUGUGUGAUGCGAGUGAAACGAAUCGGUCGAGUGUGAAACCGGCGCAUCGAAGUUGGAGGCAGCCGGAUUUUCAAGUCGGAGGAACUUGGAAUUGGAUCCAAUAGAAUUGAAGAGGGAGUCGUUGGAAUCGUCCCGAAGACGCUUCCUGGAGUCAAGAGAGGGUUCCAUUAGAGAAGAAGGAAGAAAGAAGAGCGACGACGGGAGGUUUUAGAGUGUAAGACAGAGCAUGGAAUGAGAAUUGGUGACGGGGAAGUGGAGGAAGCAACAUCUGAGCCUUAAAUAGUGAAUUCGUAUGGUUCAAACGCACUUAGGCGCGUACUGAUCUUUUAUUUUUAAAUAAUAUUUAAUAAAAGAAAAAUAGCAAUAAAUAAAUAAAUCAAAUAAAAAUUGUAUAUGAUUGGUAAAUAUGAACUAUAUAAAUUAUACAUUUAUGGCUUCCAAUACCCUAUAUCCAUCUAUGUACCAUCUCCACACACAUGUUGAUUCC
This 127733-nucleotide long non-coding RNA is filed under the name Cucumis sativus (cucumber). Its description in RNAcentral is "long non-coding RNA (CSAT_LNC000047)". Lineage: Eukaryota; Viridiplantae; Streptophyta; Magnoliopsida; Cucurbitales; Cucurbitaceae. The record is from RNAcentral.